CCACAACUUCCUAUCACUCUGUAAGCUGUAACUGCUUCAUAUCAUGCCUAAUCACCUCCCUCUAAUUUUUCUUUGGCCUAACUCUACCCUGCCUAAAACCAUCCAUAGCCAGUGUCUCACACCUCCGCACUAGAGAAUCAGUGCCUCUCCUUAUCACGUACCCUAACCAACGUAACCUCACUUCUCGCAUCUUAUCCUCUAUCGAAGUACUCCCACCUUCUUCCGAAUAACCUCAUUUUUCACCCUAUCUUUCCUGAUAUGGCCACACAUCAAUUACAAUAUCCUCAUCUCCAUCACCUUCAACUUUUGGAUGUGUACACUCCCAAUCAUUCAAACAUAUUAAAAUGGGAAAUCAAGAAAAGAAAAGCUACACCUUGGAUAUGGACAAAUAUUACGGCUUGUAAUUACUAUUUUCACAAUGACAAGAUUAUAAAAACACCAUACCCAUACCCACUGUUAUUUCAAUACAUGGACAAGAGAAAAAAAAUUCAAAAAGAGGGGCGGUGUUUACGCAAGCGCAGAACUUAAUUUAAAGUAAACCAAAUAUGUAGACACACACAACUGAACUUGAACUACUCUUCCUUUUCGUCAACAUGAUAUAAAGAUCAAAGAUGGACACCAUAUAUAACUUCCAACAAGGCCGGAGCAUAUAAAAAAUCUCAUAUCAACGACAUUCGUGACAACAGUAAUAUUUACAUCUUUUUUUUUUUACACACAAACACAGAAAAAAUGAAAAAAUUCAAUAGAGAUGAAGUGUUCACCUUUUUUGGAGCAGCGAACUUAGGACAACGAGACUUGACUACGAACUUCCACCACAAAAGUUUAAAUUUAAACUUGUCGGAAUUCAAUCUUUCGGCGAAAUUGAUUUUUCCGAGUGUGUUCUUUGAGAAUAUUGUUGCCUGAGGUUACACGCAUGCACCUCCAAAACCCUGAAAUUUUUCCCCAAAGUCCUCCUCCUUCACCCCUAUCCCUCACUAUCUAUUUAUAGGAGAAUUUGGGGGGAAAAGAAUUAGGGUUUUGGAUUUAAAUCCGAAUUUUAAAUUGAUUUUCUUGGAGAAUUUCAAACCCACAGACAGAGAGGGCAUGUAUUUGUUGGCUUCUUGCCAAAAGGGAGGUGAACAUGAGUUGAGCAAGAAAAAGUCGAUGAAACUUUAGCCAAAAUUGGUUUUACGACGGGGUAAAAGAGUAAAAUUGAUGGCAAUGGCUAGGUUGACUAGGGUUUAUGGAUUUGACGAUGUUGUCAUUGAAGCUAUUAUUGUCGAAUUGGGGUCUGAUUUUUGUUGUUGUUGCUUGGACGGCGUUGUCGUUGUUGACGUUGUUGCUGGCUGUUUGUUAUUAACGGUGGUGUUAAGGGUUAUACACCAUUGUUGUUGGGUUGUUGUUGUUACUAUUAAGGGAGAAGAGGCUUGGCUCGGGUCGGGUCGGGUCGGGUCGGCGGCUGGUGUGGGCUGCUGGGGGUAAGCUGUUAUCGUUGGGCCGGUUGGGUGCAGAAUUGGGCUGGGAUGGUUGAUUUUGGACUGGGUUAAAAUUAAAAGAGAUGUGGAUUUGGGCUGGUUUAGUUAAAUUAGGAAUGGGUAGAUUAAGCUAAUCAAGGAAGUUCAAUUUAAAAAUUGUAACCUCUUAAUAUUAAAAAACUAGAGUUGCAUGGCCCGUGUCAGCACGGGCCCAAUAUUAUAGAUAUCUUUUAGCACCAAUAUUCAAUAUUGAUGAGAUACAAACAUAAAUGUACAUUGAUUUAAAACGAUAAUUUUUUAAAUAAUAACUAUUUGACGGUACUCCCUAAGAAGUGAAGUUUUAUAAAAUACUUUUUUUCCACAUGAUAAAAAAGUGUGAUGUGUCAUGUAGUUAGGUUAUUUUAAUUGUUUGAUGGUAAGAUUGAGACCUGUUACAAAAUAUAGAAAAGAUAAAGAACUAAUAUUCAUAGGAUUAUUUCAUAUAAAAACUUGAACAAAAGAUACUUCAAUUAACAACAAAGUCUUGGAUCAUCUUCUCAAAAAUGAUUAUGGUUGAAGCAACUACAACAAACAUGUCAUAAACACAUAUUUUUCUUGUUUUAAUUAAAUACUAUUAUUUUUCUAAUACAUAAAUGACUUAUAAUAAUUAAUUAGGGGUGAUAUAGUAAAAUCACGGCACAGCUCUUGAAGCAACCAUGUCGAAACCAUUGUUUUAAUUAAGUAUUAUGGAUUUUUUAAUACAUAAAUGACUUAUAAUAAUUAAUUAGGGGUGAUAUAGUAAAAUCACGGUUGAAGAAGGUCAACUUAAUUUAAUACAUCAAGAGUUAAUUUAUCAUUUUAUGUCUAUUUUAUUUUUUUUAAAAUAUGAUUAAUUCGGGGUAAUAUAGUAAAAAAAAUUUAUUAAUUAUACUAUAUAAAUGACUUAUAAUAAUUAAUUUAGGGUAAUAUAGUAAAUCAGGGAGCAAUUAGGGAUAAUAUAGGCAGACAUGUCAUCUAUUUUUUUAAUUAAAUAUUAUUAAUUUUUAAUACAUAAAUAACUUAUAAUAAUUAAUUAGCGAUGAUAUAGUAAAAUCACGGUUAAAACAGCUAAAAAAAUAUCAUAAAUAUCUAUUUUUUAAUUAAAUAUUAUUAAUUCUAAUAUAUAAAUGACUUAUAUUAAUCAAUUAGGGGUAAUAUAAUAAAAAAAUAUUAUUAAUUCUAAUAGAUAAAUAAAUUAUAAUAAUUAAUUAGGGGUAAUAGAAUAAAUCACUGAGUAAUUAGGGUAAUAUAGUAAAUGACGAAGCAGGUGAUUUUUUUAAUUAAAUACUAUUAAUUUUUAAUACAUAAAUGACUUAUAAUAAUUAAUUGGGGAUGAUAUAGUAAAUUUAUGAUUAAAGCAGCUGAAACAAACGUCAUAAAUAUCUAUUUUUUAAUUAAAUAUUAUUAAUUUUAAUAUAUAAAUGACUUAUAAUAAUUAAUUAUGGGUAAUAUAGUAAAUCACGAAAUAAUUAGGGGUAGUAUAGUAAUUGAUGAAGCACCGGUCGAAACUAGUGCUUCUAUUAUAUUGAAUAAUGACCACAAUUGAAUUAAUUGAACAAAAUUGAGACGAAAUUAACUUUUAAUUAAUUUGAAGAGUUUCUCAAAUUCGAUAAUUUCAAAAUAAAUAUUAAAUAAAACACAAUUUUUUCCAAAAAUAAUAAUUAAAAAAAAUUAAGAAACUAAUUAUGUCAUCAAUUUCUUAUUUUCAAUCGAUCUUGAGAAAAGUAAAAUAUUUGCAAUUUAAUCAAACUUUUCACUCUGAAUAAAUUAUAAAGUAUUUUCAUUAACUGAUAAUUAUAUAAUCAUGUAUACUUAAACACUAAAUAUAUUAAUUUCACCUAAAUUCAAAAGGCAGUGUUGAAAUUAAUUUCAAAAUAACUUAAACUAAAUAUUUUAAAGCUAUUUAAAAUUGAGAAAUUCAAAAACUAAUUUUGAAUGUGGAGGACAAAAAUUAGGUGUCAACAACUGCCCCCUCCCAUUGGGUUGAGUGGAUGCAAGUAACUCUAGACAAAGGGAGCUUGACGUUUCUAAUUUUGUCCCACCGCAAAUUCAUUUCUCGAAAUGGGUUAGUUUUCCCACGAAUUUUAAGGGGUUAUGGCCCGACCCCGGUAUCAGAUUUCCUACAUAUCUUAGGAUGCAUGAGAAUUCAGGCCACUUGUAGUUCAUAAAGCUUGACUAAAAGCACGAUUUUCAAAGAAUUCACAAGGUAUUCCGACUUUUUAAUUUUGAUAAAACCGAAAAGCUGAGGAAUAAGAGGAUUGGGGGGAGGGGGUUGGAAUACAAUCGAGGUUUCAACACGGAGCCCAGCCUACAUAUCCCAAUGAUUCAAGAAAUCAGACUGCUUGUAGUUUGACUUUAUCGGUGGAAAAGAUAAUCUUUUAUUUUAGACGAUCUUUGGCUCGGGAUGAGUGAUAAGUUAUUUGAGCUUAUGAAAAAGAGGCUUGUAACCUCUCAACCAUGAUUGUGGGAUCCUUCACAUCUAUAUACAAGAAUUUACCUGGACAUAAUUUCCAAAAAUCUGAGCGUGUUAUCACUUGAAUUUGAAGGAAAGAGAAGGUUACUUCCAGUAUGAGUUUAAAAGUAUCUUGAAAGUGAAACUGAAACCACAAUAUCACAAAAUAUCCCACGUGCCUUCUAAUAGGGGUGUGGUUUGAUGGUGGUGGAAGUCGUCCUUUAGCUUGCGUUUAAAGAGUUUGAUAUUCCUCUUUUAAGUAUAUCCCAGUUCACUGCUAAGAAAAUAUUUCACAUUGUGUUGCGUCCUUUUUUUUAGUCAUCAACACCUGUGGUUUUGAUUUGAGAAUUUCAUCAUUUUGGAUGCUCUCUACAACAACUCAAACAAAUGAUUAGUUUCAAAUAUAGCAUUACACAAACGUAAAUUGGUGCAAACCUAUUUGAACAUGCUAUGCUGAGAUAGUUGAACCAAUUUGCACGACAACUUUGAAUGGAAUGACGGUCCAAUUGAAAGGUGAAAGACCUAUUUUGAAUGUAAUAUACCACUAUUUUGAAUGUAAUAUGUCACUUUGAACGGGCUGAUGACCUGUAAUGCCCCGAGAGUACACAAUGAGCAUCACACAAUGCUUACAGUCCCGAGGGACCACAAGCUAACCCAUGAGCUGGUACCUGCUAUGAGCACUAAAUAACAUAAUCAUGAAUACAGAAGAAUAACUGAUAUGCCAUAAGGUUUUAAUAAUUGUAACAAGCACUAAAUUAUGAAUCUGAAGAAGUAACUAUCUGAGUUUGAAUAAAUAUUAAAAUCUGAGAUAAAUUGAAUAACUAACUGACAUGUCAAAUAAAGUCUGAAUACUGAAUAACUGACUGUAGUAUCUGAAAGCCUCUAAACUGAAUAACGGUGAGUUGAUGGGACAGGCCCCAACUAACUCCAACUAACUACUAGACUGAAAGCAUGAAAUAACAUAAUCCGUCCUCGAAAUAUAAGGACUCACCACUGCUACUUUUGAGAGUCUGAGAAGUCUAAGAGUGAUCCAGAAACUGAGCAUCAACGCCUAUGAUAUAAUACAUUAUAGCACAAAAGAAAGGUAUGCGAUCAGUACUUUGAAUGUACUGGUAUGCUAAAUGAGGUAGGCUGACAUGCAUAGUUUCAUGAACAGGAAUAACAACUAUCUAAAUAUACUUGUAAAAUUUGGUGUACUGAAUAGAGAGCAUGAAAUCUGUAGAUAAUAAAAAUAUGUGAAAUCUGUAAAUACUGUGUACACAUGAAAGUCUAAAAAUACUAAAGGUACGUGAAAUCUGUAGAUACUGGGGAUGCAUGACUAAACAUAUAACAUAAAAUGAAUAAAAGUCUGUAAACUGAAAUACAAAAAUAACUGAUAUUUGUAUGCCUUGGUCAAACAACACUGAGACUGAACUACUGAUCUGAUUAUUGGACUAAGACUGUAGGAGCUAUCAUCUAACCAAUAAGCCUCAAUCUCAGCUAAUCGAGGUCCAACCUUUAACCUAGUUGGAAGGGUGUUAAUACCGUGCCACGGGUACUAACGCUGGCUGUGUGGAUCCACUAUAUUGAGGUGCAGUCCCGAAGGACUAAGGGUGUCAAGCCUGAAUUGACGGGUGACCCCUGCGAGAUAGUCAAGCCUAAUCUGACGGGUGACUUCUUAUAUCCUACGCUGGCUACGUAGUUCUGGAGUUUAGGGAAUACUACUAGCAACUCUGCCUAUCUGACGGGGAAGCCACCAUCCCUACACUCACUCGAUGCUAAAUCCUACUCCCAACUAAAUGACACUGAGUUACUGACUAUUCUGGGUUUAACUAACUGUCUUAGUAAUGCUCAUAAAUAUAAUCUGAAGUUAUUCUAAAGAUACUGAGACAAGACUAAGUAGAACAACUAUGGUUUUCAGGUAUUCAAUAACCCCAGGACUCAAAACGAUAAUAGUAAAAUGACACUAAAGCUUGAAGGACAUAGCAUGAAGGCUUUUAUUAAAUAUUCAUUCUUGUAAGCAUUUUAUCAAACACUUGAUAUGCAUGAUGUACAUUAAGCAUGAAAAAUAGACCAAAACUUAUAGUAAAGCACAAUUUCAACACAAAUCAUGAAUUAAAUCAGUGGACAACAACAUUUAAUCAUAUGGAGUGUAGUAAUAAACAUCAAUUUCGCUAAAACAUGGUAUAGAUAAAGAUUCAUGAAAAUUCAUGGUUUAAUCAUAAUUUAAAAUCAAUAUAACUUGAAAAGAUCAUGCUUUUGUAAUUUAAAAUGGAUACUUAGACUCCAUGGGUGAAAGAAACUCAUGGAUGAACAUUUAACAUACCUGGGUUAAUGAAUUUGAAAGGAUUGAUGGUGUGUUCUUGAGAUUUGAUCUUGAAUUUGAGAGCUAGGGUUUUUGUGUUCUUGAAGAGAAUGGAUCCCUUUUUGAGUAAUUUGAGAAUAAUGAGCAUGUAAUUCCCUAUUAGGCUUUAAUUUUGUGUUUAGGAUGAGUUUAGGGCUUAGGAAAAUGACCAAACAGCCCUUUGAAAAUUAAAAAAGCAAAACUGGAAAACUAAAAUUCCAAAUUUUUUGCCAUGGUGCAACGCGCCACUAUCGCGCCAAUCCACUGGAAAGGGGACAAUUCGAAAACUGGAUGAUGGUGCGACACGAUAAGAUUGCAUUCCUUCACUGGAAUGCUAUUUUGGCCACCUCCGCGACGCGCCAUAAUCGCGGAGGCUCACUGGAAAUUGCCAAACAUGAACUGGGUCCUUGCUGCGAUGCGCCAACAUUGCGGUACCACACUGGAAACUAACAAUUGUUAUUUAGACUGGCUCCGCGACGCGCUAAGGGUUAAAAUGAUGGUGUUUAAUGAUUGAAACUUAAAAUCACCAUAACUUCUUACCCGGUUAUCGAAUUUGGGUAAAUUUUAUAUCGUUGGAAAACUAAUUGAAUUUCCUACGCAAUGGCAGGCUGUAAGCUGAAAAUUAUUGAGUAUUUCAAAAAUUUAUAUAUGAAUACUCAUCUAUUGGGACUUAGAUUAUGCUAGGAAAAUAUGGGCUAUUACAAUAUCUCCCCCUUGGGAUCAUUCGUCCUCGAAUGAGACUGGUUAAGGUGAGGAAAACUGAUGGAUUGAGCUUACACACUGAACAUGCAUAUCUGAUGCAUGGAAUGCAUGACUGAACUGAUUUAUAAAUGCACUGCUGACAUGAAUAUGAUAUGCAACUGAAACUGAGCAUGAUAGAGAGAAAUCUUAAAAAGAUCAGUACCUGAAACCGAAUCUGAAUUCGCAGAGAAAAGACGAGGGUACUUGGUUCGUAUAUAUGCUUCUGAUUCCCAAGUAGCUCCCUCAACGGACUGAUUCCGCCAAACAACUUUGACUAGUGGAACCUCUUUGUUCCUUAGUCUACGAACUUGAUGAUCAAGAAUUUCGACUGGAACUUCCUCAUAGGAAAGACUAUUUUGAACAUCUACACUUUCUGAGGGAACAACUACAGCUGGAUCACUAAUACACUUCUUCAACAACGAGACAUGGAACAUAGGUGUACUAAAGCUAGAUAUGAAAGUAACUCAAGCUCGUAAGCUACCUUUCUGAAAUGACUAACAAUUCUGAAGGGACCUACAUAUCGGGGACUGAGUUUCCCUUUCUUGCCAAAUCUUUUCACUCCCUUCAUGGGAGAGAUUUUCAAAUAUACCAAAUCACCGACCUCAAACUCGAGAUCAUUUCUCCUCAUAUCUGUAUAUGAUUUAUGUCGGCUCUGGGCUAUUCUAAGCCUCUCUCUGAUCAACUAAACCUUCUCUAAGGCAUCAAACACCAAGUCAAGCCCUACUACUGCGGCCUCACCUACUUUAAACCAACGAAUUGGAGAUCUACAUCUCUUACCAUAGAGAGCUUCAAACUGAGCCAUCCGGCUAUUGGAAUAAUAUUUAUUAUUAUAUGUGAAUUAAUUAAAGGUAAGUGGUCAUCCCAAUUACUCUUGAAAUCAACUACGCAUGCUCUCAGCAUAUCCUUAAGAGUCUGAAUGGUUCUUUUUUCUUGACCAUCUGUCUGAGGGUGGAAAGCUGUACAGAGGUGGACUUGGGUACCAAGACCCUUUUGGAAUGCCUUCCAGAAGUAAGAGGUAAACUGGAUACCUCUAUCUGAGAUGAUAGAUAAUGGAACACCGUGUAAUCUAACCAACUCCCUGAGAUACAGUUUGGCGUAGUCCUCGACUGAGUAAGAGGUAUGGACUAGCAAGAAAUGAUCUUAUUUGGUCAUCCUAUCUAUGAUAACCCAAAUAGAAUCAUGCUGAUAAUGGGUACGAGGCAAACCUGUCAUAAAAUCCAUGUUCACUUCUUCGCAUUUCCAUGUGGGAAUACUGAACUCCUGCAUGGGCCUACUAGGAUUUUGGUGCUCAAUCUUAACUUGCUGACAUAUAGAGCAUUUAGCUACAAACUCCGCAAUAUUCCUCUUCAUCCCACUCUAUCAAUAGAUCUCCCGCAAAUCACGAUACAUCUUAGUAGCCCCUGGAUGAAUAGAGUAACACACAUCAUGCGCUUCUACAAGAAUUCUUUACCUCAAAUCUUCUACAUCAGGCACACACAAUCUACCCUGACAACGCAAAAUGCCAUCUCCCCCUUGGGAGAAAACCUCCACUUGCUGAUCUUUGACUGAUUCUUUCAAGUUAACUAGACUGGAAUCUCUAUCCUAUUUUUCCUUUACCUCAUAAAUUAGAGAUGAUUCAGCACUACUCUGCACCCCCACACUACCUUCUGCUGAGUCGACUAAGCGGACACCUAGUCGGGUAAGCUAACGAGCUUCCUAAGCUAACUUUUUCUUACCAUCCUCAACAUUAGCAACACUAUCCUUAGACAUUUUACUAAGCGCAUCAGCUACUAUAUUGGCAUUGCCCGGAUGAUACAGAAUAUUCAUGUCAUAAUCUUUUAACAACUCUAACCACCUUCUCUAACACAAAUUUAAAUCUUUUUGAGAGAACGCAUACUCCAGGCUCUUUGGUCAGUGAACGUAUCUACAUGCAUCCCAUACAAGUAAUUCCUUCAAAUCUUAAAGGUAAACACUCAGCUUCUAGCUCGAGAUCAUGAGUUGGAUAAUUCUUCUCACUGGGCUUAAGUUGUCUGGAGGCAUAGGCUAUAACCUUGCCUCUAUAUAUAAGGAUAUAACCCAAACGUACUUUGGAUGCAUCCCAGUACACAACAAACCCAUCUGAACCAUCUGGCAAAGUAAGAACUGGGGAUGAGGUGAGUCAAGUCUUCAACUCUUGAAAACUCUUCUGGCAUGAAUCUGACCACUAAAAAUUAACUUUCUUCUGAGUCAAUCUGGACAUAGGGGAUGCAAUAGAUGAAAAACCUUCAAUAAACCAACGAUAAUAGCCAGCUAAAACCAAGAAACUCCUAAUGUCUGAUAGAGAGAUGGGUCUAAGAUAGCUUCUCAAUGCCUCGAUCUUUUGAGGAUUAACUCUAAUGCCAUUACCAGAAAUAAUAUGAUCAAGGAAUGCUACUGACCUUAGCUAAAAUUUGCACUUACUGAAUUUGGCUAACAACUGAUGAGUUCUAAGAGUCUGCAAUACUAUUCUGAGGUGGUCUGUAUGAUCACUUUCGCUACGGAAGUAAACAAAAAUGUCAUCAAUGAAGACUAUAACGAACAUGUCCAAGUACUGCUUGAACAUUCGGUUUAUCAUGUCUAUGAAAGCUACUGGGGCAAUCGUGAGAUCAAAGGAUAUGACUAGAAACUCGAAAUGACCAUACCAGGUUCGAAAAACUAUUUUUAGAAUGUCACAUUCCCUGACUCUAAGCUGAUGAUAGCCUGAUCUGAGAUCUAUCUUUGAAAAGUAGCUGACACCUUGAAGUUGGUCAAACAAGUCAUUGAUUCUAGGAAGUGGAUAUCUGUUCUUGACUGUGCCUUUGUUCAACUGACGGUAAUCUAUGCAUAUUCUAAGAGAACCAUCUUUCUUAUGCACGAAUAAAAUAGGUGCGCUCUACGGAGAGACAUUGGGUCUAAUAAAUCCCUUAUCUAGGAGAUCCUUUAACAAUUCUUUUAAAUCCUUGAGUUCUGCUGGAUCUAUUAUGUAAGGAGGAAUAGUUAUGGGUUGAGUUUCUGGGAGACGGUCUAUUUUGAAGUCGAUUUCCCUUUUAGGAGAAACUUCAGAAAGAUCUUCAGUAAACACAUCUGGAAAUUCCCUUACUACUGAAAUUGACUUAAGAGUUGGAGUUUCUGAAUUUGAGUCUUUGACUCAAACAAGAUGGUAAAUACAACCCUUGGAUAUCAUCUUUCUCGCUAUAAGGUAUGAAAUCAACUGACCUCUAAAAGCUAUAGUACUACCUCUCUAUUCAAGGACUGGUUCAUUUGGGAACUAAAAAUGAACUAUUCUGCUUCUACAAUCAACUGAGGCAUAGCAUGAAUGGAGCCAAUCCAUGUCGAGAAUGAUGUCAAAAUCCAUCAUCCCUAACCCCACGAGAUUAACUGAGGUAACUUUCUGAGAUAUUAUGACCGGACAGUUCCUGUAUACCUGUCUGGCUACAAUGGAAACAAUUACUGGGGUAGACAUUGAAAAGAGCUCUACUAGAGUUUUGGUACUAACUCCGAAAUUGACAACUAUAUAUGGAGUUACAAAAGAAGAGAAGCUCCAGGUUCUAGUAAAGCAUAAACAUAUAAGUUAAAGACCUGCAACGUACCAGUAACUAUGUCAGGAGAAUUUUCCUAAUCUUGGUGGGACUGAAGAGCAUAUAAUCUGUUCAAACACUGGCCACUAGUAGCACUGGAAGCGGUACCCUGCUGAGUUGGACAAUUGAUAGAACUGACGACUAAUUGGAAUAGCCCUGUUGGCGCAAAUCCCUACCUUUCUGAGCAGCUACCCAACACUCCCAAAUCUAAUGGCUUGGCUUGCCACACCCGAAGCACACAUCACUACCUACUCUACACUCACCUUGAUGGUGUCUGCCACACUUCUGAGAUAGAGGGUUCAUACGAGCACUGCUAACACUGCCUUGGUACUUAGAGCCUGGUGCUCUAUCCCUAUUAUCAUUUCUGAAGUUGGGUACUAGGGCACUGGCUGAAGAGGAUGCUGAGGCUAAAUACCUCUGAUGAAAUUGAGGAUGGUUACCACCUUCUGACCUUGGCUGACUGAAAUUAAAACUACUUGUUCUAGCUUUCUUGUUUCCUCUCUCCCUCUCCUUAAUCUUAUGCUCCUCAAUUUGUUGAGCAUGGACCAUCAACCUAGACAAGUCCAUCUUUCUAAUUAGCAUUGCAAUCCUACACUCCUUGACCACACUAUCAGAUACGCCAGACACAAACUUAAUCAUCUUAGACCUGCUGUCAGCUACUACAUGAGGAGCAUAUCUAGCUAACUGAGUAAACUUGAGGGAAUACUCCUUCACGCUCAUGCUACCCUGCCUAAAGUUAAUAAAUUCUAACACCUUGUACUCCCUCAACUCCAAUGGAAAGAAUCUGUCAAAGAAAGCUAUAGAAAACUCUUUCCACUCUACAGGCCCUGCAUCAGUACCCCUAUCUACCUUCUACAGCUUAAACCAUGUAUGGGCUAUAUCUUGUAACUGAUAUGUAACCAACUCAAUACUCUUACUGGAUGUUACCCCUAUGGCAGUCGUUACUUUUUAAACCAAAAUUCCUAUGGAUUCUCUUCAGACUUAGAUCCCAUGAAAGAAGAAGAAUUUAUCCGGGUGAAGUGCCAAAUUCUGGUUGCAGCAGCAUUGGCCACUGAGUUGGCCAGAACAGUAGAUGUUUGUUCAUUUGGUGUUGCUACAAAAUUCACUAGAGUGGUGAACGCAGCUCUAAAUUCUGCGUGAGAGACAUGCUCGUCCAGACGAUCUACCUAGACGGGCUGAAGUGCUGGCUAGUUUCCUACUCCUCUUCUGUUAUUCUUUUUGGGAGGCAUGUUCUGUAAAUGAAAGGAAGAAACGGAUUAGAGUAAGAGUUUAACAUGAGCUCAUGCUCACUCGUACGACAUGAAUACUGAAAGAAAGAAAACUUUUCCUAAAUGCCUUGUAUACUCUAAUCCAUAAGUGUGGCACGCUACACACCCAUGCACAAGACUCUACUUGUUUUCAGACUUCCUAGGACACUUUAAAACUUUAGGCUUUAAUACCAAGUUUGUAACGCCCCGAGAGUACACCCUGGGCGUCAUACGGUGGUUACAGUCCUGAGGAACCACAAGCUAACCCAUGAGCUAGUACCUAUUAUGAGCACUGAAUAACAUAAUCAAGAAUGCGAAAGAAUAACUAAUAUGCCAUAAGGUUUUAAUAACUAUAACAAGCAUUGAAUUAUGAAUCUGAAAAAGUAAUUAUUUGAGUCUGAGUAAAUAUUGAAAUCUGAGAUAAACUGAAUAACUAACUGACAUGUCAACUGAAGUAUGAAUACUAAAUAACUGACUUUAGUGUCUAAAAACCUCUAAACUAAAUAACUGUGAGUUGAUGGGAUAGGCCUCAACUAACUCCAACUAACUACUAGACUGAAAGUAUAAAAUAAUAUAAUCUGUCCUUGAAAUAUGAGGACUCACCAUUGCUACUGCUGGGAGUCUGAGAAGUCUAAGGACGAUCUGAAAACUAAGCGUCAGCACCUGUGAUAUAAUACAUCAUAGGGCAAAAGAAAGGUCUGCGAUCAGUACUUUAAAUAUACUGGUAUGUUAAAUGAGGUAGGCUGACAUGCAUGGUUUCAUGAAUAGGAAUAACAACAGUCUAAAUAUACAUGUAAAACAUGGAGUACUAAAUAAAGAGCAUGAAAUUUGUAGAUACUAAAAAUAUGUGAAAUCUGUAAUUACUGUGUACACAUAAAAGUCUAAAAAUACUAAAGGUACGUGAAAUUUGUAGAUACUAGGGAUGCAUGACUAAGCAUAUAACAUAAAAUGAAUAAAAGUCUGUAAACUAAAAUACAAAAAUAACUGAUAUCUGUAUGCCUUGGUCAAAUAACAUUGAGACUAAACUACUGAUCUGAUUAUUGGACUAAGAUUAUGGCUGAUACUGUGGGAGCUAUCAUCUAACCGACAUGACCCAAUCUGAGCUAAUCGGGUUCCAACCUGUAACCCUAAUUGAAAGGGUGUUAAUACCGUACCAUGGGUACUAACGUUGGCUGUGUGGAUCGACUAUACUGAGGUACUAUCUUGAAGGACUAAGGGUGUUAAGCCUGAAUUGACGGGUGACCCUUACGAGAUAGUCAAACCUAAAUUGAUGGGUGACUUUUCAUAUCCUACGCUGGCUACAUAGUUCUGGAGUUUAGGGACUGCUACUAGCAACUCUGCCUAUCUGGCGGGGAAGCCACCAUCCCUACACUCACUCGGUGCUAAAUCCUACUCCCAACUAAAUGACACUGAGUUACUGACUAUUCUGGGUUUAACUGACUAUUUUAGUAAUGCUCAUAAAUAUAAUCUGAAGUUAUUCAGAAUAUACUGAGACCAGACUAAGUAGAACAGCUAUGCUUUUGGGGUACUCAAUACCCCCAGGACUCAAAAAAAUAAUAGUAAAACGACACUAAAGCUUGAAGGACAUAGCAUGAAGGCUUUUAUUAAAUAUUCAUUCUUGUAAGCAUUUUAUCAAACACUUGAUAUGAAUGAUGUACAUUAAGCAUGAAAAAUAGACCAAAAGUUGUAGUAAAGCAUAAUUUCAACACAAAUCAUGAAUUAAAUCAGUGGACAACAAUAUUUAAUCAUAUAGAGUGUAGUAAUAAACAUCAAUUUCGUUAAAACAUGGUAUACAACAACAUUCAUGAAAAUUCAUGGUUAAAUCAUAAUUUAAAAUCAAUAUAACUUGAAAAGAUCAUGCUUUUGUAAUUUAAAAUGUAUACUUAGACUCCAUGGGUGAAAGAAACCCAUGGAUGAACAUUUAACAUACCUAGGUUAAUGAAUUUGAGAGGAUUGAUGGUGAGUUCUUGAGAUUUGGUCUUGAAUUUGAGAGCUAGGGUUUUUGUGUUCUUGAAGAGAAUGGAUCCCCUUUUGAGUAAUUUGAGAAUAAUGGGCAUAUAAUUCCCUAUUAAGCUUUAAUUUCGUGUUUAGGAUGAGUUUAGGUCUUAGAAAAAUGACCAAACACCCCCUUGGAAAUUAAAAAUGCAAAACUGGAAAACCAAAAUUCCCGAUUUUCAGCCUUGGCGCGACGUGCCACUAUCGUACCAAGCCAUUGGAAAGGGGACAAUUGGAAAACUGGAUGAUGGCGCGAAGUGGUAAGAUCGUGGUUCUUCACUGGAAUGCCAUUUUGGCUACCUCUGCGAUGUGCCAUAAUCGCAGAGGCUCACUGGAAAUUGCCAAACGUGAACUCUGGAAAGAGAAAAAUUGGAAAACUGGAUGAUUGUGAGAAGCGGUAAGAUCGCGUUCCUUCACUGGGAUGCCAUUUUGGCCACCUCCGCGAUGCACCAUAAUCGCGGAUGCUCACUAAAAAUUACCUAAUGUGAACUGGGUCCUUAGCGCGAUGCGUCAACAUCAUGGUACCAUACUAGAAACUGACAAUUGUCAUUUAGAUUGGCUCCGCGAUGCGCUAAGGGUUAGAAUGAUGGUGUUUAAUGACUGAAACUUAAAAUCGUCAUAACUUCUUACCCGGUUAUCAGAUUUGGGCGAAUUUUAUAUCAUUGGAAAGAUAAUUGAAUUUCCUACACAAUGACAGGCUCUAAACUUAAAAUUAAUGAGUAUUUAGAAUAUUUAUAUAUAUGAAUACUUAUGUAUUGGGGCUUAGAUUAUGCUAGAAAAUACGGGGUAUUACACGACCCAUCGUGUCUCAUUGAAAAUGUAAUGUACCACUUGAAUGAGGGUUAUAACCCAAUGUGUCUCAUCGAAAGGUGGAUGACCAAUAUUGAAUAUAACUUGUCACUUUGAAUGGGUGACGACCCAAUGUGUCCCAUUGAAAGACAAACAACCUAUCUUGAAUAUCUCAUAUCACUUUGAUCGAGGUGAUGAUCCAAUGUGUCUCAUCGAAAGGUGGAUGACCAAUAUUGAAUAUAACAUGUCACUUUGAAUGGGGUAAUGACCCAAUGUGUCUCAAUAAAAGGCGGACGAUCUAUCUUGAUAUAAUAUGUCACUUUGAUCGGGGUGAUGUCCCAAUGUGUCUCGUUGAAAGGCGGAUGACCUAUCUUGAAUGUAACUUGUCACUUUGAAUGGGGUGACAGCCCAAUGUGUCUCAUUAAAAGGCGAACAAUCUAUAUUGAAUAUAAUAUGUCACUUCAAUAGUGGUGAAGACCCAACGUAUCUCAUUGAAAGGCAGACGACCAAUAUUAAAUGUAACAUGUCACUUGAAUGGGGUGAUGACCCAACGCGUCUCAUUGAAAGGUAGACGACCACUAUUAAAUGUAAUAUUCACUUUGAAUGGGGUGAUGGUCUAAUGUUGUGUCUCAUCAAAAGGCGGACGACCUAUCUUGAAUGUAGCAUGUCACUUUGGUCGGGGUGACAGCCCAACGUGUCUCAUUGAAAGGCGGAUGACCUAUCUUUAAUAUAACAAAUCACUUUGAACUGGGUGACGACCCAAUGUGUCCCAUUGAAAAGUGGAAGACCUAUCUUAAAUGUAACAUGUCACUUUGAUUGGGGUGACGGCCGAACGUAUCUCAUUGAAAGACGGAUACCAAUAUUGAAUGUAACAUACCACUUUUGAAUGGGGUGACGAUCUGAUGUGUCUCUUUGAAAGGUGGACAACCUAUCUUGACUGUAACAUGUCACUUUGAACGGGGUGACAACCCAAAUAUAAUAAGAUAUGUCCUUUAGAAAGGGUGGUUGAACUAAAUAAGAUGUGUCCUUUUGAAAUGAUGGAUGACCUAAAUAUAAUGAACUUCAUUCUUUGAAUCAGGAGUCAUUCAAAUGACUUGAGCAUAUCCUGAAAUUCUAGAUUGGAUCCUCAAACUUUGAGAAGAUAUUUUUGCAUUAUUUUUUAGUGGCAAUCUUUUAUAAUGUCACUUGUAUAACUUAAACAACAGUCAUUAAUACAACAAUUUGUUAUAACUAAGCCAGGAGUGUAACAGAAGAUAUAGUUUAAAGAUAAAGAUGAUGUUGUUUGACUCAUGAUGAUUUAGAGAUAGUAGUUAGGAUAAUAUAUCCACAUCUUCGUCAUUAUGUUAGAUCGUUUCCCUAUAAAAUCAGAGAAAGUGAUAGAGAUCAUAACAAAGUAAUAGAAACAUAAAUCAAGAGAAAAAUGGAGGAGAAAAGUUAUCUAGAUUAUUAUGGCAAGACCACAAUGGAUCUGAUAAUACCCUUUGUCAUGCUUAACGGUGUCAACUUUAUGACUUCACUAUUCCUGGAUCCAAAGAAAAAUUCUUAGAUUUGAGAGACUGACUGUAUUGGCAUUGUUUCUCCCUCCUGAUGCACCUUGUUCAUCAUUGAUUUGCAAAUUUUUCUGAUCUUGAAGUACAACUUUUGUGGAAUUUUUGAGGAUCUUCCUCUAAAAUUAUGCCGCGGUCUAUAACAUAUAACUCCAGAACCUUCUUAUAACUUGUGACAUAUAUUUAAUUUGAAAUUUUUGAGACCUUUUCAAAAAUUCUUCCCCAGUUUAAAAUGUAAAAUACUUGAGUUGUAUCUGACAUAGGGUACUUUCAGCAUAGAGAAUUUCAAAAAUUAUGCCCCGAUCUUAGCUUCAGCAACAUUUGAACUUCAACUUUGUGGAAAAUGUCACGUUUUGAGAAAUUUUUUAGACCUUCUCAAAAUUUUUUACCCAAGUUGUAUACUUUAGUUUCAUCUUCAUUUAUCUUUGGAAAGGAUCUUCUGAUAACUUCUAAAAAAUUUUUGCCAUAAUUUCUAUGAAAAUCUUACGAAAAAUAUGGUCGAGCCAGUGUGGCGCCUAUGCAUUUCAUUGAGGUAGGAAAUGUAUUUCCAACAAAAGUGGCAAGGUAAUUCUUCUAAGGAAUUGAUCGAAGCCAACAUAGUCCUCCUACGUAUCCCAUUCUUGGAAAUUCAGGUCAAACGUAGUUCAUACAUAAAAUGAAAAGAUAAAUUCUCUAAGGGGUUGACCAAAGCCGAUAUAGGCCGCCUACGUAUUUCGUUGAGGUAGGAAAUUUAGUUCUAACAAAAGUGGAAAGGUAAAUCUUCUAAGGAAUUGACCAAAGCUGAUAUAGGCCGGCUACGUAUCCAAUCUUGGAAAUUCAGGUCAAACGUAGUUCAUACAUAAAAUGAAAAGAUAAAUUCUCUAAGGGGUUGGCCGAAGCCGACAUAGGCCGCUACGUAUCCCAUUCUUAGGAAUUCAGGUCAAACAUAGUUCAUAUAUACAAAAGGGAUAUUUGAUACUUUUGAUAACGUGAUUGAAGCCAAUACAGGCCGACUACGCAUUCCACAAGGGAAAUCAGGUUGAACGUAUAUUAUUACAACUAAAAGGGUGCAAUUACAAGGAAAUCAAACCAUAAAGUACGAUUACAAGGAAAUAAAACAACAGAAUGCAAGUACAAAAAAAUAAAAUGAGAAAGUACGAUUACAAGAAAACAAAAUAACAACAUCCAAAUGCAGGAUAGAAGGAUGUCAGAAGUGCAACAAACUUAGGACAACGAAACUUGACUAUGAACUUCCACCACCAGAGUUUAAAUUUAAACUUGUCGGAAUUCAACCUUUCGUUGAAAUUGAUUUUUUUUAGUGUGUUCUUUGAGAAUUUUAGUUGCGUGAGGUUAGAAGCAUUCGCCUCCAAAACCCCCAAAUUUCCCCUCAAAGCCCUUCUCCUUCACCCCUAUCCCUCACUAGCUAUUUAUAGGAGAAUUUANNNNNNNNNNNNNNGGGGGGGGGGGGGUAAAAUUAGGGUUUCGCAUUUUAAAUCCAAAUUUUAAGUUAAUUUUCUUGGAGAAUUUCAAUCCACAGGCAGAGAAGGGUACGUAUCGAUUGACUUCUUGCCAAAAGGGAGGUGAACAUGAACUAAACAAGAAAAAGUCGAUGAAACUUUAGCCAAAAUGGUUUUACGAUGGAGUAAAGAGUAAAAUUGAUGGCAAUGGCUAGGUUGACUAGGGUUUAUGGAUUUGACGGUGUUGUCGUUGAAGCUAUUAUUAUCGAAUUUGGGUCAAAUUUUUGUUGUUGUUGCUCGUACGGCAUUGCCGUUGUUGACAUUGUUGUUGUUUGUUUGUUGUUAACGGUGGUGUUAAGGGUUGUACAUCAUUGUUGUUGGGUUGUUGUUGUUACUGAUAAGGGAGAAGAGGCUUGGGUCGGGUCGGGUCGGUGGCUGGUGUGGGCUGUUGGGGGUAAGUUGUUGUUAUUGUUGGGCUGGUUAGGGUGCAGAAUUGGGCUGGGAUAGUUGAUUUUGGACUGGGUUAAAAUUAAAAGAGAUGAGGAUUUGGACUGGUUUAGUUAAAUUAGGAAUGGGUAGAUUAAGAUAAUCAAGGAAGUCCAAUUUAACAAUUGUAACCACUUUAUAUUAAAAAAAAAUGGCCACAAUUGAGUUAAUUGGACAAAAUUGAGACAAAAUUAACUUUUAAUUAAUUUGACGAGUUUCUCAAAUUCAAUAAUUUCAAAAUAAAUAUCAAAUAAAACACACUUUUAUUUUAUUUCUUUUUUUUUUCAAAAAUAAUAACAGUAUUACUUAUAAUAAUAAUAAUAAUAAUAAUUAAGAAACUAAUUAUGUCAUCAAUUUUUUAUUUUCAAUUGAUAUUGAGAAAAGUAGAAUAUUUGCAAUUUAAUCAAACUUUUCACUCUGAAUAAAUUCUAAAGCGAUUUCUUUAACCGAUAAUUAUAUAAUCAUGUAUAAUUAAACACUAAAUAUAUUAAUUUCACCUAAAUUCAAAAGGUAGGGUUGAAAUUUAUUUCAAAAUAACUUAAAAUAAAUAUUUUAAAACUAUUUAAAAUUAAAAAAUUCAAAAAACAAUUUGGAAAGCGGAGGACAAAAAUUAGGUGUCAACAAUUAUCAUUCACAAAACUUUGAGCAAUUAGAGAUGAACUUACAUGUCCCGUAGCCUAAAAAAAAUAAAAACUAAGACAUUAGUUGCUAAAAAAAUGAUUGACAUGUAUUAAUAAACAUUUUAAAAAUAUACAUUUCAAUGCUUCGUGUUUGCCUACCAUAGGUUGGUAUCCAACUUGAGCAUGUUUAGGAUUUUCAAUUAUAAAACGUGAGUGAUAGAAAUACCAUUGAUUGUGAUCUUCUUGGUUGACCAUAUAAUUGGGGUGAACACUAUUGUCAUAGCGUUCAUUCCACUUCUAUUCCGUUUCAUUUAACAACAUAACAAUCUCCCGUGUUAUUUGAAAUCGCUUAUCGUGUUCAAAAUAAAAUGAUUUGUACUCAAGUCGCACAUGUAUGUGUUGGACAUAACCAAAUUAUCUCAUAAAGCGAUCAAUCAUAUGAUAUUCAUGAUGAAUUUCAUAAAUAAGUGAAACCUUAGCCAUCCAAAUAACACGUCCUAGCCGACAUCACUCGGGCAACUCAUUAAUAAAUUACUCAGAAUAAUGUUGCCAAAUAAACUACAAAAUAAUAAAAAUAUAAUGAUUAAUGUGACUCAAAGAAUUUGUCUAAUCAUUGCUUAGUUUAGGAAACAACAGGUAUAUUUUUACUUCAUCUUUACUGGUUUAAUUAGUAACAGCUCAUAAUUUUUAAUAUAGAUUUUUUUUCAAAAUAUAAAUAUAGAAUUUUGAUCGAAGCAUAGCUUUAUUCUUAACUUCGCCAUCGAAUAACUUGGUUCUACGAAACACAUAAUAGCUUUCUCCGUAGUCCUGCUCUCAAAUAUUUUGGAUUCUAUCGAACACGUAAAUUUCUCCUAACUUUGGCCUCAAAUACGUAGCGUAAAUUUUUGCUAUAGAAUUCAACACUAUUAGGACUAUCCACAAUGAAGUGGAUGAUGUUAAGAAUUCAACUCUGGCUUCAAAUACGUAUUUUAAAAAAUGCACUAUAAUAAUAUAGCAUUUCACUGCUUUUAUAUAUAUACGAGCUUUAUUUAAUUGGUGGAGCAUUGCGUUAUAUUACUACAAAUAAAAAUUAAGGUAAAAAAAUGACUUGAUAAUACAAAAAGUACCUGCUUCUCUGUAAGGUUGUCUAAUGCAUCUCUUAUUAUGACAAGCAUACUACGAGCCUCAAUUUGAUGAGUUCUACCUCGAGACCAUUUACGUGCAUAUGCGGUCGGGACCUCCAAAUUUUCCUUGCUAGGAGGUAGUGAAAAUGGCUACAAUAAGAUAAUAUGCUCCCAUGUCCAUGCUUAUAGAAAAAUAUAAUCAACAAUAUUUAUCAUCAUAGUAAAAUUAAGUAAUACAAAAUGGGGGAAAAUAUUAUAAAGUUCACAUACCUGUAAUAACGAAACAAAAUUACUAAUGCAGCGUGACUUCUCUAUUGACGCACGACAAACAAAAUUAGAGAUACGAUAGCGCAGUGGCUCUCCAUGCAUAUGUUGACAUUACGGGUAAGUCAUGUAUGUCAAUAAAAAAGUCUGUAUUAAAUUUAUUUUUGAACUUGUCGGGAAAUAUUAUUCCGCCGCACAACCGAAAAAGAUACAACCCAACUCUUUGUUACACCUUUUCUUCCUCAGUUCAUCAUUUAUUUCAUUUAUAUUUUUCAUGUAUUCCUCUAAUCUCAAUAAAAAAACUUAUUUUCUUGAAAAAAGUCUAGAUCAGGUAUACAUCCUGUUAAUUUAACAAACAUUUGUUGCUUGUCAAUAGGUAACAUCUGAGCAACGCCUAGAUGAAGAAUGAGAAUUUCAUCUACGACUACUCCAAACAUAACUUUCAUGUCUUGUAAGGUCAUAGUCACUUCACCCGUUCUUAGGUGAAAGGUAUGUAUUUCUGGCAGUAAUAAGGGAAUAAUCGCAGGGAAUAUAUCCAACAUCUAUAACACCCCUAAAAUCAUAAAUAUUAAAAUAAUUAAGAAGACGGGAUGGAACGGAUGAUCUAACAUGUUGCAAAAAAUCAUUAUCAUCUUGUUGCACUAUCAAAUAUGCCUUUUCUCCCUUUAAUGUGCCUCUACAAAUAGCUUCGAAUCGAUGCUUACUUUGUGUGGCAUAUACAUCAUACUAUGAUGGUCCGGGAUGGACAAACUGUUGAUAUUUCAUAUCUGUACAGAAAUUAUGAUGGUCCGGGAUGGACAAACUGUUGAUAUUUCAUAUCUGUACAGAAAUUAUGAUGGUCCGGGAUGGACAAACUGUUGAUAUUUCAUAUCUGUACAGAAAGAAAAUUAAAAAUAGUUUUGAUAUGUAUUUCAUGAACAUUUAUGCCAAGUAAUAAUUUGAUAAAUUUAGCAAUUUACACAUACAUUCAACUAAGGGGGUCCGGAGCCUAAAGGGUAAGUUGUUUGCACAUGCAUGACCAAAUUUAACAUCUUUGUUAUGCAAACAACAAAUUUAAAAAAAAAAGUAGAUAUACAAUAAUGACUUAACAUAGGUUUAGGCUUAACAAGUUGGUAUGAUAAAAACAAUGUUUGGAAAAUUAGUAAGCUAAAAAGAUGAUUGAUAAUAUUAAUACUACUUGUUGUUAGAUAUUGAAAUAAUUAUAUAAAAAGGUGACCAAAAUAUAUCUUAAAGUGCAAAAUUUUUAAUGAAAUACACUUUGAACAAGAACAAGGGCAAACACCCAAGUAAUAUGAAUGAAGAGAGUGAAACGGGUAACAAACAAGUAAUGUAAUAAGAAAUGAAUGAAAUAGUUGGUUUAUAAAAGAAAAUUAAUAUGGUAGGGGACAAAUAUUACCUUGUAAGAUAAAAUAGUCUCCUUACCUUGCAUUAUAGGCGAAAUAAAUUUUUCACUAAAUACUCUCGGUUUAUAAAUACUUGUUCAUUUUUGACUUGACAUAUGCCUUAAGUAACAAAAAAUAGAUGCGCACUUUUACUAUAUCACCCUUUGAAUAUAAUAAAUUUUUUAUUUUGAAAAAUGCAAUGAGUGAAUUAUAUUUAAUACCAAGGGUAAAAUAGAUAAAAAUAAAAAAUUAUCCAUUAAUUUCAUAAAUUGGACAAGUAUUGUUGGACAUCCAAAAUAGAAAAGUGAAUAAAUAAAGAUGGACGGAGGGAGUACAUCGGUUUCAUAAAAUUCCCAACUCCUACCAACUUUUUCAGUCAAAGAAUAAAAUAAGCGGGUCCAUCUACCUUGUAAGGUAAAAUCACCAUUUACCUUGCACUUUAUCAUGUAAUCAGACAGUGUAAAUUUUUAAUGAACAAGUUAAGCACCUGUGUUUACCUUGUCUAUUUUGGUAUUUUUAAAUUUUGAUAUAUCCCUUUGGAAUUUUUGAUUAAAAAACUUUCCCUUUAAGCUCCGAACUCAUGUUUGGUUGAUAGUAUAAAUUUACCUCGAGACUAAUUUUUACCAUCAAUCAAAUCUCUCUCUCUAUAGACAUAUAUAAAAGCAAAACUAAAACAAGACAAGAUGCCAAGUGACAACAUAUUAAAAUAGCCACGUGACAGUUUUUAGGAUGAAAUUAAAAAAUAUUUUAAGAAAAAGUUAAAAAUAUUGUAAUAAAAAAUUUGAAUUGAAAGAUUAAGUAUUUGAAUUUGAAUAAAUUAUCCCUUUACAAAAAAGAUUUUCAUUAUCUUAAAGAUACAAACUCAUAAUUAAAGAGUUUUAAUAGACAUAUACCAUUUCAAACUUAUCUCUUAUAAAAUUUAAAUGUUAUAAAAUAUAUUUAAAUAUAAUUUAUUUACAUAUCAGGAAAAGAUAUAAAAUUAUAAAAACAAUAAUAAUAAUUAAUAGUAAUGAAGAAGCAAUAAUAGCAGUAAUACAUACGUAUAUGAUGAUGAUGAUGAUGAUGAUGGAGAAGAAUUAUAUAAUAUUUUAAACAAAUUAAUUUAUUUUUUAAUAAAAAGGAAUAAAAGAGAACAAAAAGGAAAAAACAUAUGAAAAGUUAAAAUAAUUUGAUACUAAUAUUUUAGAAUCAAUAUCAUUAAUUUAAAAUAUUAAUUUUUUUAUUUCAUUUAUUUCUUUUGUAGAAAAUUCCUAAUUGGUCUCAGUAAUUUCAUAUAUAUUUUUUUGCAAACUCAAAAUAUGUAAACUAUAAGAUAAUCAUGACAUUUUAGAAUCUUAUCUUUGUAGAUUCUAACAGAUUUUAGAAUCUUGAAUUUGAAAUACAUUAUCCCUUUUAAAAAAAAAUUAUUAUCUUAAAAAUAGAAACCCAUAAUUGAAGAUAUUCCAAAAUUUUCCACACACACAUAUAUAUAAGCAAAACUAAAACAAGACAAGAUGCCAAGUGGCAACAGAUUAAAAUAGCCACGUCACAGUUUUUAGGAUAAAAUUAAAAAAUAUUUUAAGACAAAGCUAAAAAUGUUGUAAUAAAAAUUUUGAAUUGAAAGAUUAAGUAUUUGAAUUUGAAUAAAUUAUCCUUUUACAAAAAAAAAUUUCAUUAUCUUAUAGACAGAAACUCAUAAUUAAAGAGUUUUAAUAGACAUAUACUAUUUUAAACUUAUCUCUUAUAAAAUUUUAAUGUUAGAAAAUAUAUUUAAAUAUAAUUUAUUUACAUAUUAAGAAACAAUAAAAAAUAUUAAAAUAAUAAUAAUAGUUAAUAAUAAUGAUAGAAACAAUAGUAGCAGUAGUACAUACGUAUAUGAUGAUGAUGAUGAUGAUGAUGAUGAUGAUCAUCAUCAUCAUCAUAAUAAUAAUAAUAAGAAGAAGAAGAAGAAGAAGAAGAAGAAGAAUUAUAUAAUAUUUAAAACAAAUUAAGUUAUUUUUUAAUAAAAAAUAAUAAAAGAGAACAAAAAGGAAAAAACAUGUGAAAAAGUUAAAAAUAAGUUGAUACUAAUAAUUUAGAAUCAAUGUCAUUAAUUUAAAAUAUUAUUUUUUUAUUUAGUUUGAAGAAAACUCCUAAUUGGUAUCAUUAAUUUCAUAUAUAUUUUUUUGCAAACUCAAAAUAUGGAAACUAUAACAUAAUGAUGACAUUUUAGAAUCUAUAAAGAUAAGAUUCUAACAACUUUUAGAAUCUUGAAUUUGAAAUACAUUAUCCCUUUUUAAAAAAAAAAUAAAAAAUUAUUAUCUUAAAAAUAGAAACCCAUAAUUGAAGAGUUCUAAAUUUAAAGGUGUUAAAAUGAACCUAAAUUGAGUUGACCUGCCCAAUAGUUAAUGGGUUGGAUUUAAGAUAAUUUACUAUUGGGUAAAUUCUUAACCCAUUAAGUAUCAACCCAUUUUUAAAUUGGGUUCAAAUGAGCUCAAUUCAAUCUCUACUUCAAUCCGUUUAAUAGAAAAAUGAUUUUCUUAAUGAAAUUAGAAAAACAAGUGACAAUGCGUCGUCCUAUUCUCAAAAUGACCCACGUCACCUCACCUCAACCCCACUACAUCUCCAACUUACCACACCCCACCCCACCCUGCCUCCAUUAAAUAUAUCAUUUCUAUUUCUUAAGAAGUUUUUUAUAAAUUUUUUUUGCCCCAUCCUACUUCAUUCCCAUCCCCUUCCCUACCUCGAACCCCCACCCCAAAAAAAAAUUCUUUUAAUUUUUUUGGAAAAAAAAAAUUCUUUUCUUACCUCACGAUCAAAAUCCAACCCUCCCUCUUCACCACAUCCCCUACCUCUCACAAAAAAGAUUUUUUUUUUAAGAAAUAUUUUUUAAAAAUAAAUAAAUAAUUAUUUUAAAAAAAAUCUUAUCCUAACCCCAUCUCCCGCUAUCCCCUGCACCCCCUAUACGACAAUAUCUCAUCCCGCCAAAAAAUGUAGUUUUCAAAUAAGUUAAAUUUCUUUUUUUUUUUAGACAAAAACUUUUACCUCAAUCCCCAUCCCUUUCUCACACCCCACACCCCACCGCUCCCAAUUUUUCUUUUUUAAAAAAUAUUUAUUUUUUUAAAAAUAAAUUCUUACCCCAUCCCCAUCACCCCCUAAACACCCCACCCCCAUGGCAUACCCCUUUCCUAAAAAUUUAUUUUUAAAAAAAUCCUUUUCUAAAAAAAAUUCUUACCUCAACCACAUCCUAACCCUCGACCCCCCACCCUACACCCCUCUACAAAAAAUGAAUUUUUGUUUUUAUAAAAAUUAAAUUUUAAAAAAUAUUCUUAUCCCAUCCCCACCCUUACCCCCACCCCCUACCCCCACGCUCUACCAACCCACCCAACUUUCUAACCCCAUUCAAAUUUAUUUUCUUGAGUUGGGUUUACAAGAGAUAAAUAUCAAUAUGUUAAUAUUUUGUAGACUAGGCGGGUCAAAUUGGGCGGGUUAAGACCCAACUCGAUUUUUACCCAUUUUAACCCAAAGUGAAUUUGGGCAGAUCAUGAUCCAACCCCCAUCACCCCCUAAACACCCCACCCCCAUGGCAUACCCUUUUCCUAAAAGGUUACUUAAAAAAAAAUUCUUACCUCAACCACAUCCUAACCCUCGACCCCCCACCCCACACCCCUCUACAAAAAAUAAAUUCUUGUUUUUAUAAAAAUUAAAUUUUAAAAAAUAUUCUUACCCCAUCCCCACCCUUACCCCCACCCCCUACCCCCACGCUCUACCAACCCACCCAACUUUCUAACCCUAUCCAAAUUUAUUUUCUUGAGUUGGGUUUACAAGGGAUAAAUAUCAAUAUGUUAAUAUUUUGUAGACUAGGCGGGUUAAAUUGGGCGGGUCAAGACCUAACUCGAUUUUUACCCAUUUCAACCCAAAGUGAAUUUGGACAGAUCAGAUAUUCAAUUCAAUCCAUUUAAUAGUUUCAGUCUCAACCCAACCCACCCAUUUAACACUCAUAGUUCUAAUACACUUUUACUAUUCAAAAUAUAUAUUUUUUAAAAUAUAAAUGCUAUAAAAUAUAUUUAAAUGUAAUUUAUUUAAAGAUUAAUGAAAGAUAAAAGUAUUAUUAAAAUAAUAAUAUUAAUUAGUAAUAGUAGUACGUUAUGUAAUAGAAGAAAUAAUAAUACAUUUGACUUAUUUAAAUUUUUAAAUGAAAGUUAAAAAUAAUAAUUAAGAAAACACAAAUAAAUAAUAGUACUAGCAGCAAUAAUACGUUGUAGUAUUGGUAAGUAGUAGUUGAGCAAUAAUAAUAAUAAUAACAAAUUGAAAAAUAUUUGAAUUAAUUUCAAAAUUUUCUCUAAUUCAGCUUUAUAUAUUAUAGGAUAAGUAUGGCUUUUAUUUGAAAAGUCUAAGGAUAAGGAAAGAAAAAUAAAAUGAUCUUCUUAUAAUAAAUUGAUAUAAUAUAAUAUUUAAAUUUAAAUUUAAAUAAAAUUUGUAUUAGAAUGAAAUUCUAACUUCUUAACCUCUCUUAUAUUUAUACUAAUAUUAUUAUUAUAAAUAUACAUUAAUAAUAAUAACAAUUUUAAAUAUCAAAUAAGAAAUAAAACAUAAUAAUAAUACAAAAUAAAUAAUCAAUAAAUAAAACAAUAAUAUUAAUCACAAUAGUAAUAAUAGUAGAAGUGGUAGUAAUAUUAAUAGUAAUAACAACAAUAAUAGCAGUAAUAAUGGCAAACUGGCAAUAACAAUAAAGUAAAACUACAUGUCCCCUUACCCAAGACAAAGGUUUUUAUUGAAUUUAAAUUAAAUAUCAAUUAUUUUGUUGUGUAUUACCUUUUAUAGCAUAUUUUGUAGCAAAAGAAUUAUAAUUCUUUGUAGGCUUCUCUUUAUUAGCAACUAUAAGUUUCUGCUCUUUUAUUUUUACUUUAUUUUUUAUAUUUAUAUUGAUUCAAAUCAAUAUCUUAAUCAAUGAGCAUUUGACUUUAAAUUUAAAUGAUAUUCGAAUUGCAAUGGAGUUCUAACUUCUUAACUUCUCCUAUAUAUACUUGAAUAGUGGUACAUAAUGUUAAGAUUUUUUUUAAUUAUUAAUUAUUAUUGAUCUUUAGCUUUACUUACUGCAUUAUUUAUAUUCUUCAUUUUCUAGAAUUGUUUAAUAUUUUUAUUUUUUAUAUGCAGAUCAGUAACAAUGAUAUUACAUUCUAAUUUAUUUUUCUAUCAUAUUCAAGACUGAAUUCAAGUAAUUAAUGUUAGGUGACUGCUAACCUGCGCCCUUCUGAUGGCAAGAGGGCGACCGUGAAAAGCUAAGAUCCAGGCGCAAGAGCGGCCGGUGGGAUCGAAGUCUAAAACUCAGAACCAAUACGUGGUAAAGGGGAAAGCAGUUUGCGAACAGGUAGAAUCAGAGUUGGGUGAAGAAGAUGAGCUCCAAUGGCUAGAUCUGUCAAUUCGCCCAGAGACCGUCACCCCUCACCUAUAAAGCUCUGAUACAAAGCAUUGGAAACCUCAACAAAACUUGUUGAUGAAGCCGACCACUGUUAAGGGGGUAGCAAGCAAAGAUACGCCAUGGUCUUCUACUAAGCAGCCUAUAGAAGUGGUUAAGUCAACAGAAAGACCAAUUGAAACAAGUGUGAAGGUGAAUCCAGAGGGGAAUGAAUAAAUAACAUGGGCAGGGAUCUUUACACGAAAUAAAUUGCCGUCAAAGGGUAUGAAUUUGAGUUAUGUUCCCCUGAUACUGGUAGAAGGAGAAGCUAUGGUGCAAUUAGCUAACGAGGACAUUGAAUAUGAAAGCCUCAAGUGGAAUAAGGCCCUAAUCUUGUACAUAGUUGGGAACACACCGUCCAUUGGAUCCAUUGAACGAUUUAUUGCCAAUCAAUGGAAUUUUAUCACUGAACCAAAGGUCCUAUAUCAUAGUGAAGGUUAUUUUGUUAUCCGUAUGAGCAACACAAAAGAACGAGAUGAGGUAAUUUUUUAGGGCCAUACACACUCAAUAAUCGACCUAUAAUACUUAAGGCCUGGGCAGCAGAUUUUAAUUUCAAUGAGGAGGUGCUUAAAACUAUUCCUCUUUGGGCCAAAUUGCCAAACCUUGCGUUGAAUUGUUGGAGUAAAGAGGCUCUUAGUAAGAUUGGCAGUGGUCUUGGCAGGCCACUCUAUGCAGAUAAUUGCACGACAACAACGGAGAGAAUAUCCUAUGCACGGAUUUUAGUAGAAAUUGAUGUGACUAGGCCAAUUCCAUAUUCUAUUAAAAUUUGUGAUCCCAAAGGAAAAGUAAUUGAUCUACCAGUAAUGUAUGAUUGGGAACCUGUUUACUAUCAAGAAUAUUGCCAAAUUGGACAUUCUUGCAAAGAGAAGAGGGUGCAACUAGCUGAGGCGAAGAACGAAAAUGCCCAAGAGGCCAGACCAAAGAAGGAAUAGAGAUUCAAUAGAACGUUGUACCUGAGGGUGGACACAAUGAUUGAUGAACGUGGUUGCUGGAAAGACCAAUUGCUACCAAAGGAAGUUAGUCCCAAUCGAGAGAAUGAGAUACCAACUCAAAAUAGAACUGAUGAUUGGUCAGUGGCCCAAGGAAAAUCUAGUGCUAGGCUCCUAAAGGAAAGACCUUCACAGGUCAUUUCUAGAAAUGAUAAUACUUUUAAUAUUUUAAAUUUUAGCCUAGAUGAGGUCAAAAAUUUGACAAGUACUAGUGAUAUUGUGGUUAAAGUAAGAGAAGCAAGGGGAAAUGGGUCAGCCAUACCUCUUUCGUGGCCAUGAAUCUAGUGACAUGGAAUAUGCGGGGGAUGAAUAAGGUGUAUAAACACUAGGAUUUUAAGAAGUUUUGUCGCAGUAAUCAUGUAGUUCUAAUUGCAGUCAUAGAGAAUAGAGUCAAGGAAAAUAAAGUUCCAAGACUAAUCAUAAAGUUAGUGGGCAAAUGACAAUAGGUUGCAAACUACCAGGAAGCUCCAGGGGGACAUAUUUUGAUAUUAUGGGAUUUAGAUCAAAUUAGUUUUACUAUCACAGGCAUGCAUAAGUAGUACAUACAUGGGCAAGUGAUCUGUCUCUGAGUUAACCUUAAAUUCAAUUUGGCGGUAGUAUAUGGUCUUCACUCCAUACAGGAAAGAAAGUCGUUAUGAGAAGGUUUAACAGUAUGGAUAAAAGGUGUUCAAGGCCCUAGUUUGAUUAAGAGAGAUUUUAAUGCUAUUAGUUCCAUGGAUGAUCUCCUCUAUGGGAAUAUAGUUUAGGAAAUAGAAGUAAGGGAUUUUAAAGAUUUCAUUUAGGAAACUGGGUUGGUGGAAUUAAAAUCUAUUGGGAGGAAAUACUCUUGGUCAAAUAAUCACAUUCUGAGUAGGAUUGAUUGGAUGUUUGUUAACUCUACCUGGAUGCAGCUCUACUUUCAUUUAGAAGGAAUAAUCAUGGACCCUCUUUCCUCGGACCAUAACCCUCUCAGUGUUACAUUAGCGGAACCAGUAGGGGUAAGAACUAAGUCAUUUAAGUUUUAUAAUUAUCUCUUAGACCAUCCUGAGUUUCAGCAAACUAUUGCAGAUCAUUGGAGGAAACCUGUGGCAGGUUUUCGUAUGCUAGCAAUUUAGAAUAAGCUUAAACAGACUAAAUAGAGUAUUAAGAGUUUGGUGACUGCUAAUUAUCAAGGGGUUGAAGAUAAAGUUCGAACAGCUAGAACAGAGUUAAUUACUAUUCACUAUGAAAUGAGAGAUGCUACCAAAUUUACAGAGCUUAUCUCAGCUGAAAUAGAGGCAAAGAAGCAACUAAAAAAGUGGAUACUGGUGGAGGAAAGCAUUGUGAGGCAGAAGUCCAGGGUCUCCUGGCUAAGGUUAGGAGAUGAUAAUACUAAAUAUUUUCAUUCUUGCUUGAGAAGUCGACAAUCUCAAAAUCAAAUAAGAAGACUCAUUUCCUUAGAGGGACACACAAUUUUAACUGAACAGGAGAUUGAAAAUGAAGUGGUGCAUUUUUAUAAGGAGUUACUAGGAACUUCAGCCCAACAAUUGCUUAUGGUUAAUGUUGAUGUUAUGGCACAUGGUCCUUCCUUGGAUAGGGCUGAAUAACUUGAAUUAAUUAAGCUAGUUACUAAAUAUGAAGUGUAUGAGGCGUUACAAAGUAUUAAUGAUAAUAAAGCACUGAGGAGUGAUGGCUUCAAUGCACACUUUUUCAAAAAAGCCUGGCCAACUAUAUGACAUGAGAUCACUAAUGCUGUAUUGGAUUUUUUUCAAUCUAGUAGAAUAUGCCCUGCUAUAAACUGUGCAUCCAUUACAUUAAUUCUAAAAUUCAAACACCCUUCUACUAUUCGAGAAUGUAGACCCAUUUCAUGUUGUACAGUCUUUUAUAAGAUUAUUUCAAAGAUUCUAACUAAUAAAAUGUAACCAGUGAUGAACGAGCUAGUGGAUAACUGUCAGACUGCCUUUGUUCCUGGUAGAUUGAUUGUGGAUAAUAUUGUGAUGAGCCACGAGCUAGUGAAGGGGUAUAGUAGAAAACACAUCACUCCUCGAUGCAUAAUAAAAGUGGAUAUGCAGAAGGCCUACGACUCAUUAGAGUGGCCCUUUAUCAAGCAAGUUUUGAGGCUUUUAGGAUUUCCUGAGGUCUUUGUCAACUGGAUAAUGAAUUUUCUGAAUAAUGUUAGCUACUCAAUUAUCCUAAAUGGUAAAGGCACUGUUCCAUUCCCUACCAAAAAGGGCUUCGACAAGGGGAUCCCAUAUCUCUUUUCCUAUUCGUUUUAUCUAUGGAAUAUCUAAAUAGGUUGUUGCAAGAACUUAAACAGUCCCCCAAUUUUAGAUUUCAUCCUAGAUGUGCGAAGGUUGGGAUUAUACAUUUGGGCUUUGCGGAUGAUCUCUUAUUAUUUUGUAGAGGUAAUGUGAGGUCAGUGACUAUAUAAAAUGAUCAAUUUCAGCAGUUCUCACUUGCCUCCGGCCUUAAGGCAAACCUCCAGAAGAGUGCAGUCUACUUUGGUGGAGUACCCAUCCUUGUUCAACAACAAAUCUCAGAUUUGUUAGGCUACUCAAAGGGGGAGUUGCCAUUUUGGUACUUAGGUAUUCCUCUAAGUACGAAACAUUUAAAUAUAGUUCAAUGCAAACCUCUUCUGGAGAGAAUAUUAGGAAGGAUUACCAUGUGGACUUCUCGAUUCCUUUCGUAUGCUGGGAGAGCUACACUAGUCAAAAGUGUAUUAUUUUCAAUUCAAACGUACUGGGAUCAGAUUUUUAUCUUACCAAAAAAGAUCAUUCAACUUAUUGAGGCAAUAUGCAGGCGAUACUUAUGGAUGGGUACAACCGAAUUCUCACAGAAAAGACUGUUUGCAUGGGAAAAACUUUGUUAUCCUAAAGUGGUAGGAGGAAUUAAUUUGAUUAAUAUGGAGAUCUGGAAUAAAGAAGAUAUCUAUAAGCUGUUGUGGCAUUUAUGUAUGGAUAAAGAACGACUAUGGGUGAGAUGGGUCCAUGCCUAUUAUAUUAAAAGCAAGUCAAUAUGAGAUACAAAUACUAAAACUGCUUCCUCGGUGGUGCAGAAGAUCUUCAAGGCUAAAAAUUACUUAGUAAAUGCGGGGUGUAGCUUGGAGGAGUUCCACCAGACACCUACUUUCUCAACUCGUAAGUUGUAUAGCAUAUUCCAUGGUGUAUUUCCAAAGGUUAACUAGAGAAAACUGGUAUGCAACAAUAUUGGCUGUACAAAAUGGAUUUUUAUGUUGUGUCUAGCCAUAAUGGGUAGGUUGGCGACUAAGGAUAGGCUGGCAAAAUGGGGAAUUAAUGUUGAUAAGUUGUGUGGAUUAAAUAAUCAAACAGAGGAGUCUCUGAAUCACCUCUUUUUUCAAUGCCCAGUAGCUAAGCAGAUGUGGCAAUCACUGUUGAGCUAGCAAGGAAUUCAGCGGAGGGCUAUGAGAUGGGAGGAAGAGCUAAAAUAGGGGGUUCGGUUUGGCAAAGGGAAAACUAGAGGUGCGAGUAUAUAUAGAAUGGUGCUUUCAGCAGCCAUAUAUCACUUGUGGAUGGAAAGAAAUACCAGAAUUUUUCAGAAGCAACACAAAGUUGCCCAUAUACUGAUCAGAAUAAUCAUCCAGGAGGUUCAUAUUAAAGCUAGUUUAUGGCCUAAAUUAGAUAGCUACAUGCAAGCCUUAACUUUUAUCCUUAGCCACCAGGGUGCUCCCUGAUACAUAGAUAUCUCAGUGAUUUGGUGGAAAUGAGUAAAUUGAACGCAACUGGAUGUAUCAGUUGAUUGCUCACUUAACAAUAGAGUUUUAACUCCUUACUUGGUAUAUAAAUACAAUGUUUAUUUACCAAAAAAAUGUUAUUCAUUAUGAUUUUGUUCCUUUAAUUUUUUUAUAAAGACAAAUACAUUCAAUUAUGUAAAUAAGCUUCAGAAUUAUGCUGAAUAUACAAAUUUUUGAAAUGUAUAUUUUAUUUGCUUACUCUAAUAUAUUUCUUAUAAAUUGUUGAUUUGAAAAGGGUUGAAAAUAAUGUUUUAUCCUAAAUUAUAAUACUUUAGAAAUGUAUUCAGUUAUACAAAUUGAAGUAGAGAUACGAGGACACUGAGACAUAAUAAUGAUUUUUAAUUUCAAAAUAAGGCUAUUAAAGAAGAGGAGAAUUUCAAAAGAGGGAAGUAUAUGAAUACACAAUUAAUAAUAAUAAAAAAGCUGACAAUUUCAGAACAUAUUAAUGAAAUGAAUCUAUUUAAUUCUAAAAGUUCAUCAAAAUAUGAAGAAAGUGAAUAAAAUAUAGAUAACCAUGCAGAUAGACUUAUAACUGACUGUCCACUUCUACUCAAAAUCUAAAAUUGCACUAAAAAAAUAAAGAUCACAAAAAAAAUAAUUUUAAUAAAGUAGGAGUGCUUGGACAGAAGUGGGGGCCUUUGUGUGAGAAGGGGGGGGGGGGGGGGAGGGAGGGGGUGGUGAGUGACAAAGAAGUUUUAAAAAAUAAAUGAAUUACGGGCAUGGGUAGGUUGAAGGUGGUUGAUGGAAGAAAAAAAAUGAGAUUAGAAAUUUAAAAUUGUUCAAUUCUGUAAGAGUUGUUUGAUUGGGGACAUGUUAUCAUCGGAUUAGCUAUUUCGGAAUAAGUUAUCUUAUCAUGUAUAUGAGAUAACUUAUUUUAUCACUAUCGUAUAAAUGAUGGGAUAAAUAAUCUUGAGACUAACUAAUACCUCUAACCAAACACAUGAUAAAUAAACUUGAUAUCCUCAUAUUAUUAUACCUUAUAUCUCACACGAAACAACUCUUAAGGGUAAAAUAUAGGUAAGCUCAUAUCCAAUUUAUUCAUUAAUCACCCAAUUCAUAUUUUACCGACACUUAAUAUGGGCAAAAGUGAUGAUUAUGUAACAUAUUAAACUAUUUGAGUCUUCUUCCAAUCUAUAUUUCAAUUAUUUUGUUAUGCAUAGCAAUACUUAUCUAUUUUAAUAUUAUGAAUUAAAAGAAAAGAAAACUUAACUGCUUAUACGUGUAACACCAAUUUUAUUAAUUCAAAUUCAAAUUAAAAAGUAAAGUAAUUAAAAUAUAUUAGAAAAAAAUGUACACCAAGGAUUGAGGUGAGGGCGAGGGUGAGGAAAAUUUAAACUAAUUUUGAGAAUAUCACAAAGUAAUUAGAUCAUAGACAUAUUACUAUUUAUAAGUUUUAAACGGAACAAACGAAAGAGAAUAGAAUAAAAAAUUAAGUAUAAAACAAUCAAUAUUAACAAUUUGAAAAUUUUAAAUUGUAAACGUAAAUAUGUAACAUAAAAGUUUUUUAUAAUCAUAUGCUUGUUUUUACUCAUAUAGAUUCUAUUAGGAGUCGGAGAGAGAAAAUAUUAGUAAUCUAAUAUUUUUAAAUUGUAAAUAACAUAAUCAAAUAAAAAAUAAAGCAUAAAAUUAUUUAAAAAAUCACAUGACUGUUUUUCUUCGUAGAUUUGGUUAGAGAUAGGUGAAAGGGGGUUUUGGUUGGGGGAAGAGGGGAGGGAGGGGUAAAAAAAAUAGGGUGGAGUAGGGGGUAUGGAGGUUUAGGUAGGUGGUGUGGAUGUAGAACUUUUAAAUUUUAUUUUCACAUUUUAUGGAGAAAUAGUAUGAUAGUUAUAUUUUUUAAGGUAAUAUGAUUGAACAUGAUUUAAACAAGACAUCUUAAUAUGAAAUUAUUAAUAGAUUUUUUUAAUAUUAUCCGCGCAUCGCGCGGGUAUGUAUACUAGUAUUGUAUAAAUCUAAUACCAAAUUUAGACUUGGAAUAUUCCACCUUAUCCCAUCUAAUAUGCUAAUAUGGGGGCUUUGAGCUGUAGGUGACAAAAGAGUUUUAAGAUGAGGUGUAGGUGACAUAAGUUUUAAUAAUUGAGUGGAGGUGACAAUUACUUUAUUAUGGAUUAAGAAAAUUGAGAAAGUUUGAAAAUAACCCACAAGUUUUUUAAUUUACACUUUGAUUCAAAUGUUAGUUAAUAGAACAGGAAACAAAGGAAAAAAAGGCUCGUUUCUCUCUCUUCUCACCCGUUGUUGUUUUCUCUCUCUUCACGAUUAUUGUUGUUCAUUGUUUCUGCUGCUUUAUUCAUCAUCUUCUGCUUCAUUAUCAUUAUCUUCUACUUCAUUAUCAUCUUCAUCUUCUUCUUGUCGACUAUUGUUGUUGUUGUUACCAAUACUGCUGCUAUCUGACCAAUUUCUUAGGUCAGAUUUUGUUUUCUACAUCAUUUUUCACUUUGGCAUUACUUCAUAGGUAACUUUGGUAAGUAAAAUUAUGAUUUCUAUUCGAUUUUGUCAUUUGGGUACACAGUUACUGCUUUUUUUUCAACGAUGGAUAGAAUCCGAUCAUGAAUCCAACAUAAGUGCCCAUAAUUUAAACAGAUCACUCAUCUGGUGCAUCAAAUGAGUAAUCUGUUGCAACAGAAGACUCAUACGUUGGAUUCAUGUUUAUGCUUCUAUAGUGCCCAUAACAUGAAUCGAACAGACGGGUAAUCUGUUGCAACAUAAGAUUUAUCUGUUACAACAGACUAGUUAUCUAUUGCAACAGACUUAUUAUCUGUUGCAUCAGGCUGAUUAUUUGUUCCAUCAGACUGAUUAUCUAUUGCAUCAGACUUCUUAUCAGUUGCAACAGAUGAGUAAUCUGUUGCAACAGAUGAGUAAUAUGUUUGGAACAACACAAAUCAGCCCCUGCCACAAAUCCAACAGAUAACCAAUAUGUUUCAACUCUUGCUAUUGCUACUGGAUUCAAAAUUAUUCCUUACGUCUAAUCGUCGACAUGUUUGUUGAGAAGCUAAUAGAUAGAAUGAAAAUUAAAUACUCCCUACGUCUCAAAUUACCCAUCCCAAAUUUCUUAAUUUGAUUUCUCAUUUUACUUGUCUUUCUUCAUUAAUCAAGAAGAGACAAAAAAAUUUUCAUGUUUUACCCUUUGCAUUAAUUACUUUUUCUUCAAAUUAAAAUGUAAACUUAAUUUAAUAGGGGUAUCAUGGUAAACUAGGCAUGUUAUUAAUUAUUUUUCUCAAUCAAUGUGCCAUCUCAAUUUGGGACGGGUAAUUUGAGAUGGAGGGAAUAUGAAUUAAAAUGUCAAAGGCGUGCAACAGACUAGUUUUCUGUCGCAACAGACUAGUUAUCUGUUGCAAUAGACUUAUUAUCUGUUGCAUCAGACUGAUAUCUGUUACAUUAGACUGAUUAUCUAUUGCAUCAGACUACUUAUCUGUUGCAACAUAUGAGUAAUCUAUUGCAAUAAAUGAAUAAUCUGUUUGGAACAACAUAAAUCAUCCUCUGCCACAAACCCAAUAGAUAACCAAUAUAUUUCAACUCUUGCUAUUGCUACUGGAUUUAAAAAUUUUCCUUACGUCCAAUCGUCGACAUGUUUGUUGAGAAGAUAAUAGAAAAAAUAAAAAUUAAAUAUAAAUUAAAAUGUCAAAGUUGAUCAAACAUAAUUUUUUUACUAAACAAAAAUAAAUAAAAAUACAUAUACAUAGACUAAAAGAAAAAAAUAAUCUAAUUAUUAUUAUUAUUAUUAUUGUUAUUAUUAUUAUUAUUAUUAUUAUUAUUAUUAUUAUUGCCAGUCUGCCAAUCUUCAACCGAUAGCAGUAAGGACCUCCUUAGCCUACGAUCUCACGGAGCAUCCUUGCUCUAACUGCUCCCAAUUCCCAUUGCAAGUCACGAACCUGCAUCUGAAGUUCAUUCAUGGCGUCUUGUAGAAAACCAACGUCCCACAUUGGAUCAGCCAUAUCUAAGACACAUAUGAAUUGACCAAAAACGUAAAAACAAAAGUAAAGAAAAGAAUAUCCAAAUGUAAUACAACGUAUACUACAAAUUGGCAAGAAAAAAAUUUACCUGAGUUAGGGAAGAGAAAGUGGUGGAAGGUGUAAUAUGAAAGACAAGAUGCAAUAAAUAAAUAGAUUGCAGUUGAAUGGACGAUUGAGUAAGAAGGGACCUAUUUAUAGAGGAUUGAAUUUGAAUGGGUUAGGCAAAAAGGUACGACUGUUCACCUCCAUUUAUUAAUUACAUUUUUUGUUACUAUGAAAAGUUAUGACUUAAUUAAAUUAAGAAAUAUAGUGAUAAGUCAUGAUUUUUCAGCUUAUUAUUAUUAAUUAGUUCUUUUCAAGAACCGUUUUUAUUGAGUUGUGACAACAUUCUAUAGCUGUUGCAUUAGAUAACUCAUCUGUGACAACAGAUAUAUCAUCUGUUGCAACAAAUAGAAAACUUGUUGCAUCAGAUAAUCUAUCUGUUGCAACAUAACAUAUAAUCUAUCUUUUUUAAAAAAAAUUAUCAUUUUAUUAUUAAUUCAAAUUUGCUGACUUUUUUACUAUAUAAAUUAAAAAAAUAAAUUUAAAAACAAAAAUGUUUUUUGUGAAAAGAAAUGGCUCCUAUUUAAUAUUAACGUCAAUUAUUCAAAUUAAAUAAUUAUUUUCUAUGGUUAUAAAUUGUGUUUAUCAUUUAUUUCCUUAUUGCUUUCUGUGAAAAGAAAUGACUUAAUUAAAUCAAGCUGGUGAGUUUUUUAUUAUUGUGACAAGUCAUGACUUUUCAGCUUAUUAUUAUUAAAUAAUCUUUUUCCCAAUUUAAAAAUCAAAGAAACCUUUCCAAUAACCGUUUAUUUAAUAAAAUAAUAACCAUUUUUAUUGAGUUAUGGCAACUGAUUGUAUAUCUGUUGCAUCAGAUAACUCAUCCAUUGCAACAAAUCGACCAUGUGUUUAAUAGCUUUUUGUUGCAACAAAUCGACCAUGUGUUUAGUAGCUUUUUUUAUUUCUGUUAACAGCUGAUACAUCAGUCGCAAUAGAUGGGGAAUUAGAUGCAUCGACAACAUUGUUGAAUGUGUUUUAGACAAAAAGUCACGACUGUUCACCCUUUUCUUAACAAUCAUCAUAUAAGUUGAUUAAUUCAAUACUGUGACUUUUUUUAUUAUAUAAUAAAUAAAUAAUUUUAAAAAAUAAAUUUAAAAAUAAAAAUGGUGAAAAGUCACGAUCAGUUAUUAAAAUUAAAUAAUCGUUCUUUUAUGGUUAUAAAUUGUGUUUAUCAUUUAUUUCUUUAUUAUUUAUUUACGAACCAUUUUUCAUAUUAAAUAAUCAAAAAAUCAUGACUUUUCACCCUCUCAAUAACAACAAUAACCUUUUUUUAUUAAUAACAACAUUUUGUUUGAGAAAUUUUGACUUUUUGAAGAGUCGUCACUUAAUUUUGAAAAGGAAUAAAGAAACCUUUGUUAGAUACUUUAAACGAUCCAAAAUAGAAAAAUCAUUUAAAAUUUAAAGAUCCCGAGUACGCGGUUCCUAUUAACAUUUUAGGAAGGUUUAAGACACCUAAAACUUUCACUAACUUGCGGUUAUCUAGACUGUUUAAAAAUAUGUUUUGACUACAAAAAGAUUGAUUGUUGAAAAAUGAUCGAUUUUUUAGCAAAGACUUGUGUAGAAAGAUUUAGGCGACUUAGUAGCGAUUUUAACUAAGUCUAAAUAAAACUAAUAAGAAAAUAAACACAUAAAAGGGGAAAGGGAGGAAAAAGUAAAAGAUUUAGACCUUUGGGCCCAAAUCGAUAAACCCUGUCCUAAUCUAGUUGGGCUUUCAGCCCAUAACUUGUCCUAAACUAUUUUUCAAACCCAUUGGCCCAAAAUAUGUUCCACCUCUAUUAAAUUUACAACUUUGGUUUCAAGGCUCAAAUGAAUAAAUAAAUAAGUAACUAAAUAAAUAAAGAUAUAAAUAAAUAAAUAAAGGCAACAGUGAAUAAGUAAACUAAAAAUGAGACUUUCAAGUCCCCUUUGCCGCUUCAAGGAUGAGAUUGCAACCCAUUCUUCUUGCAUUAUAUACCAUACGAUCGACUUUUAGUUUUGAGGAUAUAGGCCUCAUUAGCCCCUUCGAAAAUGCAACGGGAGGAAGGCUCUUGUGGACUCCAAAUAGAUUACAUGCAAACGAAAAAGAGAAAGAAGGAUGAGAGUCUAUUCGAUACCCGAAUCACUAAUUUAGUACACAGACAGAACCAAACGGAAUCAGGAAAUUUCUAUUUUUUUUAUCAAUGGUUAAUCUUAAACCGACUAAAUUAGACUUUUAUUCGAGAAGGGACCCAACUAAAAGGAGAACAACAUAAUAUCAAAUCACCUUUGGGGCAAACUUGAAUUUAUUAGACUAGCUGGGGUACAAACAAUCACACAUCUUGAACUUCUCAAAUCAAGCAUCUUUAGACAGGAAAGAGUAAGUUUAUAGACCAAGUCAUAUCACUAAACAAAAAAACAAGUAUCCAUAGCCUUCUUUCAUAAAACAAAACACUUAAAGGGCUCCAUUGAACUCACACUCCCAGUGUUUUCAUGGUCCUACAUAGAGGCUUAGAGAAAAUAAAGAGGAUAAAUAUUACAGGGGAAGGAAACAUAAAAAGGGGAAACUAGGAAGAAGGCCCAACCAACAAGAAUAUUUCCUAAUUCGCAUAGAUAUGGACAAUAUUCCUACACAGAAGACAACCUAAAAGGAUAACAAUCACUCCAAAGUAAUGCUAGAUGGAAUCUGGAAAUAUGAUUUCUGAAUCAAACAUGCAAAUAAACUAAACUUCAGAGAGCAAUAAGUAACAAAUAUUCAAAUGAAAGCUCUUUAGACCAACAUAUCCCUCUCUUUGGCAAGUCACAAAGAAUCGUAAGCCAAGAGUCUAUCAGAGAAUUUUGACAAUACUUUACUCAAAAUAACGACCAGAGAAACCCCACAAAUUCUAAGUAAAACAGGUAAACAGGAAUAUUAACUAGAAAUCUAGCAAAAAAACUUUUGCCCAACAAAUUCAAUGCAUGAAAUCUUGAAUAGGAUAGUCAAAUAGAAGAGAUAGCAAUUAAUAGAGCCUCUAAUAAGACAAGGAGUUCAACAACAAAGCUAGGAUUAACACAUAUUCAAUUGACGAACAGUAAAUCAGAUGGCAUUCAAAUUAAAGAAAACCCAAGGCAGCAUAAUGAGUUAACAUGGAAAAUCUUGAAACCAAAAGAAACAACAAUGCUACUAAAAUUAGUAUAACAAUUCUCUUGUAAGAAAAAUCAUAAUAAAGUCAUGAACUUUUUGCGUAAAUAGCCCAGACAAUGAAUUAAACAUGGCCAGAAUAUCGACACCACAUAAUGACGGACAUAAACAUCAUCACAAGAAUCCAAAGUCCUUCAAGGAUCACAACAAAGAAUUCCCAAGCAUCUCUAUAUCUACUAACUCCACUAAUAGAUCGAUGACAAGAAGAAAACAUCGAAACUAAAACUGACGUAUUGAUGACGAGAAGAAAACGUCGAAACUAAAAAAGGAUGAUGUAUUUACCUUUUUUGGGGCAGCAAAAUGAGACUCGAUCUUUGUCGGAAUCCGCCCACCACCGGAAAGUACUGUCGUCAACUUGGGAACUUCGGUUAACCGAUAAAUUUUACGGAGCAAAACUUUUAUACUAAGAAAAUGAGACUUCUUUGCUCAAAGUUUUUUAUCAACCUUCCAAACUUCCUAUUUUGCUCCAACAAUGGGCCUUAUAUUGGAAAAAUUUAAAAUGAAUCCUCUUUUUGGUGAUUUGGGAGCAACAACUUAAAGGGCGAUUUAGGAAUAUUGACAAAAAUGAUAAGAGAGAGAUGAGCUGUAAUUCGUACUAUUUAGUACGAGUUUUUUGAGAUUUGAAUUUGAACAUCGAAUAAGGUUGAGAUUUUAAGGGAAUUCGUGGUUGUUGUAUGCUGUGCUGGUCGAUGAGUUGAGUUCGCUGGGUAUGGGUGCUGAUGGAUUUGGGUUGACGGGUCAGAUAUGGUCGGGUUGGUGGUGGGUCAGUUCUUCGUCGUUUUUUGCUGGCUGUUGUUGUCGAUGAAAUUUUUGUUAUACCCGUAUUAUUUUAUGGUGUUAUGUCGGGUAAAAGAUGAAGAGAGGGGUUAGGGAGGUUGGGCUGGGUAAGGGCUGUUGGAGUAGGCUGAAAUUGUGAAAAAUUGUAAGGGUUGUUGGGCUGUUAAUUUAGAAAUAGGAAUUGGGUUGGUGGGUUUUAAUUUGUUGUUAAAUUUGGGUUAAAAAUUUGGGUUUUAAUUGGGAUUAUUUAAUAACCCCAAUUAAAUUUAAUUGGGGUUGAAAUAACCCUAAUUAGAUUUAAUUGGGUUACAAUAACCCUAAUUAAAUUAGAAAAUUGGUAGUCUUCAAAAUUAUUUAGAAAAAAUAAUCUCGGUUAGACUAAAGGUUACAAAAAUAAUUCCAAUUACGAUCUAGCCUCUUUUAUUUAAAUUUUGACCGAAUUAAAAGUUAAUUGACCAAUUGCAUUGCAAUUGUAGCCAAUUUAGUUUCAAUUAUGAUCAAAUUUAAAUAGAUUGGUUAUAUUGAAUUGAAAUUCGAUACGAAUUAAUACCUUGUUUAAUCCCAACCUUUUUGAUUUAAUAACAUCGACUAAAUAUUUUUAAAUAAAUUAUUUUCAAUAAUAAAUUAUAUUUAAAUCAAGAUUUUAAUCAUUUAAAUUAUUUUCCAAAUAAUCUUUAAUUUAAAGUCCAAUUUUGAUGAAAAUGUUCAUUUAAAUGAAAUCAUUUAUACAAUCUCGUAUAUGUAAAUAUGAAAAUAGAUGAUUAUCACUUAAAUGACAAAUUUAUCCCAAAUAACUAUUUUAAAAAUGCAUUUAUUUGGAAAAAAUAUUUGUUAUGAUUUUAUUUGAAAAUCGAUGAAACAUGAGAUUAAACAUAGUUGUGGAGGGAAAAAAUUAGGUGUCAACAACUACCCCCUCCCUUUGGGUAGGAUGGAUGCAAGUAAUCCUGGGCAAAAGGAGGUUGACAUUCCUAAUUUUUGUUCAACCACAAAUUUGAAUCUGAAAGAGGUUAAUUUUUGCAUAAGUUUUGGAGUUAUGGUCGGACCUUGGUAUUAGGUUUCCUACAUAUCUCAGGUUACAUGAGAAUUUAGGCCACUUGUAGUUCAUAAAGCUUGAUUCAAAGCACGAUUUUAAAAAAUUCACACGCUAUCUUGGUUUUGGAGUUUUUUGGUAAAACCAAAAAGUCAGAGAAUAAAAGGAUUUGGGGGGAGGUUGGAAUGCAAUCAAGUUUUCUAUAUAGAGCCCAACCUACAUAUCCCCGAAACUCAGGGAAUCAGACUGCUUGUAGUUCGACUCGAUCGAUAGAAAAGAUUGUCUUUUAUUUCAGACAAUCUUUGGACCAGGAUGAGUGACAAGUUGAUCUAGUUACGAAAAAGAGUUUUGUAACCUCUUAACCAUAAAUGUGGAGCUCUUCACAUCCAUAGGUAAGAACUUAGCUAGACAUAAUUUUCGAAACUCUAGGUGUGUUGUCACUUGAAUUUGAAAGAAAUAGAAGUUUACCCUCGGUGUGAGUUUAGAAAUAUCCCAAAGAUAAAUCUGAAACCAGAAUCCCCCAGAAUACCCACAUGCUUUCUAAUAGGGGUGUGUUUGAAUGGUGGUGGUGAUCAUCCUUUAGCUCGCGUCCAGAGAGUUUGACGUCCCUUUCUAGACUAUAUCCUAUUUUGCUGCUAAGAAAGAGUUCCACGUUAUGCUGCGUCCUAUCUGGAGUCGUUCGCACCUACGGUUUUGAUUUGAGAUUUUCAUCCUCCCGGGUGCUCUCGAUAAUGUUUCAAACAAGGAGUGUCAGUACUAAACAUAAUUUAUGAAAGAGGUAUGUAGUCUUUUACCAUAUCUCCACAUGAGUUGUUGCUUGAAGUUAUCCUCUCAUGUACCUGUUUGGAAGGAAAUAACUUGCAAUAACAGACACAACAAACCUCUUGGUUUUUGCAAAAUUAGCUCGUUUGUAAAUUGAAUAUGUCUUCAAAGUGGGGAGGCCCCUUUUGUUCACUGACGAUACUUUAUGCAUAACGGUCCCUGCAAUAUUGCGUUGACGCAGUAACCUUUUGGUCACCUAUGAUACUUGUUGUAUGAUAACCUCUCUGGUUAUAGCCAAUGGUUCUUUGUAUAUGAUCUUGGGUAAGUCUUGCGCAUCUUUUGUAUCAAUACGACUUAUUAAUUUUCCUUGAAUUGACAAUCUUUGGAUAAUAUCGCACAUUAUUUGAUGUUGGAUACGAGGUGACUUACAGAUAUCCUUAAAAUUUCUAGCCUUUAGGUAAUCCUGCAUAUUAUCCGACCUUGGAUAAGAGAUGACUUACAAAUAUCUCUCUAAUUGGUAGCUCUCAGGUAUUCCUGCACAUCUUUCGACCUUGGAUACAGUAUGAUUUAUAGAUAUCUCUCAAAUUGCUUGUCUUUGGAUAAUCCUGUACAUAAUCGAUCUUGGAUAUGACGUGGCUUAUAGAGAACCCUUAGACUUAUCAAUUUGAUCAUCUUGCAUAUUAUCCGGUAAGGAUUUAGUUGUGACUUAUGGAUAACCUUUGGACUAUCAAUUUUUUGGUAACCUUGCACACUAUUCAGUUAGGAUGUUGUUAUGGCUUACGACUGACCUAUGGGCUAUCAAAUCAUAGGUAAUCUUGCACACUAUCCUAUUUUAAAUAAUAUGAUCUAUAGAUGACCCUCAAAUUAUCAAUUUCUAGGAAAUCUCAUAUGUCGUUUGCUUUCAGAUAGCGACUUGAAGAUGUUUCUUUGAAUCAUGUGCUUUUAUGUAUUCAGAUUCUAAUUUAUAACAUGAUGAGAUAUUCUUGACGUCAACAUUGCUAUCUCGCGUGUUAACAGAUAUUAGAUGCUGAUGAUAUCCUCGACACCAGUGUAUGAUAGCUUACGCAUCAUUAGAUAUUUAAUGCAGAUGAUACCCUCGACGCCAGCAUAUGAUAUCUCGUGCGUCAUCAGAUAUAUAAUGCAGAUGAUACCCUCGACGCCAGCGUAUGAUAUCUCGCAUGUCAUCAAAUAUUUAAUACAAAUGAUACCCUCGAUGCCAGCGUAUGAUAUCUCACGCAUCAUUAGAAAUUUAAUGCAGAUAAUAACCUCGACGCUAGCGUAUGAUAUCUCGCACGUCAUCAGAUAUUUAAUGUGGAUGAUACCCUUGACACCAAUGUAUGAUAUCUUGUACGUCAUCGAUAUUUAAUAAAGAUGAUACCCUCGAUGCCAGCGUAUGAUAUCUUUCGUGUCAACAGAUAUUAGAUGAUGAUAUCCUCGAUGCUAGCGUAUGAUGUCUCGUGUCUCAACAGAUAUUAGAUGAUGAUAUCCUCGACACCAGCGUAUGAUAUCUUGCGUGUCAACAGAUAUUAGAUGAUGAUAUCCUCGACGCUAGCGUAUGAUAGCUCGCGUAUCAACAAAUAUUAGAUUAUGAUAUCCUCGACACUAGUAUAUGAAUGUAGUGUGUCAACAGAUAUUAUAUGAUGAUAUCCUCGACGCCAGCAUAUGAUAUCUCGUGUGUCAACAGAUAUUGAUGAUGAUGAUAUCCUCGAUGCUAGCAUAUGAUAUCUCGCAUGUCAAUAGAUAUUAAAUGCAGAUGAUACCCCCGACGCCAGCGUAUGAUAUCUCGCACGUCAUCAUAUAUUUAAUGCAGAUGAUACCCUCGAUGCUAGCGUAUUAUAUCUCAUGCGUCAUCAUAUAUUUAGUGUGGAUUAUACCCUCGAUGCUAGCGUAUGAUAUCUCAUACGUCAUCAGAUAUUUAAUGCAGAAGAUACCCUCAAUGCUAGCGUAUGAUAUACAUAUGUCAUCAGAUAUUUAAUGCGGAUGAUACCCUCGACGCCAGUGUAUGAUAUCUCAUGCAUUAUCAGGUAUUUGAUGCGGAUGAUACCCUCGUCGCCAGCAUAUGAUAUCUCAUGCGUCAUCAGGUAUUUGAUGCAGAUGAUACCCUCAUCAUCAUCAUAUGAUAUCUCAUGCGUCAUCAGGUAUUUAAUGUAGAUGAUACCCUCGACGCCAGCAUAUGAUUUCUCGCGUGUCAUCAGAUAUUUAAUGCAAUGAUACCCUUAACGCCAGCUAUGAUAUCUCGCGUAUCAAUAUAUAUUGAUGAUGAUGAUAUUCUCGAUGGCAGUGUAUGAUAUCUUGCAUGUCAACAGACUUUAGAUGAUGAUGAUAUCCUCGACGCCAGAGUAUCAUAUCUCGUAUGUCAACAGAUAUUAGAUGAUGAUAUCCUCGAUGCCAGCGUAUGAUAUCUCGUGUGUCAAUAGAUAUUAGAUACAAUGGCCCUCUCAAUAAUGAGAUGAUAUGAAAUGGUUCAUCCGGUGAUUUGAAAAUAGUUUCACAUGAGUUCGUUUGUCUGUGUCUUGCUUUAUACAUAUACCUGUAGUCAAGGUAGACAAUUAGUAGACACAAUUAGUAGACACAAUGUCGCUCUCACUGGCGACCAAAGUCAAGCUUUAUGACAAAUGAUGAGUAUCAUAAUUCGAAUGGCUUAUUCUGCUAUUAAUCUUCUCUUUUUGAAGAAAUGAUUAAAUAGCAAAUCCACUGGAUGCAAGUAAACGGGGCAAAACCCUUGUUUGGGGAUUACUCAAAAAUCGUUUGCUUUAUUUCAAGGUGAAUUUUGAGGAUGCCUUUCUGCUCUUCCUCCUAUUGAGUGAUCCUUUGAUUAUUGUAUUUAUUGUCCCAACUCCCUUGAAUGUACCGUGCUCAAGGGAAAUAUUUAGUAGAUACAAAGUUGCUUUUGCUAGCGACUAUUUUUUAGAAAAAUUCUAAAUACAAUAUUCGUAAAGAAGAUAAGGCGCCUUUGUUCAUCCUUCAUAGUCUCAAGAAAUGAGAUAGAUAAUUCAAAAGUAAACCCAUCUUUGGGGCUAUCCAAAAAUACCGUUCUUGGGCAUUAUGUGUUUUGGUGUGGCUCGCAACCCGCUUGGAGAUUUUUUUUUUGAAAAGGAUUUUCAUUUUUGUGUCCUGAUCCCAGCAUCCACAGAAAAUGAUUAGUUUUUUGAGUGAAACUACUCCGUGUUGACCUUCUUCAAUCUUCGGUUUGCUCCUCGCCAUCUUUUGAGUACUCUAUCAUGUUGGGAUUUCCACCCUGACUCCCCAUUUCAAUAGAUUCCUAGGCAAUUACUAAGUAAAAAGAUUUGUAUAGAUUUUUGAAAGUAGUCUUAUUUUUAGAAAAUAGUUUCGAAAGUUUCUGUAAAAGCUUUAGAAAAUCUCUGCCACUCAUGUCAUGUAUACACCCGAUGAAUAUUUUUCUCUUGGUUCUGACUAUGUCAGACGUUUUACGAAUGAUUGCUAGGGAUUCAACAUCAUUGAGGCUCUCUAUCUGUAAGACCCCACAAAGUUCCCUUGUAGUUCGAGCCUUGAGCGUGUCAAGUGAAGUGUAAUUUCGGCCCUAAAAGAUUGAGAAGAAACUUCCCAAGUGUUUGGUGUUUAAACCAUAUAGAAUUUUCUUAAAUUUGACUUUUUGUCAUGUAAAUAAUUGAAUUAUCUUUCCAACGAUACCAAUUUUGUCCAAAUCAGGCAUCAGGUGAGAAGUUAUGGUUGUUUUACUGAGAGUUAUCGAAACUGCCCAGGUGCGACGGACGAUCUAACGGACCAUUGAGUUUGCAACAGAUCUUCGAUCGGCCCAUCGUAACCAAGGUAGUAACUCCCCUUUCUGGCGCAAGUGCGACGGCCAGUGUCACACCCCUUUUUUUUCACUCUAAAAUAAAUUUGAUUUUAAGGUUUCGAAAGGAUUUUUAUUAUCAAAGUGACGAAAAAUGAAAGUUUGUUUUGAAAAAGGAUUAUUUGCAUUUUUUAUUCAGAGUUGCCACUUGACAUAAAUCGGGUGUGCCAAGUCACCUUUGAAAAUCCUUUUCAAAAACAUUUUUGACUCUAUAAUUGAUCCGCGAACAAAGAUUUCGUCUAAGGAAUUCUGUUGGCCGAGGGGAAGGUGUCAGGCAUCCCUCGAUCCCGUGGUUCUACCACGGUUUCUUGGUAAAGAAUAUCGGAUAAUUUGACAUCAACGAGUGUAUAAAAAACAAAAAAAAGCACAUAGAACAAACAAACAAAAUACACAAAAACAAAACAAUCCAAAAUUUAAUGUUCAGUCCAAUUAUACAAUCCAGAAAAAAAUGCAAGAAUAUAAACCUAUGCUAACCUAUACUAGUCCUAAACUACUCUCCCGUGCUUUACCCGAUGCCUCGGGCCUUGAUCACGAACAUCCUUUGCCAACAUAAUACGUCAUGAAUUCCCCGGUGAAUAAAUACAAUGAUCCUCGGGGCAUUCCCCGGCUAAAUGAAUACAUUCAAUGAAAUACGAUAAAACUAGAAAAGAAGCACUCGAAACACACAUUUAGACAUUCAAAGCAUUCAAUCAACAAAUCAUGCCUAAAUUUUACCUACCCGAACCUAUAUUGCCUAUCUAUUUCAUCAUCUCAUGAAUCUAUCACAUUUGUUCUCAUUCUGACUUAAACGAAAGACAACAAAACAAAAUUGAUCUAUAUCCAUCAAUGUUUUACCGAUUCCCCAAUUCUGUCCUAUCUAACUUGUCUUUAUCAAUCACUAUUAAAACUAAUCAACUUCAUUCCAUAUACCCUGAAUUCACAUCAAGACUAAAACACCAACAACAUCAAAUCAUCAUAAUCACACAGCACGUAAUCAUAGCCAUCUCAAUAAAUAAAAAUGAAGAAAAGAAAGCGGGUUAAAGAAAUGGACCUUCCGAGAUCCACUUUUGAUGAUAAUAAGAGUCAAAAGAAGUUCGAAUCCAAAAGCUCAAAUAGAAAAUCUCAACAGCGAUGAAACCCCAACUCGGUAUCGAUAAAUAGCAACCUAAAACUGACUAUAAUAUGACACGAUUGAGAUGAACAGAAGUCAAAUCCUAAACCAAUACAAACCCGAAAUAUUCAAAACAGAAAUCGUGAUAAACUCAACCCAAUCAAGAUUUUUUGUAAGAAAAUGAUUGAAAUAGGGAUGAACAAAUCAGCGCUGGUUGUAUCAAUGACGGGAACCCCAACGCUAACAAUAAAUUUUGGCAAAACUCAUCGUUUUCGGCCAGAUUCAAAUGGAAUCGACCAAAACCCAACAGUUCCAGUGAUGGGUUCGCCGAAAAACCUCAGACCCUCCAUUGUCCCUCUCGAUUCCCCCCUAUAUCUCCCUUGUCGUGACUUUCUUUCUUUCUGUUCUACCCUCUUUUUUUGUAUAUAUGUGCAAGAUUAGUGAGUGAGGUCAAAAAAUGAGUCUCUGUGUGUGCGUGUUUAUGGUGUAUUCAAUGAAGGGGGUCAUGAGUGAUGUCGAGUUUUUUUUUUCUGAAGACGAUGAUGAAGAAGCAAAAGAGAAGCCCUCUAAACCCAAUCCCUUAGAGUGUAUCCAAAAGGGAGAGAAAAUAAUGGUAUAUGCGUGUUUUCCCCUCUAUUCCAGUGAAUGGAAUUUGUUAAUAUAUGGAAUGUGCGGUCCAUGUGAUAUGAAAUUUCCUGGGAGUUGCCCUAUCUGUGUAUAUUUCUUUGUGGACAAGAAAAAGAGAAAGGGAGGUCACGUGGGUUGGGGUGGUAUUAGGUGAUUAGGUGAUAGAUGAGGGGUGAGGUGUUGUUUUUUAAUUGGAGGGGUAAGGGUUAGGUGUCUAUUUUUGAUUGGGUGGGUUGUUGGAAUCUUUAAGAUAAGACAAAAUUAGUUAGAGUUUGUUAUUUGGAUAAAAACAAAAAGGAAUUAAUAAAUAAGUAAAAGAUGAGGUGGUUAUUCAUUUGUUUUUUCUUGAAGAAAAUUGUAAGAUGGGGUCAAAGUGCGUGAUAAUGGAGUAAGAAUUAUUCUCGACGGGAAAAAAUUACGUGUCUACAUCAUGCCCCCUUUGAAUGUAAACAUCGAGUGUUUUCAUACAAAGAAGUAGAUAAUGAGAUAGAAUUUUGUCCCGAUCAUUAUUCGAGGAAAGAAACAGAAAGAAGAAGGGCAACCGAGUCUUGACGAACAUCCUACUACCCAAGCUAUGAGGGAAUCAAGUGAUCGGUAUCUUACAAGAUCGGAAGGAGGUGGACUAUACUGAGUUGGAGAGUCAAGUGAGGUUCCAUCGAGGUUCCGGUCCGCGGUUCUGUCAUUACAUCAAAAAUGAAAAUUACAAGUUAAAACAUAAAUGAAAUUAUAAAAUCCUAUCUAUGCAUCUUUCCUUGACUCUUGACUUGAGUUUUAUCACUGUAUUCUUCAAGCGGGCUCCUAACUUACUAUUUCUUUCAACUUGUUGCUUGGUUUUCCAUUGCUUCACUUCGUUGCUCGACUUUCAUUUAUUCGCCCUGCUCUUCAGGUGGGCUUCUGACUUGCCAUUUUUGUCCUUCAAUUUCAUCAUCCUGUUCUUCAAGCAAAUUCCUGACUUGCACUUUCUUCAAUUUCCCAUUUCAUCUCCCUGUUCUUCAGGUGGGCUCCUGACUUACAGACUUAUCACCUUGUUCUUCAGGCGGGCUCCCUCAAACCAAAAUAAAAACUAGAAACAAAAUUAUCCCCAACAAAGAUUAAGAUAACGAGAGACUUCACUUUUCUAAAAGUAAUGUCCCAUUUUCCAGGAGGGUCCUGAACAUAAGGUAAAUCCCAUUUUUCAGGAGGGUCCUGAACAUAAAGUAAAUCCCAUUUAUCAGGAGGGUCCUAAGUAGAGAGUAAAUUCUCAUUUUUCAGGAGGGUACUGAACAGAGAGUAAAGUCCCAUUUUUCAAGAGGGUCCUGAAUAGAAAGUAAAGUCCCAUUUUUCAGGAGGGUCCUGAACAGAAAGUAAACUCCUAUUUUCCAGGAGGGUCCUGAACAGAAAGUAAAAACCCAUUUUCUAGGAGGGUCUUGAACAAAAAGUAAAGUCCCAUUUUUCAGGAGGGUCCUGAACAUAAAGUAAAGUCCCAUUUUUUAGGAGGGUCCUGAACAGAAAGUAAAGUCUUAUUUUUCAAGAGGGUCCUGAACAAAAAGUAAAGUCCCAUUUUUCAGGAGGGUCCUGAACAUAAAGUAAAGUCCCAUUUUUUAGGAGGGUCCUGAACAGAAAGUAAAGUCCCAUUUUUCAGGAGGGUCCUAAACAUAAAGUAAAUUCCAAUUUUGUAUGAGGGUCCUGAACAGAAAGUAAAAUCUCAUUUUUCAGGAGGGUCCUGAACAUAAAGUAAAAUCCCAUUUUUAGGAGGGUCCUAAACAGAAAGUAAAAUCCCAUUUUUCAGGAGGGUCCUGAACAAAAAGUAAAGUCCCAUUUUUUUAGGAGGGUCCUAACAGAAAAUCAAGUCCCAUUUUUCAGGAGGGUCCUGAACAUAAAGUAAACUCCUAUUUUUCAGGAGGGUCCUGAACAGAAAGUAAAAACCUAUUUUCUAGGAAGGUCCUGAACAGAAAGUAAAGUCCCGUUUUUCAGGAGGGCCCUGAAUAGAAAGUAAAGUCCCAUUUUUUAGGAGGGUCCUGAACAUAAAGUAAAGUCCCAUUUUUCAGAAAGGUCCUUAACAGAAAGUAAAGUCCCAUUUUCCAGGAGGGUCUUGAACAUAAAGUAAAAUCUCAUUUUCCAGGAGAGUCCUAAACAGAAAGUAAAAGUCCUAUUUUCCAUGUGGGUCCUAACAUAAAGUAAAAUCCCAUUUUUUAGGAGGGUCUUGAACAGAAAGUAAAAUCUCAUUUUCCAGGAGAGUCCUAAACAGAAAGUAAAAGUCCUAUUUUCCAUGUGGGUCCUAACAUAAAGUAAAAUCCCAUUUUUUAGGAGGGUCUUGAACAGAAAGUAAAUUCCAUGGACAUGCUUUCCAAUGAUAGAUGAACUCAAUGAACAAAACUUUGCCCAUGUUUCAUCAAAGAAAAAGAAAAAUUUUCAGUUGAAAACUUAGCGGUGGUUUGCAGCACUUGGCUUUCCAGGCAUCAUGCUCCAGUAGUUGUUCCUUUUCUCUUUGUUUAAAAUUGCUGACACUUGCCCCUAUCUUGUCGCAUCGUUGACCCAUGCCAGAUCAGGGAAAAUGCCUUUGAUUCAAAUACUGAGCUUCUAUUUUACCAUACCUCUAAAACGCACCUUUUGACAUCUGAUACUCCCAUGAAUCCAGCAACCUGUCGGUUGAUAGACUUUCUUUACUUUGUGUUGAAUUAUGAUCCUAUUUCUUUCAUGUGCUGGUCCUUGGCUUUUCCUCAUACAAUUGGAAAAACUGGUAGCAAGUUUUGAAAUUCUUUCUUGCUUGUUUUAACACAGAAUAGACUCAAAGAGUGUAAAGAAAUGAUAAUGACUUUUCUUUUGAUAAAAGACAUAAAAGGACAAAAAUAUGAAUGUAUAAAUGAAAGAAAAGGUGCAAUGUCCCUCUUUUUAACAAAGAAGAAAACUUAUCUGAAUAUGGAAAUCAACUCCAAUGACUAUGACAUGCAUUUUGGAUGAAGCUGCCUGAUCUUCCUAUCUAAACUUCCCAUUUGUUGUUGAGUUCAUGCCUUUGCCACUGAACCACUUCUUCAAAUCCAUUGAACUCAUAUAUCUCAUUCAAUUGACGACAUCUUGAAAGACUUUCAUUUACAAAUCUCUUUUCUUUUCACAUUUCUCUUGACUCGCCAUUGCCUUACGGUGCCCAUAAGGGUUUUCACCAAUAAGACUCUCAUUUUUAUUUUUCUCAACUCCCCAUCGCCUUAUGGUGCCCGUGAUGGUUUUCACCAGUAAGACUCUCUCAUUUUUAUUUCUCUUGGCUCACCAUCGCCUUGUGGUACCCGCGAGGGUUUUCACCAAUAAGACUCUCUAAUUUUUAUUCCUUUCCUGACUUGUUAUGCUGAGGAAGACAAGUAGUACCCCACAAUGUAUCAUUAUAUCCAUUGCAUGCUUAGCCUUAACAUUAUCAAAGAUUGAUCUGAAGGUCUUUCUUUGGUUGUAACUUGAUUUUUGGAUAAGGUUGGAAAAAAAGGAUGGUAAUACGACACUUGAAGUGGGGGUGGGAUUUACAACUUUUGGAAUCAACUCAACAAUAUGUCAGCUCAUGCCCCAGUUUUUUGUUGACUGGGUGAAUCUAAAAUCUUUAUUUGGUUGGACCAAGCCCGAAAUAGGGCAGCCUACGCAUCUCACUCCCGAGAGUGGAGAAUCAGGUCGCACGUAGUUCCGUUUGCUUGCUCUUUGUUUUGGUUUAAAAUUUUUCUUUCUUUCUCUUUUUAUUCUUGUAUUUUUCAUACUUAAUUUUCUCUUUUUUUGGACACUUUAUUUUUUACUCUAUUUUGAUUCCAAAAGAAAAAUAAAACUAAGCUCAAAUGGGGUAAACAAAGGAUGACACGAUGUUUGGAUAGCAGAAUAAAAUACCUUCAUCAUAUCAACCUUCAAGAAUGCAAGUACUAAACAUGCAAUAGAACCAACAAAGGAUAAAAUAUCAUAAUAUCUUUUGACUGCAUCAGCAUUGAUAGCCAUCUAUGCCAUUUUGCCUUCAAUAUCUGUCAAAUAUAAGGCCCCAUUGGGCAACACUUUCUUCACAAUAAAGGGACCUUGCCAAUUUGGGGAGAACUUGCCUUUCGCUUCAACCUGAUGAGGAAGGAUAUAUUUCAAUACCAAUUGACCAACUUCAAAAUUCCUGGGAUGGACCUUUUUGUUAUAUGCUCAAACCAUUUUCUUCUGAUACAACUGGCCAUGACAUACCAAAGUUAAUCUUUUUUUCAUCAAUCAAGCUCAACUAUUCCAAUCGAGUUUUGACCCACUCAUCAUCAUCAAUCUUGGCUUUAACAAUGACUUGAAGAGAGGGAAUUUCUACUUCUAUAGGAAUGACUGCUUCUGUCCCGUACACCAAUAAAUAUGGAGUUGCCCCUAUUGAAGUGCGAACAGUAGUGUGAUAACUUAGUAGAGAAAAUGGAAACUUCUCAUGCCAUUGUCUAGACCCUUGAACUAUUUUCUGCAGUAUCUUCUUGAUAUUCUUCUUAGCGGCUUCCACAAUGCCAUUGGCCAUUGGAUGAUAUGGAAUGGAAUUUCAAUAUGCGAUCCUAAACUAUUGUCACACUUCUUGAAUCAAAUGACUAUUGAGAUUGUCAGCAUUAUCUGUAAUGAUCAUCUUUGGAAUUCCAAACUUACAAAUGAUAUUGGCAUGAACAAAAUCUACUACUGCCUUCUUUGUUACUGACUUGAAAGUUACUACUUCCACCCACUUUGUAAAGUAAUCAAUGGCCACCAAAACAAAUCUAUGCCCAUUUGAUGCUUUCAUCUCAAUCAGCCUAAUCACAUCCAUCCCCCGAGCUACAAAAAGCCAUGGAGCAGACAUUGCAUGCAACUCAGUAGGAGGAGAAUGUAUCAGAUCAUCGUGUACCUGACAUUGAUGACAUUUCUGAACAAAUCAAAUAGAAUCCCACUCUAUAAUAAGCCAAUAAUAACCUGCUCAAAGUAUCUUCUUUGACAAGACAUAACAGUUCAUAUGUGACCCGCAUACUCCAGAGUGUAUUUCAACUAUGAUCGUUGAGGCUUCUCUUGUAUCUACACACCUCAAAAGUCCCAGAUCUGGGGUUCUCUUAUAUAAGAUUCCCCCACUCAAGAAAAAUCCACUAUCUAAAUGCCUAACAGUCCUUUUUUAAUCACAGGUGGCGUGUGUUGGGUAUUCUUCUGAUUGAAUGUAUCGCUUGAUAUCAAAGAACUAAGGUUCUCCAUCGAGCUCUUCUUCAACUGCAUUACAGUAAACAUAUUGAUCAUGACUCUGUAUAUAUAUUGUAUCGAUAUAGGCUUUGUCAGGAUGUUGGAGUAUUGAAGACAGAGUGGCUAAAGCAUCAGCAAUCUCAUUAUGAAUCCUUAGAAUAUGCCUAAAUUUUACUGAUACAAACCGUUGACAGAGCUCCUGCAAGCAUUGUCGAUAUGGUAUGAGCUUUAAAUCUCGAAUCUCCCAAUCUCCUUGAAUUUGAUGGACAAGCAAAUUUGAAUCCCCCAACACUAAUAGUUCCUAGACUCUUAUAUCAACAGCUAACCUCAAACCCAGAAUACAUACUUCGUAUUCUGCCAUGUUAUUAGUAUAAUAAAAUUAAAGUUGCACUGUUACCGAAAAAUAUUGCCCCAAUUAAGAGAUAAUAACCGCACCUAUUCUGAAUCCUUUCAUGUUGAUAGCUCUAUCGAAGAAUAACUUCCAACCUAGAUCAGCAUCUAUAAUGACUUCAUCGACACACAACACUUUUUUAUCAGGAAAAUAUGUCUUUAAUGGCUCGUACUCUUCAUCAAUGGGAUUCUCAGCAAGAUGAUCUACCAAGGCUUGGGAUUUCAAGGCGGUUCAAGUCGCAUACACAAUGUCAAACUCGGUGAGCAAUAUUUACCACUUUGCUAAUCGACCUGUCGGCAUAGACUUCUGAAAGAUAUACUUCAAAGAAUCCAUAUGGGAGAUGAGAAAAGUAGUGUAGGACGAGAGAUAAUGGUUCAACUUUUGUGCUACCCAAGUUAAGGCACAACAUAUCCUUUCAAGAAGAGUGUACCUGACCUCAUAUAUUGUGAACUUCUUGCUAAGAUAAUAAACAACAUGCUCUUUUUUCCUCGUGACAUCAUAUUGACCUAGGACACAACCGAAAGAAUUGUCCAUGACUGAUAAAUAUAGGAUCAAAGGCCUACCAGGCUCCGGUGGUACCAGCAAGGGCAGAUUUGAUAAGUAUCUUUUGAUUCUAUCGAAUGCUUCCUGACAUUCUUCAGUCCAUUCUACCACAACACUCUUUUUCAGCAACUUGAAUAUGGGCUCACAAGUGGUUAUGAGUUGAGCAAUAAACCUGCUGAUGUAGUUUAGUCUACCAAGAAAAUUAAUCACCUCUGUCCUAUUCUUACGAGAGGACAAAUCCUGGAUGGCUUUGAUUUUUGAAGAAUCCAAUUCAAUUCCCCGACGGCUGACUACAAACCCCAACAGCUUUCCAGACGGAACUCCAAAUACAUAUUUUGCUAGGUUGAGUUUGAGAUUAUACCUGCGAAGCCUUUCAAAGAACUUUCUUAAAUCUUGAACAUGGUCAGGCUGGCUCUUUGAUUUAAUAAUCAUAUAAUAUACAUACACCUCAAUCUUCUUAUGCCUUAUAUCAUGAAACAUAGUGGUCAUGGCUCUCAUGUAUGUUGCUCCAGCAUUCUUCAAAUCGAACGGCAUCACUCAAUAACAAUAGGUCCCUCAUGGUAUGAUAAAAGAUGUCUUCUCCACGUCUUCAUCAUCAUAAUGAUCUGGUGGUAUCCGGCAUAGCAAUCUACAAAAGAGGCAACCUCAUGUUUAGAGCAGUUGUCCAGCAAAAUAUGGAUGUUCGGCUGUGGAAAAUCAUCCUUCAAACUUGCUCUGUUCAAAUCACGGUAAUCAACACAUACUCAAAUUUUUCCAUCUUUCUUUGGGAGAGGAACAACAUUGGAUAACCAUGUAGGAUAACGAGCCACUCAAAUGACUUUGGCUUCAAGUUGUUUCAUGAUUUACUCUUUGAUUUUAAUGCUUACAUCAGUUUUAAACUUCCUCAACUUCUGUUUCACAGGGGGGAAUAUCGGAUCAGUUGGCAAUUUAUGAGCCACUAAUUCAGUGCUUAAACUAGGCAUAUCAUCAUACGACCAUACAAAAACAUCCUUAUAAUCAAUUAAUGCUUGAAUCAUUCUAUCUUUUAGCUACGGCAAAGCAUGUACUCUGAUUUUAGUUUCCCUAACAUCUUCUUGAUUCCCUAGAUUGAUUGGCUUAGUUUCAUUCAAAUUAGGAUUCGGCUUGUCUUCAAACUGUUCCAACUCUUUGCUUAUUUUCUCUAGUGCCUCUUCUUCAUAAUAUUCCCCCUCUUGCUUUAUUAUAUCUUGAUUAGUUUGGAUUUUAAGAUCAGGCUAAAAAUUCUGCAUGUAUGUCAUGUCAUUAGAAUCAGCAUAAAGAGAACUAUAUAAAGAAAAAGACAAAAUCAAAAUAUAUUAGACAUAAAAUAAGGGGACAUUGCAUUUCAUUAAAAGGAAAAGAUAGGAGGGUUAAACAUAAAUGAAAAUAGAAUGUAAACAAGCUAAAUUCCAAAUUACAACCCUAGAAUAACUCGGAUAAAUAGAAAGAAAAACAAAAUAAACUACCCAAACUUCCUCCUGACAGGGAGAGGAGUGACUUCCCAAUUAUUGAGUUGGACCUUAGGACCUAUGAACUGUACGCCUUCCUUACUGAUACCAUCUCCUGGUUUAACCAUAUCAACAUCAAUCAUAGGUUUUAGAAGUCAUCAACCAAUUCAACUUCAAAUUCUACAGGCUUCGUGAUAUCACUGUUGACAAAUAAUUUACUGAGUAGCGACAUUAGACGAGGGAGUGACCAUGUUUCCUUGUUCCUUCCCUUGGCCUUCUUCAAAACUUCAGUCGUAGGUUCAAAUCCCAGACCAAAAGUGCACAUAUUCUCUCUCGAAUAUAUGGGACUAACGAUACCAUACAGAGACACUCCCAAACCCUUCCCUAGCAUAAAUCCAUAUUUCAAAACCUCACUCACCAUCAUGAUAGAAGCGGAAGACAAUUAUGGUCCUAGAAUAACCUGCCCUUCAACGAUACGAUUCACUAACACUGUAUCAAAAGUUUGAUAGACAAAUGUCUCCUCUAUAUUAUUUGCUACAAUAAGGGACAAGGGAGAAUCUUCGUAGGCGGAAAAAUCCCCUUCACCAUGAAUAACCACUUCUUGCCUGUCAUUCUAAAACUUGAUCAUUUGGUGCAAUGUAGAUGCAACUGCCUUGGCCUUGUGGAUCCACGAUCUUCCUAACAACAGAUUGUAAGAGGAGUCUAUAUUUAAUACUUGAAACUUUAUGGCAAACUCAACAGGCCCUAUAAUCAACAUUGGUUCUAUUUCACCAAUGAAGUUUGAUUUUGCACCAUCGAAAGCCCUGACAUAUACAUUGUUGGGCCUGAUCCUCUCAACACCAAUAUUUAAACUUUGCAAAGUAGAAAUAGGGUAGGUAUUUGCACCUGAACCUCUAUCAAUCAUGACAUGAGUGACGUAGAAAUCUUCGCACUUCACCAUAAUGUAAAGACCUCGGUUAUGCCCCGUACCUUCAAUAGGUAAUUCAUCAUCAGAGAAGCUGAUCCAAUUGACCUCAAAGAUUUUUCCAACCAUUUUCUCAAGAUGAUUUACUAUAAUCUCCCUAGGAACAUAUGCUUCAUUUAAUAACUUUAAUAUAAUAUCACGAUGUUCCUUGGAAUGCAAUAACAAAGAUAAGAGGGAAAUUUAAGCAGGGGUUUUCUUCAACUGAUCUAUUAUUGAAUACUCUGGAAACUUCAUCUUUUUCAAAAAUUCCUCGACUUCUUCUUCCAUGACAGGCUUUUUGAUAGAUGAAGGUCCACUCACAAUUGGCUUGGACUUCUUUAAACUUUCAAGCACGAAGCAUCUUCCUGACCGAGUCAAACCCCCUACCUCAUCUACAUCUUCCACUACUUUUUUCUCCUGAUAGGUCAUCACAGUCCGCUUAUAGUUCCAGGGAACCUUUUUCAUAUCAACUAUCGGAGGUUGGGUCACCGGUUUAAGAACAAUAGGCGCUGCCAGUGCUCCUUUCACCAUUAAGAUAGGCUUACUUGGAGCUCCUACCAUCGUCAACUUAGGUUUAUCCUAACUUAAAUCAACAUAUCUUCUGGCACCUUGCACUGUGAUCACGGGUUUCUUUGUUUUUUUUUGGGAUUUAUCUUCUCCCAUUCCUUCCUGGCUUAAUGACAUUGCUUUCAAUGAAUCUGCCAUAUUCAGUAAUUUGUCCUUAUUGGUAUGUAUUCUAAAAAUAGGCUUAUAACACCUUGACGAAUCUUUCCCAUCAUACAUCAGUUCUAACAUAUUGGUUUUAGCAUGGGUUGGCAAUGAAUUCUGGUUAAUGUUUGGAACUUCUGGGGCCUAGACCAAAAUUUGAUUUGCAUCAAUUAAAUCUUGGAUAGCUCUCUUCAAAGUAUUUCUCAAUAUCCUGCCCCAGCAUGUCAGAACAAUACGCACAUCUUAACGAAUAAUCAAGAUUUCUCAGAGGUGGAUUUGAAAGCCUUCCUUAAAUUGGGCUUAAGACCUUCAUAUUUCUCAACCUAUCAAACAAGCUAGCAUAUGACUCUCCAAGAGGUGUGAACUAAUUUUUGACCGCCUUCUCUUUCUUGUACUCAGGCCUGGGUUGGAAACCGGUUCUGGAGGGGUUUUGGUAAUUUGGAGGAGCUGAAGGAUGAUUUUGAGGAGCUUGCAUAUGCCAUUGUAGGUAAGAAGGGGUUUGAGCACAUGGCUGUGUGCUAUAUACUGGGUACGGGGGUGGUGGAAUAGAAUAUAGUGGUUUUUGUGGGGGAUAGUAAUGAUGUGGAGGAAUAUAUGGAGCUUGGCCAUAGGAUUGGGCUUAGGGUUGGUGGUAGGGGUGAGGCGGUCUUUUGGGAUAGGAAUGGGAUCCAGCUACAACGGUCGCCAUAUCCUCUUUCUUUUUUUUUUUACCUCCAAAAGUUCUAGAGUCACCUUGAAUUGCUUGGGUGGUGGCCUUUAAUGCAGGAAAACUCAAUAUCCGUCCAGUCUUGAUUUCGUCCUCUACCAUCUCUCCCAUUUUUAGGACUUCAAUAAAUGACUUUCCCAUCGUCGGAAGUAAAUGUUGAAAAUAGGUCUCAUCCUAUGCCUGAAUGAAGACCUCUACUAUCUUACUCUCCUUUAUUGGAGGCUUUACCCUGGCGGCCUGUUCACGCCACCUUAUCGUGUAUUCCCUAAAGCCUUCAGUGCUUUUAUUUUUCAUGUUGACCAAGGACUUUUCAUCAGGAAUUAGGUCAAUGCUAUACUAAAAAUGUUGCACAAACUCAGAAGCUAAGUCAUCCCAGCUGUUCCACUUGCGAUAUCUUGAUCAACAAACCAUUCUGAAGCCAGAUCGAAAAGACUCUCACCAAAGAAAGCCAUAAGAAAUUCUUCCUUCCCCCUACAACCCUCAAUUGGUUGCAAUAACAUCUCAAGUAUGCCAUGGGAUCACCGUGCCUAGCAUACUUCUCGAACUUGGGCAUUUUAAAACUGAGGGAAAGGUUGAUGUCUGGGAACAUACAAAGAUCUUUAUAGGAAACACUCUUAUAACCUCUGAUUCCCUGCAAAUUCCUCAUAGCCUGUUCCAAGCUUUUCAAUUUCUGCGCUAUGACCUCCUGUUCCUCUAUUGCGACAGGUUUCUCCGUAUCAAAUGGAAAUGCAGGUGGUUGAGUGUACCCAUACAGUUCAUUCAUUCUCAAAGUAGGCUUCGGGGCAUGAUACUGACUAUCUGAAAUCUUUAAUACUGGCUCACUGGUAGAUCGAGGAAGCACCAUUGUCGGACACACAACAUAUGUGGGAGCUUCAGGUGAUGGUGGAGCCAUGAACACAUGCGCUGCCAGUGGCACCGGCUGAGUCACAAGACUUAGUUGAGGAACUACCAGGGGCACACUAGAAGUGCCAGGGUAAUAUUGCCAUGGAGUGAAUCCUCGUGCGUGCUUCGGUGACUUAAUGGGAACAGAGAAUUGCGCCUGAGAGAGCGGUGGGCAAUUGGGGAUAUUCCCAAGAUCUUCAGGGAGUGGAGGAGGAGGCAUGCCACUAGCCCACACUCGAUGUAGAUCUAGCAAUUGUUGUCUAAGUCUCAAUAUCUCAUCAUUGCAUUCUGAACUUUUUUCCCUGGGAUCCUGAUCUGGGUCAAUGAGUGAAUUUUCAAUCUCCCUACUAGCCAUGGAAAGCUUCGCUUUUGAUCUAGUAAAGUAUGGAUGACUAGCCAGAGUGAUACAAACCAACCAUUUAUCUGAAAGAACAUGAUCAUCAAAGACAAAACCCAUUAGGAUUAGGUCAGGCAACAAGCAUAGAAAUCACAUUGUAUACAUCCUAGCUUUAUGCACAUUUCUACCGGACUUUGAGGGUAAUAAGGCCAUUUUAACAUCAUCCCAAUUUCUCCAUUACAUUAUCACACCUCAUUCUUUCUACUUUUCAUCUUCACCCCUCUAUUUUUUUGUAUCAGUCUCUGUUCUUUCCCUUUCUUGUCUCAUCAUCCUUUCUUUCUUUUCUUCUCUCACUAUCUACCUUCAUUUUAUCAUUCUUUAUGACUUUUCCUUUUCUUUAAAAGAGGAAAAAUUAUGAAAAACAACGAAACAAAGUGAUUAGAUCAAACCUAAAAGUAGGUUGCCUACGUAUUGUGUUGUACAUGAAUCAGAUCUUGCGUAGUUUGGGCCAUGCAUGCAUAAACACCACAAAGUUAAAGAUUUUUCAUUUUUGAUUCUUUUUUUGAUGAAGAACACACAAAAGGAAACAAUUCCGCAACUUCACUACAUUUCAUAAAAGAGACAACUAAAAUAAACUUCGAAUUUAAGAAAGCUUAAAAACUGAUCAACAAAGACUAAACAACAUUCUAGACCCAUAAGACAACAUGCGUAAUACUCCUAGUAAAGACUCUUAACGUUUAGAACAAACUUGACACUGACUGAACAAAGACACAACAAUACUAUGACAGAAAAAAUAAAGGACUCAAACUAAAUAAAAGAUAAGAGUUGCUCCUUUAAAUUGGUGUGUUGUGGGAUGACCCUGGCUGAGAUGGACCUAUCUGUGAAGUUCUCUUUCACCCAUUCAAACUCUGUAGCAUAUCCUGCAAAGACACCCUAAUAUUUGGGAAGAAGUUUCUGGCACGUAUCCCCGCCUCAUGGAGAGUGCACCUGGAAGGAUUGUUUUGACACCUUUCUACAGUCUUGAGCAAAUCUGAUAACUGAACUCUCAGUGUAUCCACUUUGGCCCCAACACUUUCAUCCUGACUGUCAUCAACAAUGCAUUCUUCCUCUAAGUUGCAAGGGCAAUGGCUUACUAAUACCCUGAGGUAUGGUAUACAGCCAGAUCUCAUAUCUUUAAGUGUACCCUAGAUUAUCCAAACUUUCUUUGAAAGUAUCCACUCCUAGCUUUGUUGCAUGAUUCUAGAAAUUCUUGUAUUUGCUCUCGCCUAGGGCUUGGUCCUUGAAGUACUCAACAUGCUUUAGAAGAUCCACUACUGGUGGCACAUCCUGCGACCUACCCAACUAUCGCAUUACCCUAGAAGGAGUGUAUGGUUUGGUGCAAUUAAGCCCUAACAUAACCAGAAGGAGUUGUAUCUGACAACCCAACAAGAUUACUUUUGGAUGAAGCCACAAACAGGUCCACAAAAUAUUAUCCUCAGUCCAUGAAUCGAGAAACUCAAUCCAAGCAUUGACUCCCAUAGGUAGUGAGAAUUUAUCCAAGCACAUGCUGAGGUCCAUGGCUUUCAUUCGAUUGGGCAUGCAACGAUCAAUCACAUCUGGUCUAACUAAGAAAAGUGUGUGCAAAUGCUCUAUCAUCCACAGUUGCAAUAUCAGGUUACUUCCCUAAAAAAAUCUCAUCCCUCCCUUCACCUCGGUCAAAGCCUUAUAUAUUUUUGUUAAGAUCAUGGGUACGAUAGUAAACCCAACCUUGUCCUUUUGCUUAGUGACCUUGUCCUUUUGCUUAGUGCCCUCGUCCUUUUGAUCCUUAUGAAAUAGAGCCAUCACCACAGAUUACAAACGUGUAUUAACACGUCUUUCUUCUUGUGGAAACACUAGAGUGCCUAACAAGGCGAGGGUGAAGACUUCAAGACACUUUCUCUCCCACUUCUACUUAGUCAUAUAAAAUUCAUCCCAAAAGUAGUCAAACCUUCCAAAUACCCAAAUAUCGCAAAUAAAAAAUCCAAGGAAAUCCAUGAUUGAUUCAGAAAAUCCAAAUGCCUAUUGUUACUCUUCAACCCACAACUUUGCAGAAACGUAUUGCCCGAGUGGUUCCGAGCUCGGAUCAUGCUUUUAUCAAUAUAAGGCAAAUGGAGCAGACCGGAUAGUUCUGCCAAGGUAGGCAUCAUCUCACACUUUACAAACCUAAACACUAAAUUACUAGGAUCCCAAAAGGUCAAUAUAUAGCAUCUAUCAGAUCUGGCCAGGGCGAGAUAUGCAGAAGCUCCGUAAGAUCACCUAAAACUUUAAUUAGCUCUUGUUGGUCAACGUAGUUGAAUGUGCCCCACCACUUGAUUAACUUUUUAGGCACCUUUCCAACCAUCCAGACUUUAGAAUUUGUGGAAAGAUCCAUCCUGUAAUGACACAUAAUACAUUAUCUCAAAAUUCGAUAAGAACGAAAGAUUCUCAACCCUUGGGACCUUGACGUGGACAUAUGUCGAAGGGACAGACCACUUUAUGACUUCAAUUUGCCAAACAAUAUCACUAAAUAAAAUCAGCCUACUUGGAUAAGACUUGCUAACAUCACUAAAUUAUGAGUAAAAAUACCUAGGCUAAGGCUAAGACAAAGGUAAAAAUAAAGAUUACCGGACCCACUGAGGGUUGCCUACGUAUCUCGCCCUUAGGGAUGGAAAUCAGGUAUGCGUUGUUCAUCCAAGUUGGACAAUUAAGGAAUAAAAUAGACUGAGACUUGAUUUAAGAGACGUGAUUACAGACGGAUGAUGAAAACAAAAUCUUUUUGGGAUUUUCAAUUAGACACUUCACGCAAAACUGACACCAACAACUAUGAAAGAAAAAUUCUUUUUGUAUUUUUAUUUUAUGAAAUCGACACAACUACUACCAUUUUUGAAACUUCUAAAGAAAAUCUUUUUUGGAAUUUCCGAAUUAUGAAUGCAUGCUAAUUGAAAUAAAGGGAAAGUCUUUUUGAAGUUUUCAAAUUAUGAAUGCAUGGUAAAGGAAUAAGAGAAAAAUCUUUUUGAUGUUUUUGAGACAACGAAUGCGAAAGGUAAAAGAAUUUUUUUUUUGAAUUGUGAAAAAUAAAAGACAAAGAACUCUAAAAAUCAUGAAAAAAAAUUUUUGACUCGCUUUUCUUUCUCUUUUUUUUCGACCUUUCACUACCUACACACUUUACUUUUAACACAAGUUUUUCCUAAAUCAGUCUGUCAAAUGACCAUGUUACCCUCAUAGAUACAACAUUUAGCAUGGAAGAUGCUUUAGAGGUGAGUCUCCUACGAAGGACCAAGUGGGUCCUGCUAGGUCUCAAGAUAUUGUAGAUAAUAUGACCUGAAGGCUAACCUACGCUGGGGUUUACUAACAAGACUGUUCGGGACAGCGUAUGGUCGAUAGCGUCUUGCUUUAGCUGGCCACCUACUCUAUACAACCCAACGGCUCCCCCCUAAAAUAAGAGUGACUCAACUAUAGGUCGUGUAAACACGUGUACAACAGACUUGUUGUAGAAAGAAUGACUUGGGUUAUGCACAUGAUGUCAGAUAUAAAGCGGUAACACAUAACAAAAAACUGUAAACAAAAAGCAUGGAAAUGCACAACAUUGAUAACAAUAACACAAACAAUAAUAAAAAAUAAUGUUUAUACACUCGUGAUGCCAAACAAAGCCGAUACGAUUCCAAAAGUAAACACGAAUUCUGAAAUUCCCUAGCAGAGUCGCCAGAGCUGUCACACCCUUUUUUUCACUCCAAAAUAGAUUUGAUUUUAAGGUUUCGAAAGGGUUUUUAUUAUCAAAGUGACAAAAAAUGAAAAUUUGUUUUGAAAAAGGAUUAUUUGCAUUUUUUAUUCAGAGUUGCCACUUGACAUAAAUCGGGUUUGCCAAGUCACCUUUGAAAAUCCUUUUCAAAAAUAGUUUUGACUCUAUAAUUGAUCCACGAACAGAGAUUCUGGCUAAGGAACUUUGUUGACUGAGGGGAAGGUGUCAGACAUCCCUCGAUCCCGUGGUUCGACCACGAUCGCUUGGUAAAGAGUAACAGCUAAUUGGACAUCAAUGAGUGUAUAAACAACACAAAAAAGCACAUAGAACAAACAAACAAAAUACACAAAAACAAAGAAGUCCAAAAUUUAAUGCUCAGUCCAAUUAUACAAUCCAGAAAAAAAUACGAAAAUAUAAAUCUAUGCUAACCUAUACUUGUCCUAAACUACUCUCCCGUGCUUUACCCGAUGCCUCGGGCCUUGAUCACGAACAUCCUUUGCCAACAUAAUACGUCGGCGCAUUCCCCGGUAAAUAAAUAUAAUGAGCCUCGGGGCAUUCCCUGGCUAAAUGAAUACAUUCAAUGAAAUACGAUAAAACUAGAAAAGAAGCACUCGAAACACACAUUUAGACAUUCAAAGCAUUCAAUCAACAAAUCAUGCCUAAAUUUUACCUACCCAAACCUAUAUUGCCUAUCUAUUUGAACAUCUCAUGAAUCUAUCACAUUCAUGCUCAUUUUGACUUAAACGAAAGAUAACAAAACAAAAUUGUUCUAUAUCCAUCCAUGUUUUACCAAUUCCCCAAUUCCGUCCUAUCUAACUUGUCUUUAUCAAUCACUAUUAAAACUAAUCAACUUCAUUCCAUAUACCCUGAAUUCACAUCAAGAUUACAACAACAAGAACAUCAAACCAUCAUGAUCACACAACAUGUAAUCAUAGCCAUCUUAAUAAAUAAAAAUGAAGAAAAGAAAGCGGGUUAAAGAAAUGGACCUUCCAAGAUUGACUUUUGAUGAUAAUAAGAGUCAAAAGAAGUCCGAAUCCAAAAGCUCAAAUAGAAAACCUCAACAGCGAUGAAACCCCAACUCGGUAUCGAUAAAUAGCAACCCAAAAUGGACUAUAAUAUGACACAAUUGAGAUAAACAGAAGUCAAAUCCCAAACCAAUACAAACCCAAAAUAUUCAAAACAGAAAUCAUGAUAAACUCAACCCAAUCGAGAUUUUUCAUAAGAAACUGAUUAAAAUAGGGAUGAACAAAUUAGUGCUAGUUGUAUCGAUGAUGGGAACCUCAACACUAACAAUAGAUUUCAGAAAAACUCAUCAUUUCUAGCUAGAUUCAACUGGAAUCGACCAAAACCCAACAGUUCUGGUGAUGGGUUCAUCGGAAAACCUCAGACACUCUAUUGAUCCUCUCGAUGCCCCCUAUAUCUCUCUCUUCGUAACUUUCUCUCUUUCUGUUCUACCCUCUUUUUUGUAUACAUAUGCGAGAUUCGUGAGUGAGGUCAAAAAAUGAGUCUCUGUGUGUGCGUGUUUAAGUUGUAUCCAGUGAAGGGGGUCGUGAGUGAUGUCAAGUUUUUUUUCUGAAGACAAUGAUGAAGAAGUAAAAGGAAAGCCCUCCAAACCCAAUCCCUGAGAGUAUAUCCAAAAGGGAGAGAAAAUAAUGGUAUGUGCAUGUUUUUCCCCUAUUCCAGUGAAUGGAAUUUGUUUAUAUAUGGAAUAUGGGGUCCAUGUGAUAUGGAAUUUUCUGGAAGGUGCCCCUAUCCAUGUAUAUUUCUUUGUGGACAAGAAAAAGAGAGAAGGGGGGUCACGUGGGUUGGGGUGGUAUUGGGUGAUUAGGUGAGAGGUGAGGUGUUGUUUUUUAAUUAGAGGGGUUAGGGUUAGGUGUCUAUUUUUGAUUGGGUGGGUUGUUGGAAUCUUUAAGAUAAGACAAAAUUAGUUAGGGUUUGUUAUUUGGAUAAAAACAAAAAGGAAUUAAUAAAUAAGUAAAAAAUGAGGUGGUUAUUCAUUUGUUUUUUCUUGAAGAAAAUUGUAAAAUGGGGUCAAAGUGCGUAAUAACAGAGUAAGAAUUAUUCUCGAUGGGACAAAAUUACGUGUCUACAGCUAGGACAACGGACCGUCAAGGCUGCAAUGGACCGUCGCUGAGACCGUCGCCACUGAGGCAGUGUGGUCUCAUCCUAGCCAACGUGUGAUGGAUGAUCUGAUGGACCGUCAAGACUACGACGGACCGUCACAUCGAGGCAGUGUGUUAUUUUUUUGACCGACGUUUGACGGACGAUCCUACAGACGUCUGGCUAGCGAUGGACCGUCGCAACCUCGUUCAGUAUUUUAAGUCAUUUUUAAAAGGGAAUCUUCGGUCUUUCCACUCUUUUAUCAACCAUAUAAUUCCAAAUGAAGCAAAUGUCUUCAUUCAUCAUCCAAAACACAAGAGAGCUAGGGUUUCUCCCUCAAGAUCAAAUAUAAAACCCUUCUCCAAGAAAUCCAAGAACUCACCAUAGAUUCUACAAAUUGAGUUGAAUUUAAGUUCUCCAAGUUCAUGGGUUGCAAGAACCCUCUCUAAAGAGUAAGAAUAAGAGUUUGAAGCAAGCUUGUUUAUCCAAUUUCAUAAUCUAAGGUAUGUGGGGUUUUAAACAAGGGUAAUCCUUUCACCCUUGUGCCCAAAGACUUAUUUAAACUAUAAUUUUCUGCAAUCUAUGAGAUUUUACAUGAUAUUGAAUUAGAGGUUUUCACCCAUUGUUAUUGAUUGCAAUAUCUUGAUGUUUCCAAUGAAUUGAAAGUCAAAAAACGUAAUUUUGCAUGUUUUCUUAAGAAAUUGAAGCUGGGUUUAAACCCUAUGUUGUUACUCCUUAAGAAUUUAAGAGUUUCAAUGUUCUAGAAAUUGAUGUAUAUGAGUAUGUUGAUAUUUUGAUACAAAUUACUGUAAAUUCUAGAUUUCUACAUGAAUUAUGAACCUCUAUGCUAUCUAUUAUGCAUUAUGAUGAGUUCUAACUUGAGAUUGAAUUAUGGGUCAGUAAGCCCUACUUGAGACUUGCAAUUUUAUGAACUAUUGUGCUAUAAGCACCAAUGAUUUGAGUAUUUUGAGAUUAUUGAGAAAUGUUUUGACGUAAUGGUCAUAGAGUUUUGAAAUCCACUCUACCAUAUGAGAUUACAGAUUUAAUUGUUGGGUUCUUAUGAACCAUAAGAUUAUUUUGAAAUUAGAUUUCCAUGAGAUGAGCGAGAUAAACUAAAGGGUAUAGUAUUUAGCAUCGAGUUGGGUAAGUCACCACAAUUUCUUACUCCAGAACUACGUGCCACCGUAUGUUUGAGAUUUUGGGCCUGAGGCCGAGAUGAUUGGGCUAGAGGCUGAGAUAAGUGAUCACUGAGUUGAGAUUAUACUCCUUGGCAAGAGUAUGACGCCUCUCCCCAAAGUGAGGUUUCUUUCUUAGGAGGACAAGACAUUGAAAUCCAUGUAGCUCGCAUAGUUUAUGUCGGUUAAGAGAACCUUCCUAAACUAAAGUAUUUCCCAUUGAGAUAGAAUAUUUUCCCAAAAGCUUUGAGAUGAGAUAUUUUCUAAAGUCAAUGAAUUGCUUUUGAGUAUUUUCUAAAGAAGGAAGUAGUUUUCUUUACUAAUACGAGUUGAUCACCAGUUUUCAAACCAAAGUUAUAUGAUUCCGAGUUCCAAGUGUUUGAGUUCAAAAGAGUUAUAAGUUCUAGAGCAUUAAAGAAGUUUUACUCCCCAUGAGAUAUUUGCAUGAGUUGAAAAUAUUGUUUAAAGUUUCCUUCAGCCUAUAAGUAAUGAUAACAAGAGAAGAGUACAGAUUUUAAAGCUAAAGUAUAAUGACUCAUGAGAUUUGUGUUACAUGCUUCAUUCUACAUGAUUUAUGAGCUUUACAUUUUGUCUUAUUCAAGCCAUGUGAGUCGUUCCUAAUUGCAUGCAUGAUUUGAUUGAAGAGUAUUGAUACUAUUUUUAUAUAAAUGCAUACACCCCCACAUACUCAUUACAUUCCCAAUUGUUGAUUCAUAUAUACGUCUAUGUACUACAUUGUCUUAUAAUGUAGGUUCAGGUACUUUGUCCUAGCCUCGUCAGUGAUUCCCGAGUACUUUUUGUCUAUAUUUCUCCAGUGGUGAGUCCUCAUUGUUCGAGGGCCUAUCUUUAGAAAUUUCAAUUCUUGAGUGGUUAUGUCAUCACUUUCAAUUCAGUUCGAGUUAGUUGGGGACCUGUCCCAAUGGCUCUUUAGUUCAUGGAGUAGUAAAGGCUUUUUCAGACUAGUUAUCAGACUGGGGUUGUGUUGAGAUUUCCAGUAGUGUGGUCAUUUGGACUGAGUUUUAUCUUCGUAUUUCCUUUCAUUUGAUGUGACAGUGCCAGUGUUUUUAUAUAUUUCUUAUUGAAUAAGUUAUUAUGAGAAAUAAUAGGCUCAAAGGGUUAGCUUGGGUCUACUUGUAUCCCUAAGCACCGUGUGACAUCUCGGGAGGUGAUUUUGGAUCGCUACAAACUUGGUAUCAGAGUCUAAGGUUUUAAAGGAGUCCUAGGGAAUUUGACAAGCCGCGUUGAGUAGAGUCUUGAGCAUCGGUGUGUAGCGCGCCACAUCUAUGAGCAAGAGGCUAUAAGACAUUUUAGGAAAAAGUUAUUUUUUUAUUUCAGAUUCCAUCAUGCCUGCAGUGUCCCUCUCAUCUAAUAAUUUAUGCUCUCCUAUUUCAGAAAAUACCUAUCCAAAGAGCGAAUGCCCGCAGAACCGAUAAUGAGCAACCCCAGACUGUUGAUCCCUUGAAUAAGAUAGUGUCUCAUGCUGAGUUUCAGGCGGCCUUUCAGGUGUUAGACCAAUAAGUCACCGCUAAUGUUCGGGACAAUAACCAAGCCGCAGUUACAAAUCAGCAAAGAGGUAAUAUAGCUGCUUCUGGGAUCUAUGAUUUUAUGUGGAUGAAUUCACCAGUUUUAUGGGUCCAAGGAAGGUGACGACCCAUAGUUGUACCUUGAGGAGGUGAGAAAGAUCACGCAGGUGAUGCAUGUUUCUGAGUUAGAAAGUGUUGAUGUGGUAUCUUAUAGGUUAAAGGACAAAGAUUAUGAUUGGGUUGUAUCAUAGAGGAAGGGUAGAGGUAAGGAUGCUGCUCCUAUGACUUGUCAGGUGUUCUAAGGUGCAUUCUUGGACAUGUUCUUUCAUCUUGAGAUGAGGGAAGCAAAGAUUAGGAGUUUAUGAACUUGAGGCAGGGCUCCAUGACUGUUAAAGAGUACUUCUUGAAGUUCAACUAGUUAGCCAAGUAUGCUCCUGAUUUGAUUUCUGACACUUGAGCUAGUAUGAGUAAAUUCAUGACCGGUGUUUCUAGUUUGGUGCUGAAGGAGUGUAGGACUGCGAUACUGCAUAAGGAUAUGGAUCUGGCUUCGUUGAUGAUGUAUGCAUAAUAGAUAGAGAUAGAUAAGAUAAGGGAGAGAAAUAGAGUGAGGGGUAACAAGAGGGCUAGAUUAGAGCAACAUGAGUUUAGUCAGCCUAGGUUCCAUGGAGGGAACCACUCUCAAUUUCAGAGACGUUCGUCCAUUCUCGCGCUUUCAUCAUCUAGUACUCCUAUUCCUAGAGAUAGGCAAGAGUAAGGGGGUAGGUAUUUUAUGUCUAGGUCGCAGAAUAGUGUUAGUAACAGGAUUCGCUAUCCUCCUUAUGCUAAGUGUGGUAGGGAUCAUCCUGAUGAGUGUUUUAUAUAUUUGAGGGGUUGUUUUGGUUAUGGCAAGCAGGGCCAUAGACUUAGAGAUUGUCCACAUGCUAGCCAGAGGAACAAAGAUGCCCGACCUCAGGCAUAGACUACUAGUGCACUAGCUCUUAUAUCCCAUCCUACCCCUGCUCAGGGCACUUCAUCUAGCACUACUGGCGGUCAACGUAAGAAUAGAUUCUAUGCCUUACCAUCCCAUCAGGAGUAGGAGGACUCUCCCGAUGUUGUUACUGGUAUGCUCUAUGUCUUUUGUCUUGAUGUUUAUGUGUUGUUGGACCCCGGGUCAAGUCUCUCUUAUGUGACCCCACUUAUAGCUGUGAAAUUCAAAAUGAGUCCCAAAAAGAUUCCUGAGCCUUUCCUAAUUUCUACACCCGUAGGGGAGUUAGUUAUUGCUAAACAAGUGUUUAGAGAUUGUCUUAUUACUAUUCUUCAUAGAGUCAUACUUGCUGAUUUGAUAGAGUCAGACAUGGUGGAUUUUGACCUUAUUCUGGGUGUGGAUUAGGUUUAUUCUUGUUAUGUAUCUAUAGGCUAUCGUACCCGCGUGGUCAAGUUUCAGUUCCCUGAUGAACCAAUUUUUGAGUGGUCCGGGAGUUCAGUAUCUCCCAAGAGUUAUUUUAUCUCCCAUCUUAAAGCCAAAAUGAUAAUAUCCAACGGUUGCAUCUAUCACCUAGUUAGAGUCAAAGACACUAAGUCUGAGGCUCCAACUAUUCAGUCAGUCGAUAUUGUUAAUGACUUUCUAGAUAUUUUUCCAAAAGAUCUCCUAGGGGUACCUCCCGAUAGAGAGAGAGAUUUUGGGAUUGACCUUCUUCUUAACACUCGUCCUAUUUCUAUUCUGUCAUAUUGUAUGGCACCUACUGAGCUUAAGGAGUUGAAAGAGUAACUCAAAGAUGUUUUAGACAAAGGUUUCAUAAGGCCCAGUAUUUCUCCUUGGGGUAUACCUGUUCUAUUCAUGGGGAAGAAAGAUGGUUUGUUGUGUUUGUGCAUUGACUAUCAUCAGCUUAACAAGGUUAGAGUCAAAAAUAAGUAUCCUCUUCUAAGAAUUGAUGACCUGUUUGAUCAGUUGCAAGGUGCAAGUUAUUUCUCCAAUAUAGACCUUAGAUCCGGCUAUCAUCAACUUAAAGUGAGGGAAUGUGAUAUUCUAAACACAACCUUCCGAACUCGCUAUGGUCACUUUGAGUUUCUAGUCAUGUCUUUCAGGCUAACCAAUACCCUAACAACUUUUAUGGACCUCAUGAAUUGAGUGUUCAAGCAAUAUCUUAAUAUGUUUGUCAUAGUGUUCAUAGAUGACAUCCUUGUGUACUCCCACAGUGAGCAUGAUCAUGCAGAUCACCUUAGAAUUGUCUUGCAAACUCUUAGAGGUGACCAGUUGUUCGCCAAAUUUAGAAAGUGUGAAUUUUGACUAAGGUCUGUAGCCUUUCUGGGUCAUAUUAUUUUAGCCGAAGGUAUUGGAGUUGAUCCCCAAAAGAUAGAAGUUGUAAAAAAUUAGCCUAGACUAUCUCUCCAUCUGAUAUUAGAAGUUUCUUGGGUCUAGCGGGCUACUACCACCAUUUUAUUGAAGUUUUCUCCUCUAUUACAUCUUCCAUGACCCAGUUGACCCAAAAGAAAGUUAAGUUCUAGUGGUCAGAUUCCUGUGAGAAGAGUUUUCAGGAGUUGAAGACUCGACUUACUUCAGCCCCUGUGUUGACUUUCCCUGAUGGUACAGAUGGUUUUGUGGUGUAUUGUGAUACCUCUAAAAUUAGAUUGGGUUGUGUGUUGAUGCAAAGAGGUAAGGUUUUAGCCUAUGCCUCUAGACAGUUAAAGUCGUAUGAGAAGAAUUACCCAACCCAUGAUCUUGAGUUAGCUGUUGUGGUUUUUGCUUUGAAAAUCUGGAGACACUAUCUUUAUGGUGUUCAUGUUGAUGUGUUUACUGAUCGUAAGAGCCUGCAGUAUAUGUUUACUCAGAGGGAUUUAAAUCUUAGGCAGAGGAGGUGGUUAGAGUUGUUAAAAAACUAUGAUAUGAGUGCGUUGUAUCACCCAAGCAAGGCCAAUGUAGUGGCGGAUGCCCUUAGCAGAUUGUCUAUAGGGAGUGUUGCUCAUGUAAAGGAAGGUAAGAAAGAGUUAGCUCGUGAUGUGCAUUGUCUGGCUAGAUUGGGUGUUAGGUUGCUUGAUUUAUCUGAGGGAAGUACUUUGGUGUAAAGUAGUUUUGAAUCCUCUUUAGUUUCGGAAGUAAAAGAGAAGCAAGAUAGAGAUCCUGGUUUGGUCAGACUAAAGGAGUUAGUUAAGGACCAAAAAGUAGAGGCUUUCUCCCAAGAAAGAGAUGGCGUGUUGAGAUUGUAACGUAGGUUGUGUGUUCCGUGUGUUGAUGAUCUGAGUUAGAGGAUUAUGGCUGAAGCAUAUGGCGCGCGGUAUUCUAUUCAUCCCGAUACUACUAAGAUGUACCACGACUUACGAAAAUUCUAUUAGUGGAAUAGUAUGAAGAACAAUAUAGAUGAGUUUGUAGCAAUGUGUGCAAUGUGCCAACAGGUUAAGGUAGAGCACCAAAGACCUGGUGGUGUGAUAUAAGAGUUUGGUAUACCCACUUGGAAGUGAGAGGUGAUGAAUAUGGAUUUCUUGGCUGGGUUACCUCUUUCGCGCGGUCAUCAUGAUUCUAUUUAGGUUGUUGUACACAGGAUGACUAAGUUCGUGCCUUUAUUGCCCAUGCAUAUAUCUUAUAUAGCUGAGGAUGAUGCUAAAUUGUAUAUCCGGGAGUUAGAUAGGCUAUACGGAGUUUCCUUGUCUAUCAUUUCGGAUAGGGGUACUCAAUUUAAUUCACAGUUGUAGAGGGUAUUUUAGCAGGGUCUUGUUACCCAAGUUCUUUUGAGUUCUGCUUUUCAUCCGCAGACAGAUAGUCAGGAUGAGAGGACCAUUCAGACCCUUGAAGACAUAUUGAGGUUGUGUGCUCUUGAUUUCAAAAAAAGUUGGAAUGAGCAUUUGCUAUUGAUAUAGUUCACCUAUAACAAUAGUUACCAUGCUAGUAUCACCAUGGCACUAUUUGAGGCCUUGUAUGGUAGAAGAUGUAGAUCACCCAUAGGUUGGUUUGAAGUAGGUAAAGCUGCCGUGAUUGGGCCUGAUGCAGUGUUUGAAGCUAUGGACAAAGUUAAGUUGAUUAGAGAGGUUAAAGAUAGCUCAGAGUAGUAGAGGCUUUGUAAGACUAGUUAUCAAAUUGUUAGUAUGUUGAGAUUUCCAGUAUUAUGGUCAUUUGGACUAAGUAUUUUCUUCGUAUUUUAUAGCAUUUGAUACGACAAUGCUAGUGUUUUGUUUAUUUCUUCUCGAAAUAAGUUAUUUUAUGUAGUGACAAGCUCAAAGGGUAAGCUUGGGGCUACUGGUAGCCUUAAGCACCAUAUGACGUUCCAAGAGGAGAUUUUGGGUCGUUAUAAACUUGGUAUCAGAGCCUAAGGUUUAAGGAGUCCUAGGGAGUCUGAAAAGACACGUUGAGUAGAGUCUUGUUCAUCAGUGUGUAACGCGCUAUAUCUAUGAGCAAGAGGCUACAAAAUGAUUUAGGAAAAAAUUGCUCUUUCUUUUAGAUUAUAUCAUGCCUAUAGUUGUCCCUCUUAUCUAAUAAUUUAUGCUCUCUUAUUUCUAAAAAUGCCUCCCCCGUUGAGGAAAUGCCCACAAAAAUGAUAAUGAGCAACCCCAACCUGUUGAUCCCUUGAAUGAGAUAGUGUCUCAUGCUGUGUUCUGGGCGACCUUUCAGGAUUUAGUCUAAGUAUUCACCACUAAUGUUCAGGCCAAUAACCAGGCCGCAGUUGCAAAUUAGUAGGGAGGUGAUUUAGCUGCUGCUAGGAUUCGUGAUUUUAUGUGGAUGAAUCUGCCAGAGUUUUAUGGGUCUAUGGCUGGAGAGAACCCCUAAUUAUACCUUGAAGAGGUGAAAAAGAUCACACAGGUGAUGCAUGUUUCUGAGGAAGAAAGUGUUAAGCUGACAUCUUACAGGUUGAAGGAUAUUGCUUAUGACUGGGUUGUAUUAUAAAGGAAAGGUAAAGGUGAGGGUGUUUCUCCUAUGACUUGGCAGGUAUUCCAAGAUACAUUCUUAGACAAGUUCUUUCUGCUUGAGAUGAGGAAAGCGAAGAUUGGGAGUUUAUAAACUUAAGGCAGGGCCUAUGACUGUUAAGGAGUACUGCUUGAAGUUCAACCAGUUGGCCAAGUAUGCUCCUGAUUUGAUUUCUGACACCCGAGCUAGUAUGAGCAAGUUUAUGAUAGGUGUUUCUGGUUUGGUACUGAAAAUGUGUAGGACGACGAUACUGAAUAGGGAUAUAGAUUUGGCUAGGUUAAUGAUACAUGCACAGCAGAUAGAGGCAGAUAAGAUAAGGAAGAGAGAUAGAGUGAGGGGUAACAAGAGGACUAGAUCCUAGCAGCAUGAGUAUAGUCAGGCUAGUUUCCAUAGAGGGAACCGCCCAUAGUUCCAUAGUCGUUCGUGUAUGCCAGCACCUUCAUCAGCUAGUGCUUCUGCACCUAGAGAUAGGCAGGAGCAAGAGAAUAGGUCUUCUAUGUCUGGGUCGCAGAAUAGUAUAAGUAAUAGACCCCACUAUCCUCCUUGUCCUAAGUGUGGUAGAGAUCAUCCCAGUAAGUGUUUAGUGGAUCAAAGGUGUUGUUUUGGUUGUGGCAAGCUGGGCCACAAACUUAGAGAUUGUCCGCAUUCUAGGCAGGCCAACAGAGAUUCUCGACCUCAGGAACAGACUACUAGGCAGCAGCUACUGUACCUCAUCCCACCUCUAUUCAGGGUGCUUCAUCUAGCACUACUGGUGGUCAGCACCAGAACAGAUUCUAUGCCUUACCAUUCCAUCAGGAGCAGGAGGACUCUCCCUAUGUUGUUACUGGUAUUCUCCGUGUCUUUUUCUUCGAUGUUUAUGUGUUGUUGGAGAUCGGGUCAAGUUUCUCUUAUGUGACUCCAUUAGUCGCUGUGAAUUUUGAAAUGAGUCCCAAAAAGAUUCCUAAGCCUUUCCUAGUUUCCACACCAAUAGGGGAGUCAGUGGUUGCUAAGCAAGUGUACAAAAAUUAUCCUAUUACUGUUCUUCAUAGAGUCAUAUUUGCUGAUUUGAUAGAGUUAGACAUGGUGGAUUUUGACCUUAUUUUGGAUAUGGAUUAGGUUUAUUCUUGCUAUGCAUCUAUAGAUUGUCGUACCCGUGUGGUCAAGUUUUAGUUCCCUGAUGAACCAGUUCUUGAGUGGUCCGGGAGUUUGAUAUCUCCCAAGGGCCAUUUUAUUUCCUAUCUCAAAGGCAAAAAGCUAAUAUCCAAAGGUUGCAUCUAUCACCUAGUUAGAGUCAAAGACACUAAGUCUGAGGCUCCAAAUAUUCAGUCAGUCAGCAUUGUUAAUGAGUUUCCUGAUGUUUUUCUGGAAGAUCUCCUAGGGGUUCCUCCUAAUAGAGAGGUAGAAUUUGGGAUUGACCUUCUUCUUGAAACUCAGCCCAUUUUUAUUCCUCCAUAUCAUAAGGUACUUAUAGAGCUUAAGGAUUUGAAAGAACAACUCAAAGAUCUUUUAGACAAAGGUUUCAUAAGGCCCAGUGUUUCUCCUUGGGGAGCAACUAUUUUGUUUGUGCAAAAGAAAGAUGGUUAUUUACGUAUGUGAAUUGACUAUCGUCAGCUUAAUAAGGUCACAGUCAAAAAUAAGUAUCCUCUUUCGAGAAUUGAUGACUUGUUUGAUCAAUUUCAAGGUGCGAGUUACUUCUCCAAGAUAGACCUUAGAUCCGGCUAUUAUCAGCUUAAAGUGAGGGAAUAUGAUAUUCCAAAGACAGCCUUCCGAACCCUCUAUGGUCACUUUGAGUUUCUAGUUAUGUCUUUCAGGCUAACCAAUGCCCCAGCAGCCUUUAUGGACCUCAUGAAUUGAGUUUUCAAGCAAUAUCUUGAUAUGUUUGUCAUUGUUUUCAUAGAUGACAUCCUUGUGUACUCCCAUACUAAGAACGACUAUGCAGAUCACCUUAGAAUUAUCCUGGAAACUCUUAGAGAACACCAGUUGUUCGCCAAAUUUAGUAAGUGUAAUUUUCGCUAAGAUUAGUAGCUUUUCUGGGUUAUAUUGUUUCAGCUGAAGGCAUUAGAGUUGAUCCCCAAAAGACAGAAGCUGUAAGAAAUUGUCCUAGACUUAUUUCCCCAUCUGACAUUAGAAGUUUCUUGGGUUUAGCUGGAUACUAUCGCUAUUUUAUUAAAGGUUUCUCUUUUAUUACGUCUCCUAUGAGAAGAGUUUUCAAGAAUUGAAAACUUGACUUACUUCAGCCCCUAUGUUGACUUUGCCUGAUGGUACAAAUGGUUUUGUGGUGUAUUAUGAUGCCUCUAAAGUUGGUUUGGGUUGUGUGUUGAUGCAAAGAGGUAAGGUUAUAGUCUAUGCCUCUAGACAGUUGAAGCCGCAUGAAAGAAACUACCCAACCCAUGAUCUUGAAUCAGCUGUUGUGGUCUUUUCUUUGAAAAUCUGGAGACGCAAUCUUUAUGGUGUCCAUAUUGAUGUGUUUACUGAUCAUAAGAGCCUGCAGUAUGUGUUUACCCAGAGGGAUUUGAAUCUUAGGCAAAGGAGGUGGUUAGAGUUGUUAAAAGACUAUGAUAUGAGUGUGUUGCAUCACCCGAGCAAGGCCAAUAUAGUAGCAGAUGCUCUUAGCAGGUUGUCCAUGGGUAGUUUUGCUCAUGUAGAGAAAGGUAAGAGUUAGCUCAUGAUGUGCAUUAUCUUGCUAGAUUAGGUGUUAGGUUGCUUGAUUCAUCUAAGAGAAGUACUUUGGUACAAAGCAGUUUUGAAUCCUCUUUUGUUUUGGAAGUGAAGAAGAAGCAAGAUCGAGAUCCUAGUUUGGUCAGACUAAAGGAGUCAGUUAAGGACAAAAAGGUAGAGGUUUUCUCCUAAGGGGAUAUGGCGUAUUGAGAUUGCAGGGUAGGUUGUGUGUUUCGUGUUUUGAUAAACUGAGGCAGAGGAUUAUGGCUGAAGUGCAUGGUGCGCGAUAUUCCAUUUAUCCCGGCACUACCAAGAUGUACCAUGACUUUUGGGAAAUCCAUUAGUAGAGUGGUAUGAAGAAGAAUAUAUUUAAGUUUAUAGCAAAGUGUGCAACGUGCCAACAGUUUAAGGUAAAACACCAAAGACUUGGUGGUGUGAUGCAAGAGUUUGGUAUACCUACUUGGGAGUGAGAAGAGGUGAAUAUGGACUUUGAGAUUGGUUUACCUCUUUUACGUCGUCAUCAUGAUUCUAUUUGGGUUAUUGUAGAUAGACGGACUAAGUCUGUGCAUUUCUUGCUCGUACAUACAUCUUAUACAACUGAGGAUUAUGCUAGAUUGUAUAUCUGGGAUCUAUAGGCUGCAUGGAGUUCCCUUGUCUAUCAUUUCGGAUAGGGGUACUCAGUUCACUUCUCUGUUUUGGAGAGCGAUUCAGUAGGGUCUUGGUACCCAAGUUCAUUUGAGUUCCACUUUUCAUCCAUUGACAGAUGGUCAGGCUGAGAGGACUAUUUAGACUCUAGAAUAUAUGUUAAGGGCAUGUGCUCUUGACUUCAAAGGUAGUUGGGAUGAGCAUUUUCCAUUGAUAAAGUUUUUUUAUAUCAAUAGUUACCAUGCUAGCAUCGAGAUGGUACCAUUUGAGGCUUUAUAUGGUAGAAGAUGUAGAUCACCCAUAGGUUGGUUUAAAGUGGGUAAAGCUGCUGUGAUUGGGUCUAAUGCAGUGUUUGAGGCUAUGGAUAAAGUUAAGUUGAUUAGAGAAAGGUUGAAGAUAGCUCAGAGUCGUCAAAAGUCAUAUGCCGAUGUGAGGAGAACAGGUCUUGAGUUUGAGGUGGGUGAUUUGGUGUACUUAAAGAUUUCACCCAUGAAAAGGGUGAAAAGUUUUGGUAAAAAAGGGAAGCUUAGUCCCUGUUAUGUGGGCCCCUAUAGAGUUUUGAGUUGUGUUGGUAAAGUAGCCUAUGAAGUUGAGUUGCCCGCAGAGUUAUCAGCCGUUCAUCCUUUUUUUCAUGUCUCCAUGCUUAAGAAGCAUAUUGGUGAUUCCGUUGUAGUGGAUCCUUCGGAGAGUGCUGAUAUUCAGAACAAUCUUUCAUUCGAUGAGAUUCCUGUUGAGAUCCUAGAUUUUUAGAUCCAUAGACUGAGGAACAAAGAGGUUUCCUUGGCCAAAGUUUUGUUGAGGAACCAGUUGUUGAGGGCUCUACUUGGGAGGCAGAAGAAGACAUGUGAGCCAAGUAUCCGCACCACUUUUCCGCGAGUUCAGAUCAUGCCGAAGGUAUUAUUCUUCCUUACUUCAGCCCUUCUAAAUCUAAAGUUCAGCUAUAUAUCUAUUCUUGUAUGAGUUCUUGCAAUUUUUGAAGUAUUUAAGAGUUUAGAAAGAUUUUGAGCCAUUUAGCAAAUUGCUUCAGCUAUGUGUACUCAAUUUUUCAUGUGUUCUUGGUCUAACAAGCGACAUUCGAGGAUGAAUAUUCCCAAGGGAGAGAUAUUGUAAUACCCCAGAUUUCUUUAAGUCGAGUUUCAUCUUUAAGAAGAGUAAGGGCUGAUAUCCCAAGUGAUAAAUAUAUUAAAUCGUGUAGAAUUUCUCUAAUAUUGUCUUUUUUUCAUGUAUAGAAUUGAAUUAGCUUUCCAAUGAUACCAAUUUCGUCCAAAUCCGAUAUUAGGGUGAGAAGUUAUGGCCGUUUUACUGAGAGUUGUUGGAACUGCCCAGGUGCAACGGACAGGUUGACGGACCAUCGAGUUUGUGAUGGACUGUCGGCCAUACUGUCGCAACCAAGGCAGUGACUCCCUCUUCUACCUCAAGUGUGACGGCCAAGAUGACAGACCAUCAAGAUAGUGAUGGACCGUUGCUAGGACCAUCGCAAUUAAGGUAGUGUUACUUUUUUCUGACCAACGUGCGAUGAACGAUCCGACGGACCAUCAGACUAGCGACGGACCAUCACUCCGACCAUCACAAAUCCCGUUCAUUACUUUUGUAGUCGUUUUAAAAGGACUUUUUGGAAUUUUCCCCUUUUAACACUUAGAUAUAUGCAAAACAAAGCAUAUGACUUCAUUAUCUCCCAAAACAUCCAAAGGCUAGGGUUUCUUCCUCAAGAACAAACCCAAAACCCUUCUCCAAGAAAUUCAAGAACUCACCAUAGAUCCUACAAAUUGAGUUGAGAUUCAAGUUCCCAAAGUUCAAGGCUUCAAGAACCCUCUCUCAAAGAGUAAGAAGAAGAGUUUUAAGCAAGAUUGUUCAUCUAGUUUCACAAUCUAAGGUAUGUGGGGUUUGAACAAAGACAAUUCUUUCGUCCUUGUUCCCAAAACUUGUUUUAAAUUACAAAGAUAUAUGACUUUAUGAGUUCUCCUAUGAAUUUGAAGUAUGGUUUGAUACCCAAUAUUACUAUGCGUGAGAUUUUGAAAUUUGCCAAUGUUCUAGAAAUUGAAGUACAUGAGUAUGUUGAGAUUUUAAGACAAAUUGCUGAACAUCCUAGAUUUCUAUAUGAUUUGUGUAUCCUUAUGGCAUCUAGUAUGUAUUUUGAUGAGUUUUAACUUGAGAUUUGAUUAUGGAUCACUAAACCUUACUUGAGAUUUCAGUUUCUAUGAACUUUUGUUCUAUAAGCACCCAUGAUUUGAGUAUUUUGAGAUCAUUGAAAAGUUUUGACCUUAAUGGUCAUAGUAUCUUUGAAAUAUACUUUACCAAAUAAGAUUACAGAUUUUAUAGUUGGGUUCUUAUGAACCAUGAGAUUAUUUUAAAGUGGAUUUCCCUGAGAUGAGCGUAGCUAACUAAAGGGAGUAGUAUUUAGCACCGAGUUGGGUAAGUUACUUCGAUUUCAUACCCCAGAACUAUGUGCCACCAUAGGAUUGAGAUUUAUAGGCUUGAGGUUGAGAUAAGUGUUCACUGAGUUAAGGUUAUACUCCCUGGAAAGAGUAUAACGUCUCUCCCCUACGUGAGUUUUCUUUAUUAGGAGGAUAAAACGUUGGACUCCAUGUAGCUCGCAUGGUUUAUGUCAGUUAAGAGAACCUCCCUUGAGAUAGAAUAUUUUCCCUAAAGUUUUGAGAUAAGUGAUUUUUCCUAAUAGUAAGAUUUUCAAAAUAGUUUCUUGAAGUAAAAUUUUUCCAAGAAGAAAGUAGUUUUCUCUACUAGUAAGAGUUAUAGAAUUCCAAGUUCCAAGUGUCUUGAGUUAAAAGAGUUCCAAGUUCUUGAGCAUUAAAGAAGUUUUACUCUCCAUGAGAUAUAUGCAUGAUUUUGAAAGUGUUGUUUAAAGCUUUCUUUAGUAUUUGAGUAAUGAGAAUAAGAGAAUAAUUUAGAUUUUAAAGCUAAAUUAUAAUGACUCACGAGAUUUGUGUUACAUGAUUCAUUCUACAUGAUUUAUGAGCUUUAUAUUUUAGACGUAUUCAAGCUAUGUGAGUCAUUCAUAUUUGCAUGCAUGAUUUGAUUAAAGAAUAUGGAUAUUGUUUUUUGUAAAUGCAUACACGCCCAUAUACUCAGUACAUUCCCAAGUGCCGAUCCACAUAUACGUCUAUGUGCUACAUUGUCUUAUAAUGUAGGUUCAGGUGCUCAAUCCCAGCCUCGUCAAUGAUUUCUAAGUACCUUUGUCUACAUCUCCACAGUAUUGAGUCCUUAUGGUUCGAGGACCUAUCUUUAGACAUUUCAAUAUUGUUAGUAGACAUAUUAUUGCUUUCAGUUCAGUUUGAGUCAGUUGGGGACCUAUCCCAAUAGCUCUCUAGUAGACGUGAGUAGUAGAGGCUUUGUCAGACUAGUUAUCAUAUUAUGAGUUGGUUGAGAUUUCUAGUAGUGUGGUCAUUUGGACCAAGUAUUUUCUAUCAUUUGAUACGACAGUGCCAAUGUUUUGUUUAUUUCUUCUCAAAAUGAGUUAUUUUAUGUAGUGACAAGCUCAAAGGGUUAGCUUGGGAUUACUUGUAGCCUUAAGCACUGUGUGACAUCUCGGGAGGAGAUUUUAGGUCGUUAUACAACAACCAUUCUUUUGUUAUCAAUCAACAUGAUUUUUUCAUAGUGAGCGCGAACCCAUUCUUCGUUACUUAGUUCGGCUUCCUAAAUAAUCCUUAAGGAAGGUAUGUUAGCCUCAGUAGGUAUCACAGCUUCAUUCCCAUAAAUAAGUAGAUACGGAGUUACCCUGGUGGAAGUUCGAACUAGUGUCCAAUACCCUAGUAAAGCGUAAGGCAACAUCUCAUGCCAUGAUUUAUCAUUUUCGACCAUCUUCCUCAAAAUCUUCUUGAUAUUCUUAUUGACGGCUUCCACAGCUCUAUUCAUCUGUGGGUGAUAUGCGGUUGAGUUGCGAUGAAUAAUUUUGAACUGUUCACAAAUCUCAUUCAUUAAGUGACUAUUCAAGUUUGCCUCAUUGUCAGUAAUGAUCGAUUCUGGAACUCCAAACCUGCAAAUCAAGUUAUUUUUGAUGAAAUCUGCCACAACUUUCUUGGUGACGCCUCUAUAUAAAGCAGCUUUGACCCCUUAGUAAAGUAAUCAAUAGCAACCAAAAUAAAUCUAUGCCCAUUUGACACCGGUGGUUCAAUUGGUUCGAUAACGUUCAUACCCCAAGCUACAAAAGGCCAAGGUAAACUCAACGCAUGAAGCUCAUGUGGAGGCAUUCAAAUCAAAUCUCCGCGUAUCUAACAUUUUGGGCAUUUCUGUACAUACUUGCUACAAUCAUUUUCCAUAGUCAUCUAGAAGUAACCAGUUCUCAGGAUCUUUCUAGCAACGACAAACCCAUUCAUGUAGGGCCCGUAAAUUCUAGCAUGUAACUUCUUCAUUAAUUUAUUGGCUUUCGCAGCGUCUACAUAUCUUAAGAAACCAAAGUCUGGAGUCAUCCUAAGAAGGAUUUCCCCACUUGGAAAAUAAUUCUUUGCCAAACGCCGGAUUGUCUUCUUCUAAUUGUUGCUGGCCUCUUCAGGAUACAUCCCAGAUUCUAAAUACCUUUUAAUAUCAUAGUACCAUGGCUUUCCAUCCGGCUCCUCUUCAACAUGUGCACAAUAAAUGGGUUGCUCCUUCAAGCUUAUUUCCAAAGGAUCAAUGUAAUUCUGAUCUGGGUGUUGAAUCAUGGAGGAUAUAGUGGCCAAGGAGUCGACAAACUCAUUUUGUAUCCUUGGGAUAUGUCUGAAAUCAACUUCCUUGAAUCUUCCACAUAAUUUCUGCACCAGCUCCACAUAAGGAGUAAUCUUGGAGUUCUUUACCGCCCAUUCUCCUCGUACCUGGUGAAUCAGCAAAUCUGAGUCUCCGAUGACUAGCAAUUCAUGAACACCUAUAUCAAGCGCCAAUUUGAGUCCUAGAAUAGCUUUAUAUUCGGCCAUGUUAUUGGUGCAUAGGAAACACAACCUAAUUGUUACUAGAUAGUGUUGUCUUGUUUCUAACACCAAAACUGCUCCGACUCCUGAACCUUUAAAGUUGAUCACUCCGUCAAAGAAAAUCUUCAUCCAGGAUAAAUCUCCACGAUGUCUUCUCCUAUGAAUAAAAUCUCUUCAUUUGGGAAGUAAGUUCAAAGCGGCUUAUAUUUAUCGUCAACCGGAUUCUCUGCAAAGGCUUGCCCCUUGAUUUCCUUUUGAGUCACAUACACAAUGUCGAACUCACUCAACAAUAUUUUCCACUUGGCUAGCUUUCCCGUAGGCAUGACUUUUUGGAAUAUAUACUUCAAUGGAUCCAUUUUGGAAAUGAGGUAUGUUGUGUAUGACGACAAAUAAUGCCUCAACUUUUGUGCAGCCCAAGUUAAAGUGCAACAUGUAUUUUCUACAAGUGUGUAAUGGGCGUCAUACAACGUAAACAUUUUACUCAAAUAGUAGAUGGCUUUCUCUUUCUUACCGGUCUCAUCAUGUUGCCUGAGGAUACAUCUGAAAGCAUUUUCUAAGACUGACAGGUAAAGCAACAACGAACUUCUUUCCCUUGAUGGAACCAAAACUGGCGGCGCAAACAAGUAUUCCUUGAUUCGGUCAAAAGCUUUCUGAUAUUCUUCUUUCCACUCAUUCAAUGAAUAUUUUUUCAACAUCUUGAGAAUUAGCUCACAUAUGACUAUUGACUGGGCAAUGAACUUGCUAAUGUAAUUCAAAUGAUCCAGGAAAAUCAUAACCUCUUUCUUGGUCCUCGGCGGUGGCGAAUCCUGAAUUGUCUUGAUUUUGGAUGGGUCUAGCUCGAUGCCCCUUCUGCUAACUAUGAACCCCAGUAAUUUCCUGGUCGGCACACCAAAAGAACACUUAGAAGGAUUUAACUUCAAAUUAUACUUUCUUAAUUUAUUGAAGAAUUUUUCCAAAUAGGUCAGAUGAUCCGAACUCUCGUGGGAUUUGAUAAUUACAUCAUCCACGUACACCUCAAUCUCUUUAUGAAUCAUAUCAUGGAAAAUCAUUGUCAUAGUCUUCAUGUAUGUUGUACCCGCAUUCUUAAGACCAAACGUGUAACGACCCGAAAUCGUCUCCCGAGACGUCACACGGUGCCUAAGGCUACGAGUAGCCCCAAGCUAACUCUUAGAGCCGGUUUCUACCAAUGACACUCAAUUCAAGAUAAAAAUGGACUCAACACUAGCCUAGUCAUAUCACAUGAAAGGAAAUAUGGAAAAGAUACUCGGUCCAUAAGACUACAAUAUAGAGAAAUCUCAACAAAACCAUAAUAUUGAAUCCUCGACACAUCACAAGUUUGACACUAGUCUGACAAAGCCUCUACAAAUCAAAAUCUAGAGAGCCAUUGGGACAAGUCCCCAACUAACUCGAAAUGAAAUAAAGAUAAAACAUAGUCUCUCAAACACUGAGACAUCUAUAGAUCGGUCCUCAAACUAGGAUGACUCACCACUAUAGAAAAUGUAGGCAAGGUACUCAAAGAAUCAUGGGCGAGGCUAAGACUGAGCACCUGAACCUACGUUAUGACAUAAUGUAGAACAUAGAAAUAUGGAUCAGUACUUGGAAUGUACUGAGUAUGCGGGGGGUAAUGCAUAUGAAUAAGAUAGUAACAAUCUUCUUGAAUCAAAUCAUGUAUGCAUUAUGAGACGAAUCAUAUGGCUUGAGCAAGUAUAAGAUGUAAAGCUCAUAAAUCAUAAAUAAUGAGCCAUGUAACACAAAUAUCAUGAGUCAUCAUUGUUUAACAUCAAAACCGGAAAACUUCUCUUAUUCUAAAUACCUAAAGGCAAAGGGGCCUUAAACAAUACUUUCAACUCAUGCAUAUGUCUCAUGGAGAGUAAUACUUCUUUAAUGCUCAACACUUCAUAACCAUUUAGAACUCGUAUACAUUGAAUUCGGAACCAUAUAUCUUGAAAACAUACUUGAAGGCAUUUCAUUCACUUAAGCAAAAUAUCUCAUUUUAAGCUUUAGGAAAAUCACUCUAUUUCAAAUAGAAAGUAUUCUAGUUUACGGAGGAAAUUUACCUCAAAGCUUUAUGAAAAUACUAUAACAAGGAAAGAUUCUUUCAUUUAGGAAAAUAAACCAUAGGGGAAAAAAUAAGUAUUUGAUCUUAUCGUUUGAAAGAAAAAGGGAGAUUCUCGUAAUCAACAUAAACCAUGCGAGCUACAUGGAGUCCAACGUUUUGCCCUCCUAAGGAAGAGACCCCACAUUAGGGAGGAGCAUCAUACUCUAGCCAAGGAGUAUAACCUAGGUCUAGUGAUCACUAAAUGAAACUCAGCCUCGAGCCAAAUCAUAAUCAUCAUAAACUUGGCCUCAAGCCCAACCUACGGUGGCACGUAGUUUUAGGGUAAGAAACUAUAGUAACUGCUCGGUGCUAAAUACUACUCUCUUUAGAUUAUCUGCACUCAUCUCAUAAAAAUACACUUUUGGAAAAAUCACAUGGUUCACCACGAACCCAAUAAUCAAAUCGAUAAUCUCAUAUAGUGAAGUGGAUUUCAAAGAUCAAGGACCAUUAGGUCAAUUCAUUUCUCAAUCAUCUCAAAAUACUCAAAUCAUGGGUGCUCAUAGCACAAGAGUUCAUAAUUUCACAAGUCACAAAUAGGGCUUACUAACCCAUAGUUCAAUCUCAAGUUAAUGCUUAUCGAAAGCAAUAUAUAUAGCAUAUAGAGUCAUAAAUCAUAUGGAAAUCUGGGAAUUUCAGCCAUUUCAUCUCAAAAUCUCAAUAUAGUCAUAUGCUUCAAUAUUUCAAACAUUGCAAAUAUUAGAUUCUCAAGGAGUAAAAUCAUGGGUUUAUAUCCAGCUGCAAUUUCACAAUAAAACAUGUAGAAAUCAUGCCAUUUGAGUCAUAAAUCAUGGGACAUAUCAAAAUAAUGCAUUCAAUCAUAAUGGGUGAAAACCCCAAUUCAAAUUCAUGUAAAAACCUCAUAUAUUUCAAGAAUUUUAUGAGAUAAGUAGCCUUUUGGGCACAAGGGUGAAAGGGUUACCCUUGUUCAAAAACCCCGCAUACCUUGAAUUAGAAGCUUUUAAUGAACUCUCACUUUUGGAACUCUAUUCGUGCUCUAGAAUGAGGGUUCUUGAGGUCCUUGACUUAGGAACUUUGAAUCUUGACUCAAUUUAGGAAAUCCAUGGUGGAUUCUUGAGAUUCUUGGAAGAGGUUUUGAGUACUUAGGGUUCUUGUUGAGAGAAAACUUGAUAAAACCCUUAUAGGACGCGUGCAAAUGGCUUUAGUGUUCCAUGAUUUUAUAGGCUUGAAAAAAGUCCAAAACGCCCUUUUAAAUAUCUGUGUGAAACUAGAAAAAUUGAACUGGAACCCGAUUUCCCUGGCCUCUGCGACACGCCACUAAUCGCGCUGGCUCAGUGAAAUUUGACAAUUGGGAAAAUGGCAUCCUCCGUGACGCGGAGCCAUUGCAAUUUCCAACUGGUUGGGACCUGGGACUCCUCCGUGAUGUGCCACAAUAGCAGAGUCCCACUAAAAAUUGACAAUUGCUAAAUGGACCCUCUCUGCAAUGCGCUAGGCUCUCAAAUGAUGCAGUUUUAUGAUGAAGGCUUAAAUUGGCCAUAACAUCUUACCCGGGUGUCCGAUUUGGGCAAAUCUUAUAUCGAUAGAAAUCUAAUCAGAUUUCCCAUGUGAUAAAAAGUAGAAAUUAGGAAAAUUCUAUAUAGUUAACACGUUACUCAUCUAGGAAGCAACUUCUCAAUCUUUGAGGGCCGAAAUCAUGCCUCACUCGACAUACCCUACGACUCAAACUACGAGGGAACUUUGCAGGGCCUUAAAAAAUUGCAUUACCCUAUAAUGAUAAACACCCUAGCGUAAAAUGAAAUUUGUCUUUUCAUCAUCUUCCUCAUCCAUUAAUAUCUGAUGAUACCCAGCGAAGCAAUCCAUGAAAGACUGCAUUUCUUGCUUCGCAUAAUUAUUGAUAAGGAUGUGGAUGUUAGGCAGCGAAAAAUUAUCUUUAGGACUGGUUCUAUUCAAAUCUCUAUAAUCAACACAAAUUAGAAUCUUGCCAUCCUUCUUCAGCACUGGGACAAUGUUGGCUAGCCAUGUUAGAUAUUUUGUGACCUCCACAACCUUGGACUGAAUUUGAUUUAUCACGUCUUCCUUGAUCUUCAGACUUAAAUCCGGCUUGAAUUUUUGCAUUUUUUGAUUGACUGGAUCAAACUCGAGAUUGAUCUGUAACUUAUGCAAUACAAUGUUAGUUCUCAAUCCCGGCAUAUCAUCACAGGACCAGGCAAAUACAUCAAUGUACUCCCGCAAUAAGUGAAUGAGUUCUCUUUUUUGUGCUUCUACUAAGUGAACACUGACACUUGUUUGUUUGAUUUCCUCAUGCUCGCCUAGGUUGACCAUUUUGAUUUCCUCCAGGUUGGGCUUCUCUCGAUUCUCAAAUUCUUCUAUAUCUUCUACUAACCACUCCUCAUCACCUUAUUUCCAAUCAUCAUGACAUGACAUGACAUUGGCAGAUUUUAAAUUACUGCUACUAUAAUAAACAAACAAACCAAGUUAGGUAAUAAUAAGAUAAUAACAAUAUAAUAAAAUAUAUUAAUGUAAUCAUAUUUCAAAUAACUUCUUAAAUAAAGGGAGGCCUUUUCAUUGAAAUUUGGGAAAUAAGUACAAACUAUGGCUCAUGACUAGCACAAAUACGAGCCCAUGCCUUUUUUAAAGCAGUAAAAUACGAAAAGAAAGUUUGAGACAUAAAGGGUGGAUUACGGGGCCUCCUUCGGAUCAUCACCAAUUUUAAAAACUACUAGUAACUGCCCUUUCAUCUACCGUGAUGGGUGAUGGGUUAUGAGUGACGUGGAGGUCCAUUUUUGCAAAGCCUCCCCUAGUGCAACCUUCUUUACCCCACUAGACUUUGGAAAACCAUCUGGUACAACAUUGCAUCCUUCGAACAGAUUUCCAAUCCUAUCCCUAAGACCAUCAUCAUUUGACAUCUCACGCACGGGAAAUGAUUAGUACAGGAGCGGAAGGGCCUAGAUAGACUCGCCUUUGUUUUAUCUUCAUUGUCAUCAUCCUUUAUUGGUUGGUACCCUAUCCCACGCUUAGAUGCUUUUUAUGGGACCAUAAUGGGCUCAGUAAUUCCUUUCAAAUUCUCACCCAAGAUACUUAAGGUAGCCAUGACUUUCUCUAUCUUUUCCACUCCUUUUAUCUUUUUGGAAUUUUGCGAAUCCACCUUAGUAAUAGUCUUACUAGGUACCCAUUCUCCCACUAUUUUGAUCAUGCUAAAUGUGGCCCCCUCAUGUUUAGGCAAUGGAUUAUUAGUGAUAUUUGGUGUCGGUGCCUGAACAAUGAUGAUCUUCUGAUCAAUCAAGUCUUGGAUCUUGUGUUUCAGAUGAUGCAAUCUUCAGUAUUAUGCUCGGAUACUUCUAAAUGAUAUGCACAGACUUGAUCGACCUGCAAGAAUCAGGAAUUGAGAUUGGUAGGCUUUGGUGGAAUAGGCUAUAAAUAACUAGCUUUUAUCAAUCUUCCAAAGAGCUGGGUAUAACUUUCAGCCAAUAAAGUAAAUUUUCUUGGUGGUUUCUUUUUGAGGUUUAAACGUGGGGGGUUAUAUUGGUUUUGAUUAGUGGGAAGAGGUAAGUGAUAAUAGUUUGGAGGUGCUUGAACGUUUAUUUAGUUAUUUGGAAAAGUAUCUCGAACAUAAGACUAAUAAUUUGGUUGCGAAACUUGGUAUUGAGGUAAAAUACUUGAAAGUGGAGCUUGGUAUUGGGAUUGGAUAUUUGGGAAUGGAGCUUGGUACUGGGAUUGAAUAUUUGGAAGUGGAGUUUGGUUUUGAGGAGAAAGUUGGGUGGUGGGUAGAUUCGGAGGUGGAUUUUGUAGAUUCGAGUAUGAAUUUUGCAGAUUUGGGAGCGGGUUUUAUGGGGUCAAGGAUGGAUUUUGCGGAUGGUAAGUAUCUGGGUUAUUUUCUCAAUUGGUGUUUUAGAUAAAUUGAGGAGCAAAAGUGGACGAUAUGUUAUUUGGAUGGUCCUCGAGAAUAGGCGUACUGAGGGGAGAGAUCAAGAGCAGAGUCCCAUGCCCUCCUGGAGUGAGAGCAUUGACAGUGAUGACAUGGUUAGCCAAGUCUCGAGUGCUAUUCAUUUCCUCCUGAAGCAUUUCCAAUUUUCUUGUGAGUUCAGCAAUUAUCUCACUUUGUUCUGCUAUUACAUUAUCCCUGGUGGUCAAUGCAUUUUCCUCGUCACUUUCAGUCACAUUUGAAUGAUGGUUAGGGGAUGGGAUCUUAUGUGCUUUUGAUCGGGUGAAGUAAGCAUGUUCUUCCAUCUUGUUUCAACACGGAGUAAUUUUCUAUUAUCUGUAAAGUAAAAUAAUAGAGUUGUUUGUGUCAUAGCCAAACCGAUCCACGGGAGCAUGGUGGAUAAAUUUGUCUUUAACUCAAACAAACUCACAUAGACAUAUAAGGUAGUUAUAUCACAUAAACAGUAUAACAACGUGCAUCCUAACUGGGGUGACCCUUUUUGAACCAAGGGUUUAAGCCUGACGAAUUUUGAAGAAAAUAUAUGCCUUUUUAAAGCCAAUUCAUUAUCCCCCAAAAACCUUUAUAGGUGUGACAAAAUUUGCACAAAAGGGAUACAAUCUUUAGGGAAAAGGAAAAUAACAUAAGAAAAAGAACAAUAUCCCGCACAGGGGACAGGAAAUACUAGCUCCUGAAUACUCUUCUAUCGGCCUUCGCUAUCUUAGCUUUGUCCACUUCUUGUCAUUAGUGACAUCCAUUGAUAAUCAAUCUAUUUCCGUAUAACUGUGAUCUAGAUGCUAACGUCCAAAUCGAUCAAUUUCUUUCUUGGCUUGCUUCAAUUCCUUCUUCAAUUGGUGUGUGAUUGAGGUAUCCUUACAUGAAAGUAAGCAAAGAAAGCCUUCUCCUGAUCCCCAAAGGAUAAUGGAUUGGAUUAAAAAAACAUACAUUUCUUCAACAAAUAAAUAUGAUUCAUCUAUAAUUGAUUCAGGGUCAAUAGACGCAGGGCAGGUUUUCUAAUGGGCCCAAUACCCCCUCGGGUAUUGGGUCGUCCUAGGCUUAUGCCUAAAAGAGGGUUUUGGUUUAGCUCUAUCCUAAGUGUCUAGAGUGGGUUUGGACACAGGUUCCCAAGAGGACAACUUGAGUUUGGAAACACGAACAACCUCCGACUGCCUAACAUUUCGGUAAACUAUCCUGUUUCCAAUAUUUUAUUUGGAAUUGAACAACAGUGUCCGGGACAUCCAUGAAACCCCAAAAUAUUAUAACAAUUAAUGCAGCAACAUGCCGUAAAAUGCAUUAAUUAAAUUCCACAAGAAUCAAAAAACAUAAAUACGUAAAAUAGUUAGUCGAAAGAAGACAUCAAACAUUUGUUUAGAACCUAGUUAAAUAUCCAUUUCUAUUUUGUUUAAGAAAUUUUGACUUUUUGAAGAUUCGCCACUUAAUAUUGAAAAGGAAUUAAGAAACCUUUAUUAGAUACUUUAAAUGAUCCAAAAUAGAACAAUCAUUUAAAAUUUAAAGAUCCUGAGUAAGCGGUUCCUAUUAACAUUUUAGAAAGGUUUGAGGCACCUAAAACCUCCGCUAAGUUGCGGUUAUCCAGACUGUUUGAAAACAUCUUUUGACUAACUUCAAAAAGAUUAAUUUGUUGAAAAGUGAUGGAUUUUUUAGCAAAGACUUGUGUAAAAAAGAUUUAAGCGACUUAGUAGGGAUCAUAACUAAGUCUAAAUAAAAUUAAUAAGCAAAUAAACACAUAAAAGGGGAAAGGGAGGAAAAAGUAAAAGAUUUAGACCAUUGGGCCCAAAUCGAUAAACCCUGUCCUAAUCUAGUUGGACUUUCAGUCCAUAACCUAUCCUAAACUAUUUUUUCAGGCCUGUUGGCCCAAAAUAUGUUCCACCUGUAUUAAAUUUACAACUUUGGCUUCAAGUCCGAAAUGAAUAAAUAAAUAAGUAAAUAAAUAAAUAAAGAUAUAAAUAAAUACAUAAAUAAAAAAAUAAAUAAGGGCAACAAUGAAUAAGUAAACUAAAAAUGAGACUUUCAAGUCCCCUUUUUCGCUUCAAGGAUGAGAUUGCAACUCAUUCUUCUUGCAUUGAUAUGCCAUACAAUCGACUUUUAGUUUUGAGGAUAUAGGACUCAUUGCCUCUUCAAAAAUGCAACGGGAGGAAUCCCUUGUGGACUCCAAGUAGAUUACAUACAAAUGAAAAAGAGAAAGAAGGAUGAGAUUCUAUUCGAUACACAAAUCACUAAUUUAGUACACAUACAGAACCAAAAGAAAUCAAGAAAUUUCUAUUUUUUUAUCAAUGGUUAAUCUCAAACCGACUAAAUUAGACUUUUAUUCGAGAAGGGACCCAAAUAAAAGGAGAACAACAUAAUAUCAAAUCACCUUUGGGGCAAACUUGAAUUUAUUAGGUUAGCUGGGGUACAAAAAAUCACACAUCUUGAACUUCUCAAAUCGAGCAUCUUUAGAAAGGAAAAGAGUAUGUUUGUAGACCAAGUCGUAUCAUUAAACAAUAAAACAAGUAUCCAUAGCCUUCUUGCACAAAACAAAACACUUAAAAGGCUCCAUUGAACUCACACUCCCAGUGUUUUCAUGGUCCUACAUAGAGGCUUAGAGAAAAUAAAGAGGAUAAAUAUUACGGAGGAAGAAAACAUAAAAUGGGUAAACUAGGAAGAAGGCCCAACCAACAAGAACAUUUCCUAAUUUGCAUAGAUAUGGACAAUAUUCCUACACAGAAGACAACCCAAAAGGACCACAAUCACUCCAAAGUAAUGCUAGAUGGAAUUUGGAAAUAUGAUUUCUGAAUCAAACAUGCAAAUAAACUAAACUUCAGAGAGAAAAAAGUAACAAAUAUUCAAUUGAAAGCUCUUUAGGCCAACAUAUCCCUCUCUUUCGCAAGUCAUAAAGAAUCGUGAGCCAAGAGUCCAUCAAAGAAUUUUGACAACACUUUACUCAAAAUAACGACCAGAGAAACCCCACAAAUUCUGAGUAAAAUAGGUAAACAAGAAGAUUAACUAGAAAUCGAGCAAAGAAAACUUUUGCCCAACUAAUUCAAUGCACGAAAUCUUGACUAUAAUAGUCAAAUAGAAGAUAUAGCGAUUAGGAGAGACUCUAAUAAGACAAGGAGUUCAGAAGCAAAGCUAGGAUUAACACAUAUUUGAUUGACGGACAGUAAAUCAGAUGGCAUUCAAAUUAACGAAAAAUCAAGGCAGCAUAAUGAGUUAAUAGGGAAAAUCUUGAAACCAAAAGAAACAAGAAUAAUACUAAAAUUAGCAUAAAAAUUCUCUUGUAAGAAAAGUCAUAAUAAAGUCACAAACUUUUUGCGUAAACAGCCCAGAUAAUGAAUUAAACACGACCAGAAUAUCGACACCACAUAAUGAAGGACAUAAUCAUCGUCACAAGAACCCAAAGGCCUUCAAGGCUCACAGCAAACAAUUCCCAAGCAUCUCUAUAUCUACUAACGCCACUAAUAGAUCGAUGACAAGAAAAAAACAUCAAACUAAAAUUGAUGAAUCAACGACGAGAAAAAAACGUCAAAACUAAAAAAGGAUGAUGUAUUUACCUCUUUUGGGGCAGCAAAACGAGACUCGAGCUUCUUCAAAAUAUGCCCACCACCGAAAAGUGUCGUCGUCAACUCGGGAACUUUGGUUAACUGACGAAUUUUACGGAGGAAAACUUUUAUAAUAAGAAAAUGAGACUUCUUUGCUCAAAGGUUUUUAUCAACCUUCAAGACUUUCCAUUUUCCUCCAACAACGGGCCUUAUAUAGGAAAAUUUUUGGAUGAAUCUUUAUUUUGGCGAUGUGGAAGAAACAACUUAAAGGGCGAUUUGGGAAUAGUGAAAAAAGAAGAUAACAGAGAGGUGAUCUGUAAUUCGUACUAUCUAGUAUGAAUUUAUUGAGAUUUGAAUUUGAACAUCGGAUAAGGUUGAAGGUUUAAGGGGAUUCGCAAUUGUUGUAUGUUGUGCGGGUUGACGGGUCGAGUUCGCUGGGUAAGGGUGCUGAUGGAUUUGGGUCGACGGGUCGGAGAUGGUCGGGUCAGCAACGGGUUGGUUCGUCGCUAGUUUUGGCUGGUUGUUGUUGAUGAAAUUGUUGUUGUACCCAUAUUAUUUUGUUAUGUUAUGUCGGGUAAAAGAUAAAGAGAGGUGUUAGGGAGGUUGGGCCAGGUAAGGGCUGUUGGAGCGGGCUGAAAUUGUGAAAAAUUGUAAGGAUUGUUGGGUUGUUUAUUUAGAAAUAGGAAUUAGGCUAGUGGGUUUUAAUUUUUUCUUAACGUUGGGUUAAAAAUUUGAGUUUUAAUUGAGGUUAUUUAAUAACUCCAAUUAAAUUUAAUUGGGGUUAAAAUAACCCCAAUUAGAUUUAAUUGGGUUACAAUAACCCUAAUUAAAUUAGAAAAUUGGUAGUCUUCAAAAUUAUUUAGAAAAAAUAAUCUCGGUUAGACUAAAGGUUAUAAAAAUAAUUUUAAUUAUGAUCUAGCCUAUUCUAUUUAAAUUUUGACCAAAUUAAAAGUUAAUUGACCAAUUGCAUUGCAAUUGUGGCCAAUUUAGUUUCAAUUAUGAUCAAAUUUAAAUAGAUUGGUUAAAUUGAAUUAAUUCGAUACGAAUUAAUACCUUAUUUAAUUCCGAGCUUCUUGAUUUAAUAACAUCGACUAAAUAUUUUCAAAUAAAUUAUUUCAAAUAAUAAAUUAUAUUUAAAUAAAAAUUUUAAUUAUUUAAAUUAUUUUCCAAAUAACCUUUAAUUUAAAGACCAAUUUUGAUGAAAAUAUUCAUUUAAAUGACAUCAUUUAUACAAUCUCGUAUAUGUAAAUACGAAAAUAUAUGAUUAUCACUUAAAUGACAAAUUUAGCCAAAAUAAAUAUUUUCAAAAUGCAUUUAUUUAGAAAAAAUAAUUGUUGUGAUUUUAUUUGAAAAUCAAAGAAACUAAAGAUUAAACAUAGUUGUGGAGGGCAAAAAUUAGGUGUCAAUAUAUCUGUCACAUCAGAUUAACCUCUGUUGCCACAAAUGCUCAAUUCCUACAACCAGCGGUCGACAUAUUGAGAAUAAGGAAUAAACAGAAUGAUAAUUAAAUAUUAAAUAAGAAUUCAAAAUUCAAAGUCGACCACAGAUCCGAUAUAAAAAAUAAAAUACAUAUGCUAAAAUAAAAAAAAUAACCUAAUUAUUAUUAUGAUUAUUAUUAGUAUUACUAUUAUUGUCAACCGAAUAAUUUUCAUCCGGCAGCAGUAUGGCCUUCCUCAGCCUUGCUCUGAAGUCGGCCAAAUCCGUCUGGAGUUCAUGAAUUUACCUUUGAAGUUCCCUCAAGGACUCGAUAUGAAGCUUCUUGUACGAAUCUGGAUCAACCAUAUUUGUAAGUGUAGUAGAAUGAACGAGUAAGGAGAGACCUAUUUAUAAAUGAUUGAAUUCGAAGGGGUUAGUAAAAAAGCCACGACUGUUCAUCCCUUAAUUAAAUAAAACUUGUGACUUUUUAAAUAUGUAAAUUAAAAAAAUAGAUCUAAAUACAACAUUUUAUCUUUUAAUGUAUUUUGGAAAGAAAAGAAAAUUGCUUUAAAAUAAGUCUAACAGAUGGGUAAUCUGUGGCAAAAUAUAUUCCAUCUGUUAGAAACUUAUAACAGAUUGACAAUCUGUUGUAAUAGAUGGAUAUAUCUGUUUGAUUUUUCCAACAGAUAUGCCAUAUAUUGCAAUAGAUUAAUCAUCUGUCAUAACAGAUAUUUGCAAUUAUUUGAUAAUUUAAACAGAUGUGGCAUCUAUUGCAACUUGUUAGUCAUCUAUUUAUUCAAUUUAAGUCAUAGAUGGGCUAGGAAGAAUAAGGUGCGUGCAGAUGGAUGGAUCUACUAUCAUGUUUGGGAGUUAAGUAUUACUUAUAAGGUCAUCGGAACAACACACACAAAGUACAAUGUUUUUAUGAAUGCAAUUUUUAAUCGAUUAGGCACUGAUCAUUCAAAUAAGAUCCUGUAUUGUAUAGUUAAGUUUGAUGGGUUCGAAUUGAUAAGGAUGAGGGCCCCAUGAUGAUGGUGCUGAUACACUGUUACGAAUUACUAAUGGUUGUUGCUCAUGUUUAUGUGUGUCAAGUUUUGAGAAGGGAUCAAUAUUUGGUGUCAUUGCAAAGAUCCAAUAUCGAUUGGACUUAACUUUAAGUGUGCAUUGGAAUCUGAGAAGGCCUUCGAAGCCUCGUACUACAUCAAACAAGAAUGAAAAACCAAUAGAAAUUCCCCUGGCCCAAAUUUAUAUGGAAGGGUUCUUCGAGAAGAUGAUUAUACGCCAGAAGGAGUCGAAGGAGAAUACAUGCUAGGGAAAGAGGAGGUGAUGAAAGACUUUAUCAUCUGAAAGCUAAUAGAAGAGGAGACAUAGGGGAGAAAGAAACUUCUAGCAAAUCUGAAUGAUGAAAUUGACUUAAAACAUGAGAAAUCUAAAUCAAUUCCAAAUAUGAAAGUGUAUCCGAUAAUGAAAAAUCCAUCUGUUGUUUCUCUGAAAAAAUAGCUUAGUCGAGAUUAUCACCUAGAUAAAAAAUAGCAGAAGACCAAGAAGCAAC
This 91973-nucleotide long non-coding RNA is filed under the name Capsicum annuum. Its description in RNAcentral is "long non-coding RNA (CANN_LNC005531)". Lineage: Eukaryota; Viridiplantae; Streptophyta; Magnoliopsida; Solanales; Solanaceae. The record is from RNAcentral.